RNAcentral lists this long non-coding RNA (92083 nucleotides) under Capsicum annuum. RNAcentral's name for it is "long non-coding RNA (CANN_LNC007919)". The record is from RNAcentral. Lineage: Eukaryota; Viridiplantae; Streptophyta; Magnoliopsida; Solanales; Solanaceae.
GGGUGUUGGAGGUUUCACUGCUAAAGAGUAAAAUAUUUUCGACUUUAGUUUUGAAGUAUUUGUUAUUUGUGAUGUUUGCUUACUCUAUUUUAAUUUGUUUGUCUGGUUUUGAAUUGAUACGAAUUUUAAAAAAGUGUAGUUUCAAUUUGUUUAUCUAAUUUUGACUUAGACAUGGAGUUUAAGAAAGUCUCAUUUCAAUUUGUUAGUCUGAUUUUGACUUAGACAUGAAGUUUUAAAAAGCCUCGUUUAAAUUUUUUUGCCUGAUUUUGACUUAGAUAUGGAGUUUAAGAAAGUCUUAUAGCAAUUUGUAUGAUUUUGACUUAGACACAAAGUUUAAGAAAGUCUUGUUUCAAUUUGUUUGUCUGAUUUUGACUUAGAUAUAGAGUUUAAGAAAGUCUUAUAGCAAUUUGUAUGAUUUUGACUUAGACACAAAGUUUAAGAAAGUCUUGUUUCAAUUUGUUUGUCUAAUUUUGACUUAGAUAUGGUGUUCAAAAAGGUCUCAUUUCAAUUUGUUUGUCUGAUUUUGACUUGAUAUGGAGUUUAAGAAAGUCCAGUUUCACUUUGUUUGUCUGAUUUUGACUUGACACGAAGUUUAAAAAAGUUUGUCUAAUUUUGACUUAGACACAGUGUUUAAUAAAGUAUCAUUUCAAUUUGAUUGUUUGAUUUUAACUGCUAAAGAGUAAAAUUUUCUACUUUCCUACUUUUCUUUUAAUGCUUAGUCACUCUGUUUCAAUUUGUAUAUCUGGUUUUGAAUUGACAAAGAGUUUAAGAAAGUCUAGUUUCAAUUUAUUUGUCUUAUUUUGACUUGGACACAAAGUUUAAGAAAAUUUGGUUUCAAUUUGUUUGUCUGAUUUUGACUUAGAUACGAUGUUAAAAAAAGUCUCGUUUCAAUUUGUUUGUCUGAUUUUGACUUGGCUUGGAGUUUAAGAAAGUCUAGUUUCACUUUCUUUGUUUGAUUUUGACUUGACAGGGAGUUUAAAAGAGUGUUUAAUUUUGACUUAAACACAAUUUAACAAAGUGUCAUUUCAAUUUGAUUGUCUGAUUUUGACAUCUAAAGAGUAAAUUUUUCUACUUUUCUACUUUUAUUCUAGUGUUUACUCUCUCCUUUUCAAUUUGAAUAUCUGGUUUUGAAUCGACAAAGAGUUUAAGAAAGUCUAGUUUCAAUUCGUUUGUCUGAUUUUGACUUUGACAUGAAGUUUAAGAAAAUCUGAUUUCAAUUUGUUUGUUCGAUUUUGAUUUAGACAAAGAGUUUAAGAAAGACUAGUUUCAACUAUUCGUUUGAUUUUAACUUUGACACGGAUAAGAAAGUCUAGUUUCAAUUUGUUUGUCUGAUUUUGACUUAGACACGGUGUUCAAAAAAGUUUCGUUUUAAUUUGUUUGUCUGAUUUUAACUUGACAUGGAGUUUAAGAAAUUCUAGUUUCACUUUACUUGUCUGGUUAUGAUUUGACACAGAGUUUAAAAAAGUCUGUCAUAUUUUGACUUAGACAAAGUUCAAGAAAGUGUCAUUUCAAUUUGAUUGAUUUUGACUGCUAAAGAGUAAAUUUUUCUACCUUUCUACUUUUCUUUUAAUGUGUACUCACUCUGUUUCAAUUUGUAUAUCUAGUUUUAAAUUGACAAAGAGUUUAAGAAAGUCUAGUUUCAAUUUGUAUGUCUGAUUUUGACUUAGACAUGAGUUUAAGAAAAUCUACUUUCAAUUUGUUCAUCUGUUUUUUAUUUGCAUUGAGUUUAAGAAAGUCUCAUUUCAAUUUGUUUGUAUGAUUUUGACUUAGACAAGGAUUUUAAGAAAGCCUAGUUUCAAUUUAUUUUUAUAGUUUUAACUUAGACACGAAGUUUAAGAAAGUCUCGUUUUAAUUUGUUUGUUUGGUUUUAACUUAGGCACGGAGUUUAAGAAAGUCUAGCUUCCAUUUGUUUGUCUGGUGUAGACACGAAGUUUUAAGUCUAGUUUUAAUUUGUUUGUCUGAUUUUGACUUAAGCAUGAGUUUAAGAAAGCUUGUUUUCAAUUUAUUUUUCUGAUUUUAACUUAGACAUGGAGUUUAAGAAAGCCUCGUUUCAAUUUGUUUGUCUGGUUUUGACUUAGACACGAAGUUUAAGAAAGUCUAGUUUCAAUUUGUUUGUGUGAUUUUUACUUGAAACAAAGUUUAAGAAAGUCUCCUUUUCAUUUGUUUUUUUGGUUGACUUAGACAUGGAGUUUAAGAAAGUCUUGUUUCAAUUUAUUUGUCAGGUUUUGACUUAGACACGGAGUUUAAGAAAGUCUCAUUUUAAUUUGUUUGUCGAAUUUUAAAUUAGACACAGAGUUUAAGAAAGUCUCAUUUCAAUUUAUUGGUUGUUUGGUUUUGACUGCUAUAGAGUAAAUUUUUCUACUUUUCAUGUGUUGAAGCUUUUGGGUAUUUUUAAUAUUUGCUCAUCCAUUUCAAUUUGUUUGUAUAGUUUUGACUUGGCACGAAUUUAAGAAACUAAAGAGAAAUUGAAUUUUUUUUUCAUAACUGUGGCCUCCACUAAUUUCACGUGAUACUUGUCACCUCCCACCGGCAACAUGUACUGGUAAUUGGUAAACUCUGUCUACCAAAACUAAGAAGAUAAGAAGACUUUUGAAUCUUUUGAUCUUAAAUUAAAGAUAUAUAGAAUGUACUAAAAUGUCUAAGAUGUGUAGAAUGUACUAAAAUAUCCUUUAAUUACGUGGUCUUAAACAUGUCAUGGGAAAAAUUGAAAUUAAAGUGUUGCUAAAAAAAGUUAAAAAGACAUUCCUUUUUGAAAUGUACUAAAAAGGAAAGUAAUACAAACAAAUUAAAAUGGAGAGAAUAACUUUUUUCUAGUUUAUAUUUGUUUUUAAGUAACUUUUGUAUCGAGUAUGUUGCUGAAUUUUUUUGGGGGGACAAGUUUGUUAGAGAGUAUAAGAUUUUGAGGUCGUGAUUUAUGAAUGAAAGUUGGAAUCUUCAUUGAUGUACUAAAUGUCCUUUAGUCUUGUGGUUUUAAACUAUUUUAUGUGGAAGAUUUAAAUUAAAAAGUUCCCUCCAAAAAGGAAAGAGAUAUUCCUUUUGGUAUGGACUAAAAAGGAAGUAACUAAACAAAUUGAAAUGCAGAGAGUAACUUUUUUGUUGUUAAUAGUGUUUCUAAGUAAGUUUUCUUUACUGAGCGUGUUGCUUAUACUCUACUCUCCCCAAAUCCCUCCUAUGAAAUUACACUGGGUUUGUCGUUAGUAUUAAUAUGAAAGUGCUUUAAUGGAACUAGCGUACUGUAUAAUUUCAUUUCAUGUGGACAAGGCAUUUCUUGGAAUCCAAUAAUGUAAUAUUUGUUGCACUUCUGUUAAAUAGGAGACCAGAUGGAAGAGUUGUCCACUCCACAACAAAUGAAAAGAGGCAUGAUACUGUCGCUUUAGCGUCAGUGGAUGGGCAUCACCAUUCUUCUUCGCGGUUUCAUUAAUAGGGGUCGAACACUUCAAAAUGGCUUCAUGUUGGAGGUAUUGAAGUUAUUUAGCUCUGAACUCAUAUGACUGCUUCAUCUGUAGCUGUUUCAUUGGAACAUAUGAUUGACGUUUAAGUUAUCUAAGAAGUUUUAGAUGUUCUAUUUAGCCCCAACGGUAGCAUUAACUGUCAAAAUCAUAGUACUAUCUAUAGUUUGUCAAUCUUGGUGGAAGACAAUGUAUUACUCAGCUGUGUGGCACAAACAUCUAGUACAUAUUCUUUAGCCGAUGGAUCCUUUCAGUCAUCUCAUCUAAAAGCUUAAGUUGUUAGAGAGACCACACUUGAUUCUUUUUCAUGGGCCAAGCACGUAAAAAUUCUUUUGACCACACUUUUAUUAUUUAAUUGUAUUCUCAACAUGCUCCCUCAUGUGCGGGCCUGACCAAGCACGUAGAUUUUUUUUUUACUAAUGGGUGGCAGUGAGAUUCGAUCUCAGGAUCUCUGCCUGCUCUGAUACCAUGUUGAAGUGUGUGACCAUCUCAUCUAACAACUUAAGCUGUUAGAGAAACCACACUUUAAUGAUUUAAUUAUAUUUUCAACAUCUUUUUUCAGCUCUCACUCAUUUUACCGAUAGUUCUGCUUUUGCAAUUUCAACUAACUCCUUGAGGAACCUAAAACAGGAAGGAAAGCCUAUUAAAGCAUAAAAAGGACUUUCCAAAAUGAGCAUAAGUCUGUUAGUUACAAAUUAGAAUGAAGUUAUGUUUUUUGAAGUGAAGAAAAUAAACAAACUUUCAGACCAACAGGUUUGCAAGCAGUUCCUUCUUGGAUUUCCACAUAACUAGAAAGAGUCUGUUGCUCUAUCAUUUGGAGAAUCAACCAAUGAAGAUGCAUCCUUUGGAAUUUCUGAUUUCUCAGAGUUGGAAAAUGCAUCAGCUGGUCACACAAGUAGCUUCUUCUCAGUGUCUGUUGAUCAUCUUCCUACAAAUAUUUUACGAGAUCUCUUAAUUUGGACGCUGGUGAUGCAGAAAGUGGCAUGCUAAGAAAGAAGAUUUUUAAUGAAAUAGUGCAAAAAUAUGGAAAUAGUGCUUUUAAUGUUGAUGAAGCUUCUUCUUUGAACCCAAUAAGUGGUAAUGUUGAUGAAGCUUCUUCUUUGAACCCAAUAAGUGGUAAUCAGGUCACAGCCCGAAGUCCUUCACUGAAUGAAAGUCCUAGUCGAAAGAAUAAAGUUAAAACCAACCGGAGGAAAGAGGAUAAUUGUAUACCAGAUGAAAAUCUGGAAAAGAAGAUAUACUCUGGAAGAUAUGCCAGAAAAGAGAUUUUUGGAUAGAUUACUGCACAAAAGGGGUAGUGAUGCUUUUAUCGUCAGUGAAAUUUCUUGGUUGAACCAAGAAAGUGGUAAUCAAGUCACAACCCAAAGUCCUUCUCUGAAUGAAAGUCAUAGUAAAAAAAAAGAAAGCUAAAAGAAAUCGAAAGCAAGAGGAUAGUUGUAUACCAGAUGCAAAAUUUGGAAAAAAAGACUUGCAGGAAGCUACUCCAAAUGAUAUGCCAGAAAAGAGAGUUUCUGUAAUACCCUGUAUUUUUGUAAUACCUCAUAUUUUUCUAGCUCAAUUUAACUCUCAGUACAUGAGUAUUCAUAUAUAGAAAUUUAAAAAUACUCACUAUUUUUCAAUUUAGAGCUUACCAUUGCAUAGGAAAUUCAGUCAGCUUUCCAAUGAUAAAGUUCGCCCAAUUUCGAUACCUGAGCGAAGAGUUAGAGCCAUUUUUGUAAAGCAGUGUGCCAAUUUGCACUUCACCGCAUCACAGAGGCCAGCCAAAUGGCAGUUGCCAAAUUCCAGUGUUGCUCCAUGAUAAUGGCGCAUCGCGCCAUAGACCCAGCUCACAAUUUUCCCUUUUCUAGUGAAGCCACGCAAUUUCGCUGCGUCGCAACGAGUCCCAAAUUCGUAUUCAGUAUGACGACGUGAUACCACCGCGUCGCGCCACCAACCAAAUUCCUAAUUGUCAUUUUCCAGUAUUCCAUUGCGAUCAUGGCGCAUCGUACCAAGGGUGAAAUUUGCAUACAAAAGGGUACCGUUAUUCCACCGUGUCGCAUUGAUGAACCAGUUCGCAAUUAUCAGUUUCUAGUGACACGACGCGAUAGUGCCGCGUUACGCUUGGGCUCAAAAUUGAAUUUUUCCAGUGACGAUUUUUAAUUCUUUAGCCGAUGGAUCCUUUCCGACAUCUCAUCUAAAAGAUUAAGUUGUUAGAGAAACCACACUUGAUUCUUUUUCAUGGGCCAAGCACGUAAAAAUUCUUUUGACCACACUUUUAUUAUUUAAUUGUAUUCUCAACAUGCUCCCUCAUGUGCGGGCCUGACCAAGCACGUAGAUUUUUUUUUUACUAAUGGGUGGCAGUGAGAUUCGAUCUCAGGAUCUCUGCCUGCUCUGAUACCAUGUUGAAGUGUGUGACCAUCUCAUCUAACAACUUAAGCUGUUAGAGAAACCACACUUUAAUGAUUUAAUUAUAUUUUCAACAUCUUUUUUCAGCUCUCACUCAUUUUACCGAUAGUUCUGCUUUUGCAAUUUCAACUAACUCCUUGAGGAACCUAAAACAGGAAGGAAAGCCUAUUAAAGCAUAAAAAGGACUUUCCAAAAUGAGCAUAAGUCUGUUAGUUACAAAUUAGAAUGAAGUUAUGUUUUUUGAAGUGAAGAAAAUAAACAAACUUUCAGACCAACAGGUUUGCAAGCAGUUCCUUCUUGGAUUUCCACAUAACUAGAAAGAGUCUGUUGCUCUAUCAUUUGGAGAAUCAACCAAUGAAGAUGCAUCCUUUGGAAUUUCUGAUUUCUCAGAGUUGGAAAAUGCAUCAGCUGGUCACACAAGUAGCUUCUUCUCAGUGUCUGUUGAUCAUCUUCCUACAAAUAUUUUACGAGAUCUCUUAAUUUGGACGCUGGUGAUGCAGAAAGUGGCAUGCUAAGAAAGAAGAUUUUUAAUGAAAUAGUGCAAAAAUAUGGAAAUAGUGCUUUUAAUGUUGAUGAAGCUUCUUCUUUGAACCCAAUAAGUGGUAAUGUUGAUGAAGCUUCUUCUUUGAACCCAAUAAGUGGUAAUCAGGUCACAGCCCGAAGUCCUUCACUGAAUGAAAGUCCUAGUCGAAAGAAUAAAGUUAAAACCAACCGGAGGAAAGAGGAUAAUUGUAUACCAGAUGAAAAUCUGGAAAAGAAGAUAUACUCUGGAAGAUAUGCCAGAAAAGAGAUUUUUGGAUAGAUUACUGCACAAAAGUGGUAGUGAUGCUUUUAUCGUCAGUGAAAUUUCUUGGUUGAACCAAGAAAGUGGUAAUCAAGUCACAACCCAAAGUCCUUCUCUGAAUGAAAGUCAUAGUAAAAAAAAAGAAAGCUAAAAGAAAUCGAAAGCAAGAGGAUAGUUGUAUACCAGAUGCAAAAUUUGGAAAAAAAGACUUGCAGGAAGCUACUCCAAAUGAUAUGCCAGAAAAGAGAGUUUCUGUAAUACCCUGUAUUUUUGUAAUACCUCAUAUUUUUCUAGCUCAAUUUAACUCUCAGUACAUGAGUAUUCAUAUAUAGAAAUUUAAAAAUACUCACUAUUUUUCAAUUUAGAGCUUACCAUUGCAUAGGAAAUUCAGUCAGCUUUCCAAUGAUAAAGUUCGCCCAAUUUCGAUACCUGAGCGAAGAGUUAGAGCCAUUUUUGUAAAGCAGUGUGCCAAUUUGCACUUCACCGCAUCACAGAGGCCAGCCAAAUGGCAGUUGCCAAAUUCCAGUGUUGCUCCAUGAUAAUGGCGCAUCGCGCCAUAGACCCAGCUCACAAUUUUCCCUUUUCUAGUGAAGCCACGCAAUUUCGCUGCGUCGCAACGAGUCCCAAAUUCGUAUUCAGUAUGACGACGUGAUACCACCGCGUCGCGCCACCAACCAAAUUCCUAAUUGUCAUUUUCCAGUAUUCCAUUGCGAUCAUGGCGCAUCGUACCAAGGGUGAAAUUUGCAUACAAAAGGGUACCGUUAUUCCACCGUGUCGCAUUGAUGAACCAGUUCGCAAUUAUCAGUUUCUAGUGACACGACGCGAUAGUGCCGCGUUACGCUUGGGCUCAAAAUUGAAUUUUUCCAGUGACGAUUUUUAAAUCAUUCCCAAGGGUAAUUGGAUAUUUUUCCAAUACCCAAGUCAGUCCUAAACACGAAAUUUAUCCCUAAAGGAACACUAAUUGCUCAUUAUUUCAUUAUUCACUCAAGAAACAAAGCAUUCUCUCUCAAAGGGCAAAACCCUAGCUUCAAGAAAUCAAGAACAAACUUAAGAAUUUCCUUAAGAACUUUCAAGAAUCAAUAUUCGCAGGUAUGUUAGGUGUUCAUUCAUGGGUUCCUUUCACCUAUGAAGUACAAGAACCCUCUUUAAACUUACAAGAUCUCAAAUUUAUAAACUUCAUGCUUGAAAUUGAUUGUGUUCAUGUCCAUGAUAGUAGUUAGGUUUUAAUUCAUGAUUAAUUAUAAGUUUCUAUGAAAUUAAAAUAGUUAUAUGAUGAAUUAUAUUAAUUGCAUGCUAAACCCUUAAAUUUGCAAUUGAGUAUUGUAUUUAUGAUGUUCAUGUGUUGGUCAUUACCAUGUGAAAUAAUCCAUGUUCCCGAAUUAUUUGCUAAAAUACCUAUGUGAAGUAAAUAGUGGAAUCAUGACAUGUCAUUGCAUGGUCCCAAUCAUGUAUAAGCUUAUGCCCUACAAGUGUUUGAUAAAAUGUGUCUAUGGAUGAAUUAUGAGCAAGUGGACAUUAUUAUGCUUUUCAAGAUCAUGUUAUGCUUUACUUUCAUGCUGUCGAGUACUGGGGUAUUCAAUACCCAAAAAUAUAGCUAUUUACCUAGAGUUAUAGUAGUUAUAGAAUAAUCUCAGUCACGAUAUAGAAUAGUAGUACUCAGUUAGUUACAAAAAUCAGUGAACUCAGUCAGUUACAGAACUCAGUAUCAGUCUAGUUCAUCUCAAUAUAAUAAGUUCAGUGUCUAUUCAGUUCGGAGUAGGAUUCAGCACCGAGUGAACCCAAGGAUGGGGGAUCACCUGCCAGUAGAGGGUGUGAUCCUUAGAAGCAGUCCUUGCAUUCCAGAACUAUGUAGUUAGCGUAGGUUGAGACAUCAACAUGCCAAUUGAAGGUUGAUGAGGUGUUUUAACCUACCAGUUGAGGGUACCAUAGUUCUUAUUAGAGUACCUGCCAGAUGAGGGUAACUCUUCAGUUGUCUUUACCCAUGGCAUAGUACUGACACCCUUCCAGUUGGGGUUACAGGUUGGACCCCAGUUAUCUUAUUUGGGGCAUUUUGGUUAGAUGAUUACUUUCCACUAUUUCAGUUUUAGUUUCAGACUCAGAAUAGAACUCAGUUUAGUUCUACAGAAUCAGAACUGUCAGAUACAGUCAAUCAGUUUUAGUAACUCAGUUAUCAAAACUUAGAACUGAGCUUCAUUAAAAGCUCAGCUAUAGUAUACAUGUAUAUGGACAGUAUUGCAUACUCAGUAUUUACAGCAGUUUCAGUUGUCUAUGUACUCUCAUACUCAGUUACUCUAUAUCAUUCAAUCAGAUAUUAUUCAUGCAUAUGAACCCUUGCAUUCAAUAUUACCUCAUCUAGCAUACCAGUACAUUCCAUGUACUGACACAUACUUUCUCUUUGUGCUAUGAUGUCUUAUAUCAUAGGUUAGGACACUUAGGUUCCUGAUCGCGCAUAGACAAAUUUAGUUAUCAGCAGCAGUUUCAGUAGUGAGUCCUUAUCUAUCGAGGGCAUGCUUUUAUUUUAGUUUAUCAGUAGUUCAUUAGUCAGAGUUAGUUGGGGGCUUGUCCCAUCAACUCCACAUUUAGAUAAUUCAGUUAGAGGCUUUUCAGACUAGACUAGUUUAGACCUUAUUCAAAUUAAAAUUAUUUUAUCAUAUGUUAUUAUUUGUCAGUAUUUUAGAUUUUGAACCUUAUGGCAUUUCAGCCUAUUUUCCAUAUUAUCACAAUAUUAUUAUUCAGUGCUCACAACAGAUAUCAGUCAUGAGUUAGCUUGUGGUCCCUUAGGGUCGUAAGCACCGUGUGGCGUUUAAGGUACAGACUCAGGACAUUACAAACUUGGUAUUAGAUCCUAAGGUUCAAUAGAGUCCUAGGGUAUCUGAAAGUCGCGUCUAGUAGAGUCUUGUGCAUGUAUGUAGUGCGUCAUACUUAUGGACAAGAGGCUAUGAGACAUUUUUAGGAAAAGUUUCCCUACUUUUAGUAUUCAUGUGGUACGAGUGAGCAUGAGCUCAAGUUAAACUCUCAGUCUAAUUCAUUUUUUCCUUUCAUUUAUAGAUCAUGCCUCCCAAAAAGACUAACAGAAGAAGGAACAAAAAUCAGUCAGCACCUCAUCCCAUUCAGGCAGAUCCCUUGGACGAGCAUGUCUCCCAUGCAGAAUUCAAAGUUGUGUUCACACUCUAGCCAUUUCCGUAGUAGCUCAGAACGAACGGCCAGUUGCUGUUUAGGCCAGCCCAGUGGCCAAUACUACUACAACUAGGAUUCGGGACUUCACUCGAAUGAAUACUCCCCUAUUCUCAGGAUCUAAGUUAGAAGAGGAUCCAUAGGAGUUCCUCGAUCAGGUUUAGAAUAUCACAAAUAUUGUGAGAGUGACUUUCAGUGAGAGUGCUGAGUUAGCCGCCUAUCAGCUACAAAAUAUGGAUCAUACAUGGUUUAAGCAGUGGAAGGUAGACAGGGUUACAGAUGCAGAGCCCAUAAAGUGGGAAGAAUUUGCUACUGCUUUCCUAAAUAGAUUCUUUCCCUUAGAGUAGAGAGAAGCCAAGGUGUUAGAGUUCAUCAAUCUCAGGCAAGGGAAUAUGAGUGUAAAAGAGUAUUCCCUCAAGUUUACUCAAUUAGCUAGAUAUGCUCCCCAUGUAACAGCAGACAGUAGGUCCAGAAUGAGCAAGUUUGUGUCUGGGGUGUAAGAAAGUGUGGUUCAGGAGUGCAGAACAAUGAUGUUAAUUAAGGAGAUGGACAUAUCCAAGCUCAUGGUUCAUUCUCAGCAGAUAGAAGAAGUUAAGAAUAAGGAGAGAGAGAGGAAGAAUAAGAGAGCUAGAACAGGUAGCUUCAAUUUCACUUAGCCUAAGUCAGAGAGUGGUAAUCAUUCCCAGUUUUGCCCAAAAUCUUCAGUUCCAUCUCCAUCCUCAGCCAGUGCUCUAGUCCCUAAGUUCAGAAAUAGUAACAAAGAUAGGGCACUAGGCUCUAAAUCUCAGGGUAGUGUCAGCAGUGCUUGAACAAAUCCUCUUUGUCAGAAAUGUGGCAGAAACCACCAGGGUGUCUGCAGGGCUAGCAGUGAUGUAUGUUUCGGGUGUGGCAAACUAGGCCACAAAGUUAGAGAUUGUCCUCAGUCAGGUUCUCAAGGUUAGUAUAAUCGUCCUUCAACUUAAUCUGAUCGCCUGAAUCAGCAGGGUGCCGCUUCAAGUGCCACCAGUGGGCAACGCCCAAACAGGCUUUAUGCACUUCAGUACAGACAAGAUCAGGAAAGUUCUCCUGAUGUGGUCACUGAUACAUUAUAGAUCUUCCAUUUACAUGUUUAUGGCUUAUUAGAUCCAGGAGUUUCUCUGUCAUUUGUAACUCCUUAUAUAGCAGUCGACUUUAAGGUCAAACCAGAAAUCUUAAUAGAACCCUUCUUAUUCUCUACUCCAAUGGGUCAGUUUAUCAUAGCUCGGCGGGUAUACAGGAACUGUCCGGUUAUGAUAUCUCAGAAAGUCACUUCAGCAGACUUAGUAGAAUUAGAGGUGAUAGAUUUUGAUGUUAUUCUCGAUAUGGAUUGGCUCCAUUCAUGUUAUGCCUCAGUUGAUUGUAGAAACAGAAUUGUUCAUUUUUAGUUUCCAAAUAAACCAGUCCUUGAAUGGUGGGGUAGUACUACAAUGCUUAAGGGUAAGUUGAUUUUAUACCUUAGAGCGAGAAAAAUAAUAUCCAAGGGAUGUGUCUAUUAUCUUGUAAGAGUCAAAGACUCUAGUUCAGAGACUCCUAGCCUUGAGACAGUUCCAGUAGUAAAUGAAUUCUCAGUUGUGUUUCCUGAAGAUCUUCCCAGAGUCCCUCCCGAAAGGGAAAUACACUUCGGAAUAGACCUUCUUCCAGACACUCAGCCUAUAUGUAUUCCGCCAUACAGAAUGGCACCAGCUAACUUAGAGAGUUAAAAAGAACAGUUAAAGGAUGUUUUAGAUAAAGGGUUCAUCAGACCCAGCAUUUCCUCGUGGGGUGCACCAGUCUUAUUCGUACGUAAGAAAUUGGUUCUCUCAAAAUGUAUAUAGACUACCGUCAGUUGAACAAAGUCAUAGUAAAGAAUAAAUACCCACUUUCUAGAAUCGAUGACUUGUUUGACCAACUUCAGGGCGCUAGUUACUUUUCUAAGAUAGACCUCAGAUCCAGCUAUCAUCAACUCAGAGUCAGAGAAUGUGACAUUCCGAAAAUAGCUUUUCGAACCCGAUAUGGUCACUUCAAAUUUCUAGUCAUGUCCUUUUGUCUCACUAAUGCCCCAACAGCUUUCAUGGACUUAAUAAACCGAGCGUUCAACAAGUACUUGGAUAUGUUCGUUAUAAUCUUUAUCGAUGACAUUUUGGUCUAUUCUUGUAGUGAGAAUAAUCAUGCAGAUCUUUUCAGAAUCAUACAUCAGACUCUCAAAACUCAUUAGUUGUUCUCCAAAUUUAGUAAGUACUAAUUUUUGCUAAGGUUAGUAGCAUUCCUUGGUCAUAUAAUUUCUGUUGAUGGCAUUAGGGUUGAUCCUCAAAAGAUUGAAGUAGUGAAAAACUAGCCUAGACUCAUUUCACCGUCAGAUAAUAUGAGUUUCUUGGGUUUAUAUGUAUAUUACCAUUGGUUUGUUGAUGGGCUUUCAUCUAUUGCGUCCCCUAUGUUCAGAUUGACUCAAAAAAAGUAAAGUUUCAGUGGUUAGAUUCCUGCGAAAAGAGUUUUUAGGAGUUAAAGACUCGACCCACCUCAGCCCCAGUUUUGAUUCUACCAAAUAGUUCAGAUGGAUUUGUUGUGUACUAUGAUGUAUCCAGAGUAGGUUUAGGUUGUGUAAUCAUACAGAGAGGUAAGGUCAUAACCUAUGCCUUUAGAUAGCUUAAUCCCCAUGAGAAGAAUUACCAAACUCAUGAUCUUGAGUUAGCAGCUGUAGUGUUUGCCUUAAAGAUUUGGAGGCACUAUUUGUAUGGGGUGCAUGUGGAUGUGUUCAUAGAUCGCAAAAGCUUGCAGUAUGUAUUUUUCUAAAAAGAUUUGAAUCUACAUCAGAGGAGGUGGUUAGAAUUGCUAAAAGAUUAUGACAUGAGUGUUCUAUAUCAUUCGGGCAAGGCCAAUUUAGUGGAAGAUGCUCUCAAUAGGUUUUCUAUAGGUAGUGUGGCUCAUGUUGAGAAUGAUAAGAAGAAGUUAGUUCAGGAAGUUCAUCAACUUGCCCGAUUAGGUAUCCGCUUAGUCGAUUCAGCAGAGGGUAGUGUGUGGGUGCAGAGUGUUCAGAAUCAUUCCUGGUUUUUGAAGUGAAGAAAAAUAAGGAUAGAGAUCUCAGUCUAGUUAAGCUUAAGGAGUCAGUCAAAGAUCAGAAAGUAGAAUUUUUCUCCCAAGGCAUAGAUGACUUGAGGUAACGAAUUCUUGCUGAAGCGCAUGAUGCAUGUUACUCUAUUUAUCCAAGGGCCACUAAUAUGUACCGCGGUCUACAGGAGAUCUAUUGGUAGAGUGGGAUGAAGAGGGAUGUUGCAGAGUUUGUAGCUAAGUGCUCUACAUGUCAGCAAGUUAAGAUUGAGCACCAGAAACCUAGUGGGUUUAUGCAGGCAUUCAGUAUUCCUACAUGGAAAUGUUAAGAAGUAAACAUGGACUUUGUGACGAGUUUGCCUUGUACUCGUCAUCAGCAUGAUUCGAUUUGGGUUAUCGUAGACAGAAUGACCAAAUCAACUCACUUCUUUCCAGUUCAUACUUCCUAUUUAUCCAAGGAAUACGCAAAAAUCUAUAUCAGCGAGUUGGUCAAGUUACACAGAGUUCCAGUAUCCAUAAUCUCAGAUAGAGGUACCCAGUUCACCUCUUACUUCUGGAAAGCAUUUCAAAAGAGUCUUGGUGCCCAAGUUUAUCUCAGUACAACUUUCCACCCUAAAAUAGAUGGUCAAGUAGAAAGGACCAUUCAGACUCUAGAAAAUAUGUUAAGAGCCUGCGUUGUUGAUUUUAAAGGUAGUUGGGAUGACUACUUGCCUUUGAUUGAAUUCGUAUAUAAUAACAGUUACCAUUCUAGUAAUCAGAUAGCUCAGUUUGAGGCUCUCUAUAGUAGGAGAUGCAGAUCUCCAAUUGAUUGGUUCGAGGUAGGUGAGGCUGCAGUAAUAGGGGCUGACUUAGUGUUUGAUUCCUUAGAGAAAGUUCAGUUGAUCAGAGAAAGGCUUAGGGCAUCCCAGAGUCGACAAAAAUCAUAUGUAGAUGUGAGGAGAAAGGAUCUCGAGUUUGAGAUUAGUGAUUUUGUGUUCUUGAAAAUCUCUCCCAUGAAGGGGGUGAAGAGGUUCAGAAAAAAGGGAAAGCUCAGUCCCCAAUAUGUCGGUCCUUACAGAAUUCUCAGCCAUUUUAGAAAGGUAGCUUACGAGUUUGAGUUGCCUUCAGAUCUAGCUUCAGUAAAUCCAGUGUUCCACGUCUCCUUGCUAAAGAAAUGCAUUAGUGACCCACGUAUAAACCCUAAACCUAGUUGGAAGCAGCCUCCUCAAUUGAUUGUUUCAUUAAUUGAGGAGAACUUUUAAACCCCUUAAAAAGAGCAUGAGAAGUAAUCAUAGAGGGUAAUUGUUGAUCGAUCACAUAGGAUGGUGGUAGUUAAACCUCGUAGAAAGAACAUUUGAAGUACGCAUAGGGGUGAUAGUGGUUGAAACCCCAUAGAAGGAACACCUGAAGUAUCAUAGAGGGUGGUAGUAUUAUUGAAAACCUUAUAUUUGAAGUAGCCAUAGGAGGUUGUUAUUGAAACCCCAUAGAAUGAGCAUGGAAAGUAAUCGUAGGAGUGGAGGGUAGUUAUUGUAGCCCACCACGCAUAGCUAUUAAUACAAUAUAAGAUAUUAAUAAAUACUAGUUCUGACAAAUAAAAAUACUUAAAAUUGAGAACUAUCUUUUACCUUUAGCAAGCAAAUAUGACUUUGCCUACUCCAAUUUCCCAAUCAUUUCAUACGGGUCCACACUAAAUUGAUCGAGGCUCAUUUGUUUCAACUGAUCUACCAUUUGAUCAAUCUAAAUCUUCAGUUACUCUUUAGAUAAUGUGGGGGGAAAAAGAAUCACAUAGGAAAAAAAGAUAAAUCAUCACAAACUAAUGAAAUAAUAGCGUGGGUAAAAGAAUGACUUUAGUUAUAGACAAAGAGACUGAUGUGGCAAGCCUUUGAUACAAACUAAAAGAACCCUGAUAUUAUGAACUUCUAAGGAGACAUAGUUUAGCAAGGCAGAAAGAGGAAAAGAAAGAAGACAUAAUGAUUGCAUGACAAAAUUUUUUCUUGCAUUUUUCGAAAAGAAGAAGUUUGUCUGCAUAUCUUCUCAACAACAUUGAUACAUCAUAUUGAGUUUUAUGGAAGAUAAGGGAACAGGUGAUACAAAUUUUACCGGUAAAAGCAUUACUCUAACAAGUGAUAUGAAUUUUGAAGCAUCUCUAAAUAUGUGAUACAUCAUAUUGAAUUUUAUAGAAGUUGACAGAACUGAGGUAGUGUAGGUGAUGGUUCUGGACAUAGUGAAGGAUUUAGAGUCGGAGGUAGUGUACGUGGUACUGCAGGAUGAGGUGGUGGUAGUGGUGGUGGUCUUGGAGUAGGGUCAGACCAUGAUGGUGGAGUUGGAAGCGAAGCUGAUGGAGGAGUAGGAAUAGGAGGCAGAUUUGGAGGCGGUGGUGGAGGUGGAGUAGGAGAAAGAUUAGGUCAUGGUGAUGGUUUUACUGUGGGUGGAGGCGUAGAUGGGGGGAAAGGGGAGGAUUAAGAGGAGAAAAAGGAGUAGGAGGGGGGUUAGGAGGUAGAUAUAUGGAAUGAAUUGGAGUUAGAAUUGAAAUCGAUAUAGGAGUUGAUGUUAGAGCUAGAGAUGGCUAGGGUGUUAAAGUAGGGAGCGGGUCCGAUAGUGGGUUCGAUAGCGGGGGUGGUAGUAAUGGCCGAUGAUAAAUCUCUUGUGGCCUUAUAGCUACACUUCGACAGUGCCAAGAUAUGUAUGUUGCUUUAGAUGUAAAAGUUGUUAAGCUACAACUACUAAUUAAACAAAAUUUGUAUAAUUUUGCUUUUGUUUGCAUUGUAUUUUCCCUAAUUUUCUAUGUAUCAUCCUAAGAAUUUACUUAAAUAAUUUAAAUAUUACUUAAAACAUCAAACAAAAAUGAAUAUAAAAGUUAUUUCAUAAAUUAAAUCACUACAUACGAAAAAAUUAACGACAAAAAUAAUUGGUCCUUCAUACAUCACAAAAAUUCUCAACAUUAUUCAUUUUCUAUGCAUUAGAGAUAUAUGAUUAAUAAUAACAACAUUACACAAAAUAGUGAAAUAAAAAUAUUAUUGUCAAAAUUAAAACUUAACAAAAUCAAAGAAUUUCACCGAUAUUAUCACAUAUGCUAUUAUAUGUAUGCAUAUAAAAAAUUUAGUUAUAUCAUGAUAAUUAUUAAGAAAAAACAUACCUUCAAAUGAGAAAGCAAUUUUGAUUCAAAAAAUAACUUAUUAAUAAUAGAGAUGACUUUAUAUUUUGGAGAGCAGUAAAAUAUAUGUAUAUAUGAGAAAUAUUAUCUAUAUUUAUAGAUGAAGGAGAAGGUGUGCAAUACGCUAAACUUGUUGAAUGAAUAGAAGGUUUGAAAAAAAAGUCAAAUAAAUAUUUAAUUAGAAUCUAUCUUCAUUUUGUUACCUUAUUAUUUGGAUUCAUUUUACUUUGUCAAAUUUACUAAAAGUUAGAAAACACUAUAUUCAUGUUUACAAAUAUCUAAAUGAGAUAAUAUUUGUUAUUUUUUACCUUUUCUUUUGGAUAAGUUUUUACCGUUUCAAUUCUAAAACUGAGUAACCAAAUUCAUAUAAGUAUACUACCUGAUGACAAAUAUUUAAAACAAAAUUCUAUCUAUUAUUUGUUAUCUUUUUUUAAUAUAUUUUUAUGGUGUCAAAAUUUACUACGAAUAAACAGUCAUUAUAUAUAUAUAUAUAUAUUAACAAAUAUGUCACUUUUCAUUAAUUAUUUAUUGAAAAUUAAAUAUUCAAGAAAAAAUUUAUAUGUGAUGUCAAAGUACAAUCUUGUAACGUGAUUCAUUUGUCAAUUGUUUUUAUUAAUAAUAAUAAAAUAACUUAUAUAUUCUUUAGUCAUCAUCACCAAUGAUAUUUUCAAAUUUAUUUAAAGAAAAUGAGUGGAAAUAAAAUAAAAAUAUAUAAAUCAUAAAGAAUUAUGAUUUAAAUAUGAAAUGUAAAAUUUUAAAAGUCAAACGUUAAUCAAACUUGAAAGAUAUGCGUGUGAUAGGGAUAAUUCUGUCAUAAAAAAAUAUUUUUCUGCUUCUGUUUCUUUAGAAACAGAAAUUUUCUGCUUCUUUCCAGAAACAGAAAAACUGUUUUUUCUUAUUUUUAAAAGCACUUUUGAAAGUUUACCAAACACCUUUUUUUUUAAUUAUUUUUUCUUCAAAAUAAGUGCUUAUUUUGAGAAAUAAGCAAUCCCAAACAUGCUAUUAGUGUGCAGUUGGGACAUGUUAUCUGGUUGCUAACUUGCAUAUAUGUCGAGGGAAUGAUCAUUUCUUCACAGAAUGUUUCCUUUAAUUUGAAAUAUAUAUUGUGCUUUAGGGUCCUCUAUUGUUGUUAUGAUACAGCUUUUUCAUGGAUUAGAGUUUUGAAACGAAGGAAGAUGGUGGUAAUGAAUGGGGUUCUUCCAAAACAAUAACCGUAGAAUUCAUUGAUGGUAUUUUAAACUUCUAUCUUGAUGAAUUUUGUAGAUUGAUUAAGAAUUUCAAGGGACUAACAUUGGAUUCUUCUGAGCGAAUCGUGUUGUAGAUUGUCACUGUGAUUAUGUCGUAAGUUUGAAUAAUGUAUCUGCUAAGUGUGUUGAAUGUGUUAAGGACACGUUUGGUAGGAUGUAUUAUUUAAAUUAAUCCAUGUAUUAAAAUCUAAUUCAACCUAAUACAUCGUUUGGUUGCACAACUUAAUUUAAUUCCUUCUUAUCCAUGGAUAACUAAUACACCAUAUGGUGUAUUAUCUUAUACCUAGGAACCAUGGGAUUACUUAUCCAUGGCAUAAUAAUACAUGGAUAAGAGAAUUAAAUAACCUAACUACCCCUCAAUUCUUUUUAUUAAAUUUUUUCUUUUAGUUCCAUUUUAAAUCUAAUCACUAAAAAUUUGAUUGUUAUGUUACAUUAAUUUUCAACCUCUUUUUUCUUUGCGUAUGCUGAUCAAGUGCUUAAAUAUCAUUUUCUUCCUUAUAUUGGUUGAUAGCGUCGAAUGAGAACCACAUUUAUGCUAUUGUAUAAUUGUUUAAUUUACAAAUGGAUUAAUUUAUAUAGAAAAGAUUAUUGUCAAGAAAAUAUAUAAUUUGAAAAUCUAAAACUAUAUUAUCAACGAUCCGUGAUGUUCUUAUAUAAUGUGCUUUUGCAUUUUUAAAAAUUAUUUCUAUAUAAUAUGAUAAUUAUUUGUUGUUUUGAAUUUUUCUUGAUUAAAUAGACUCAAUUUUUUUUGGAAAAAAAUAAAUGUUCAACAACCGAGGCACGGCACGUUGCUAAGGAUAGGCUCAUGCUAUAUCUCCCUGGCAAAGGCAUUUCCCCAUUUCUUCCGCCCUUGGCCUUAACCGCUUAAGCAAAGUAAAAAUUAUUAUUCAUAUUUUAACUUUUCUAUAAGAUCAUCCCAAAAAAAUUUGAUGGUAUAGUAGUAAAAAAAUUUUUGUAGAAUUUUAAAUCUAAACACAAUACAUGAUAUAUUUAUGUUUUAAUAUAAUACACCAAACACUUGAUAAAAAAUAAUCCCUCUAUUACUAAUCCCUGCAUUGCUAAUCCCUGUAUUGUUAAUCCAUGAAUAAUAUCUCUUUGUACCAAACGACCCCUAAGUGUGUUGAAUGUGGAAGAUGGUCCUACCACAGGUGUCUGGUACCUGUAGAAGAAUUUCUCUUUGGGUAAACAUUGGUGUAUAGAAUCAACGCAAAGACAAAUCAAUCUGACAGUUCAUUUUCUCUCCUAGACACAGUUCUCGAGGAAAAGGCCUAAUCCAACCUAGGUUUCCUCCCUCCAUCUCCAGUGAUCGUUUCGAUCACCAGACCCCUUCUUUUGUUUUUCCCUUUUCUUCUUCAUUUUCUUUCCCUCUUCUUUUGCUCUCUCUUGCUAUCAUGGAGGACACCAUCUUCUUUGCGGUCGGCUUCAAAUCUUUUGAUGUGUCGUGGCUAAAUGGAACUUCAGGAGAUUGGUAUGAGUGGUCUGAAAGGAGAAAAAGUACCAUCACUACAACUUCUUUUAACAAGAAGUCAAUCGAUUGGAUUGUUCAAACUCCGCGAGAGGCAUCCAUGACGUCCGAAAAUAUUGUUAAAAGAUGGAAGAGAAAAGAUACAUUAUCAGAAAUCUAUUAUGCUCGAGAUUUCAACAAGUUUGGUAUAUAUAUUUUGAGAGGUAAAAAAGAGCAGUACUUAUUAUCCCUAAAAUAACCUUCAACUAUGGAUGGAAAUACAUAACUGACAAAAUGGGGAGGUUUAUCAACAAAUAUCAUAUCGUAAAUAACAUGAGAAAUACAGGUUAAUGGACGACAAUAUUGCUUACGCAGAGGCAUUGAAGAGCAUUAAAUGGGUAACAAGACAGAAUGUGAAACAGAGGUUAAUGGUGCAUUUAUGAAGGAGAGGGGCACAAUAUGCAUUAAUGACACCUCCUUAGCACAUAAUGAGAUUCCAAACAGAAGUUUAGUGGGGAAAUUUGACAACAGAGCUAAUGAGCCCAUUACUCUUUGCAGAAGUCCGAAGAUGGGAAAAUGACACCUGGAAAUAAUAUCACGGUUUGAACAUCUAUGAGAUGGGUAACGGGAGCUUUCUCUUUGAAUUUGUGUUCCAGGCUAUGGCAGAGCAGGCUAUCGCCGGCAACUGAUUAUGGAAAAAAUCCAAAGUCAGUCUACAGUGGUGAAUCCGGCUAUAGGGGUUGUAGAGAAGGAGUACAAACCCAAUGCAACUUGGAUUAGAAUUGUAGGGCUUCCACUACACCUCUGGUCCCAACAUGUAUUCAAAGCCAUUUGAGACUCCUGUGGAGGUUGGGCUGAGACCGAGGAAGAAACGCAAUUUCUAAAUCACUUUAAAUGGGCGAGAAUAAAGGUCCAUGGAGAUGGAAGAGAUAUUCUGAAAGAAAUCACGGUGGAGAAUGAUGGAAUCCUAUUCACUAUGCAGAUUUUGGAAGAAAUUCUAAUGAGAGUGAUAACCAGUGAUACACAGUGCCCCAACUCUUUUUCCAAAGGUCGCCGAUGACAAACACGAUGGAUAAAAGAGUAGGAGUAUGCAGAGAAAGUGGUCAAAGGUCAGAAGAGCCACAUGACUUUGCAGUCACACGUGGAAAGGAGAGGACAAUAAAUUCAAAUUGUGGGACAUGGGCGGACCGGCUAGAAGAAACUCGCCAAGGCCCAAGUUACUCAAAUAUUUCUGAAAAGGGAAAAGGCCAAUUAUACGACUCUGACUCUUUAGCUUUGCUUCUAAAGCCACGUGAGGGUCAUGUGGAAUCCUCAAUAGCGAUGGAAAAGGGACUUUGGAUUAAAAAGGACAAAUAAGUUAUCCAAUUAAGCAAGCAUUCUUCAAAUUUUUUAAAUUAGGUGGGAGGGACAAAAUCUUUUUGAGUUUUUUUUUUAAAAAUUUUUCCGUUCGAACAACUUGUUCCAGUUGUAGAACAACUUUGGUAGUUGUUUGAUAACUUUGCGAAGUUGUUCAACAACUAGAUACAGUUGUCCUAUAACUGCACCUAGUUGUUGAACAACUAGGCGUAGUUGUUCGACAACUGAGAGAAGUUGUUCAACAACUAUGCGAAGUUGUUCAGAUAACUAACGUAGUUGUCCCACAACUAUCCCAGUUGUUCAAGGGACUUAGUUUUUUUUAGGGACAAGUUGUGGACCCACUUGUCCCUUUUUUUAAUUGGAAACUUGUCGGGCCCUUGUGGCUUAUUUUUCUCGAUGAAGAAGCCAUGUGGGAAUAAGAAAAGAAAACUCAGAGGUUUGCUGGAGAUUAAAAUGUUAGCAUCGCGAUUCCUAGAGGCCUUCAAAGAUUGGGAAUCUAAUGCUAGAGAAGAAACGAACACCACAGACAUAAAAAAGAAUACGAUCGAGAAGAUAUCAACAAUCCAAACAACGGAUAAACUCCAGAACAAAGAAAAUUCAGAAAACUUAGUCAGUCAGAAGUGAGAGACACAUGCACUGAGGUUCCAGGGUAGGGUACGUUACAGAGGAAAACAACUUACAAUUACAACGGAUUCAUGAUGUAGAACCCGUCUCCACGAUAUCUAUAGGGAACAAAGAGAAUCAAAAAUAAAAGCCUCAAAUUGGGUAAAUUCCUAUAUACUGGAGCUGACUAAUACAUACGAGGUGGCUUUUGUGGGAUUCGAGAAGGAAACUUUAGCCCUUCUUAUGAGGUUAGACAAGAUGAAGACUAAAUUGGAGCGAAAGGUACAAAGGAAAGUCACAAUAACUUCUACAAGCAGGGAAUCGGGAAAAUCGAACUGAAGAAUUUACAAUCCAGCCUCAGUGAAGAAGUAGAUGGUGACAAAAACAGAAGGAGAACUCUUAGUCAGACUUUUAAAUGAAAAUCAAUCUUAUCAGAUAGAAUGUAAGAGGACUAAACAAUAUUUCCAGUAGGAAUUUGAUUAAGAGCUUGUUACAGAAGAGGGGAGCUGAUGUGUAUAGUUUUCAAGAAACAAAAUUAAGCCGGAGGAGGAGGUUGCAAAACUGCUCUGGCCAAGCAGGUGGAUGAAGUGAAAUUUUAUUGAAGCCGAAGGUAGUGGUGGAGAGAUUCUGGUGAUGUGGAAAACAAGAUUCUGGGAUGGUGUAUUGGUUGAAACUGGCCAAUACUCUUAUCACUCUUAAAUUUGAAUCUUUACAAAGUUCUUUUACAUGGUUUCUCACUGGGGUGUAUGCUCCUCACACGAGAAAGGAGAAAUUAGAGUGUUGGGAGGAAUUAGCUGCAAUUAAGGAGCUGUGCGGGAGACCGUGGAUUACUUACGGGGAUUUCAAUACAGUAGAUUCAUGGCAGAAAGAAGAGGUUGCAGUAGAAUCACAAAUGUUAUGUGAGAUUUCUCUAGAUGGAUUGAAGAUAUGGAAUUUCAUGAAGGAGGGAACUUUUCGUGGUUUAGGAGAGUCAACCAUAGAAGCGCUGCGAGGUUGGACAGAUUUUUGUACUCCAUGGAGUGUUCAGAAACAUCUGACAGAGAUUACUUCCUAGGGUGACCUCCGACCACAGUCCCAUUAUGCUCAAGUGUGGUAACUAGGAGAAGAAUAGAUCCAACUUUAAAUUCAAAAAUCGGUGGCUCAAGGUGAGGUUUAGCAAUCUGGUAAGGGUUUGGUGGAAUAAAUUUGUGGUAGAGGGAUGUCCAGACUACAAGCUUAGCUUCAAAUUAAAAAUGGAAAAGGGCCCAAAAUGCCCUUCAACUAUGUGAAAUGAUGCAAAAAUGCCUCCCGUCUAUCUAUUGGGCCUAAAAUGCCCUUCCUGUCUAUCUAUUGAGUCUAAAAUGCCCUUUCCGUCUACCUAUUGAGGCUAUUUUGCCUUUUUAUUUAAGAAAAAAAUUACAUAAUACCACAACUUAUCUUUAUUAAACUACAUAAAAUCCCUAUUCUUUUUAUUAGUAUUAACCAAAUAAAUAGUGCAUAAUAUUUAUUUUUCGUCGUUCUAAAUUGAUAUGAUAAAUAAAAGAAAAAACAACAUAAAUAGUCAUUUUUUAAAAAUUAUUACAUAUACAUAGCUGUAUUAGUUGAUUGUCAGAUAUAACAUAUAAAAUAUUUAUACUUUAACUUGACACAAAGUUUAAGAAAAUAAAGAACAGUUUUGAAUCUUAUGGCCUUAAAUUAAUGUUGUGUCAAAUGUACCCAAAUGCCCUUUAAUCUUGUGGUUCUAAACUAUUGCAAAAAAGGAAAGAGCUCUCUCUUUUUGAAACGAACUAUAAAGGAAAGUAGGUCAUUCUUCUUGAAACGGAGGGGGUAUUAAAUUCCCAUAUUUGUUAUUUAAUGUCUAUUUUUAUGGAAGCCCCUAGUCAUUCAUUUUUUAUCUACUAUAUCAAAAUUUUAUGUUUUUCAUUUUUAUUGUUUGUUUUCCCGAUGCAUCCAUAAAAAUAUAUGGUAUAUUUUUAUCAUAAAAAUUCAUAGUAUAUUUAUAUAUUGUACAAAUUAUAUUUAUAUCAUAAUAAUACACGGUAUAUUUAUACCAUAAACAUACAUGGUAUAUUUUAGAUUAUAUCAUGUAAUACUGAAAAUAUAUUUAUAUUUAAUAAAUAAUUUUUUAACAAGAAAACUACUUCUGACAUAAUGUGAUAUAUCAUAAAUAUUUAUCCCAUAAAUUAUAUUAAAUAUAUAAUAAUAAUCUGACUUUGACAUAAAUUAUAUUUAUACAAUAAAAAUACAUGGUAUAUCUGUACUUCCAACAUAAUAAUUUUUAUUCCAUAAAUAUUUAUCUAUAAAAAAUUAUGGUUAACCCAUUACACUAGAAUUAAAAAUACAUGAUAAUCAAAUAAUAUUAGAUGAUUAACAUACAUGAAAACAAAAAGAAACACAAAGGAGCAAAUAAUGGAAUACUUAGUUUAUUUAAAAAUAUUUGAAUUUUGAAUACAAAACAGAGAAAGAUUUCGAAGCAGGGAUUAUCUUUUUCACUUUAAUUUUGAAGAUUGAAAUAUAUUUUUUAAAUUAAGCUGAAUUGUUAAUUAGUUAUAACAUUAAAUUAGGAAUUAUAAUUAUAUUUUUUAAUUCUUUUAAAUGGCUACAUAUAUAUGAAAAAAAAACUUUUAUUUUUUUAAUAUUAAAAAAAUACUAUUAUUUAUGUAGUUAAGUCUUUAGGAUGAUCUUUUCAUGUAAUUUGCCUAAAUAAAAGGGUAAAAUAGGCUCAAUAAGUAGAUAGAAAGGACAUUUUAGGCCCACGGAGGGCGUUUUUGCAUCAUUUUAUAUAGUCGAAGGAUAUUUUAGGCACUUUUCCGAAUUAAAAAUGUUGAAGAAAAAACUUUAAAGUAUAGAGCAAAACUACUUUUGGGAGUUGAUUAAUAGAAAGAAUAGUUUGUUGAAUGAAUUGGCCAAGCUUGACUUAAUCCAAGAUAGCAGAAUCCUGCCAAAAGAUGAGAUGAUAAUCAGAGCUACAAUUUUAGUGAAUUGGAGGACCUUGCUAAAAAAAAGUCAACAUGGAGGAAGAAAUCCAGAGUGCUUUGGUUGAAAAAAGGGGAUAACAACACAAGAUUCUUCCAAAGAAUGGACGGCCUCAACGCAUAGAGGAUAUAAUUCAAUCGAUAGAUUGGUGGUGUAAGGAGAGGAAAUCAAAGAUCCCGAAGGGAUAAAAAUAGCUACAAUAGAGUUCUGUAGCAAGCUUUAGUCAGAAUCAGAAGAUUGGAGACCAUCUUUUGAGUUGCUGGACUGUGCUAAAGUCACUCAAGAGGAGCAGGAAUAGCUACAGAGAGCUUUUUUUUUUUGAACUAAAGGUGCUUCAAAUUGUCAAGCAAUGCGGCGGUGACAAAGCACCUGGACCAGAUGGUUUUACUAUGCAAUUCUCCAAGGGAUGUUAAAGUAUAUUGAAGAAUGAUUUGAUGCUUACUAUCCAGAACUUUCAUCAAAAUGAAAUAUUUGAAAAAUCAUUCAAUGUUACCGUUAUAGCAUUAAUUCUGAAGAAGCCAAGAACGGAAGAACUCAAAGAUUUUGGGGCAACCAACUUGAUAGGAGGAGUGUACAAGAUCAUCUCUAAACUUCUUAUUGGGUGGAUAAAGACUGUUAUGGAUAAACUGGUUGAUAAACAUCAGAUGACCUUCCUAAAAGGCAGGCAAAUUCUAGAUGCAUCUCUGUUGGCCAAUGAGUUGGUGGAUUCUAGAGUAAGACAGAAGACCCCGGAAUUCUAUGCAAAUUGGAUAUCGAGAAGGCUUAUGACCAUGUCAACUGGUCCUUUCUUCUCAAAGUACUAACUAACAUGGGAUUUGACACUAAGUGGAUAAAGUGGAUAAGAUUUUGCAUAUCCAAUUUAAAAUUUUUUCUCAUCAUCAAUGGUAAUACAGAAGGAUUUUUCCAAUCAUAGAGGGGCUUGAUACAAGGUGAUCCUUUAUCACCUUUUUUUUCUUCUUCUAGUCAUGGAGGGUUUAAAUCUUGUGAUCAGAAAAGCUAAAGUAAAUGGAUGGAUUAGGGGCUUUUGUGCCCAAACAAACGGGGGAAGUUCCACGAAAAUCACACACCUACUGUAUGUUGACGACUCACUAGUUUUUUGUGAUGCAAAUGUAGCUCAGAUUAGAUAUCUACGAGCCAUUCUAACCAUCUUUGAAGGCAUCUCUGGACUGCAUGUUAACUGCAUAAGAGCUCUAUUUUUUCGGUUAACCAGGUGGACAACUUGCAUCUAUUAGCUGAGAAUCUAGGCUGCCAAACAACCUCUCUGCCUACCAAGUAUUUAGGAAUGCCUUUGGGUGCAAAAAACAAAGAGCUUCAAAUUUGGAUUGAAGUGUUAGAGAGAUAUGACAAGAUGUAGCUAAGUGGAAGAGUCAGUAUCUAUCUUUAAGGGGGCAGGUUGACACUCAUAAAGUCUGUGAUGGAUGCCCUCCCUACUUAUAUGAAGAGUUUGUUCCCAAUACCUAAGAAUAUUGAGAGGAAGAUCAACAGGAUUAAGAUUUUCUUAUGGUACGGAAACAAGGAGAAAAGGGGUUAUAACUUGGUGAAAUGCGACAUCCUGAUGCUUAACAGGAACCAAGGAGCCAAAGGGGCCUGGGUAUUAAAAAUCUUAGCAUUUAGAAUGAUUGUCUAUUGCAGAAAUGGCUCUGGAGAUUCUGUACAGAGAAUAUGCAGCCCUAUAAAGAUUUAUUAUAGAGAAAUAUGAAUUACUAACUCAAUGGACAAUAGAGGAGGUCACGGGUACCUCUGUCUGUAGUGUUUGGAAAUUCAUCAGAAGGUUAUGGACUCAUUUCUUUACCAAUGUCUCUUUCAAAGUGGGAGAUGGAGCAAAAACUAAUUUCUGGAAUGAACAUUGGAUAAGUGAGGAUAAUUUAAGAAAUCUAUUUCCUCAUCUUUAUAUCCUAAGUUCACAAAGAAAUUUUUCAGUGUCACAAGUGUGGUGUCCUCAAGGAUGGAAUCCAGUGUUCAAGAGAGACAUGAAUGAUUGGGAAGUGGCUGAUAUUGCUAGUCUUUUGCAAAUAUUAAAUCUGUAUCCAGGGAUAACUAGUGGAGUGGAUAAACCAGUCUGGCAGUUACAUAGCAAAGAAAAUUUCACUGUUAAGUCAUGCUACUCAUGCUACUGGGGAAGAAACCAUAACCUCUCCCCUACAAGUAAAUGGCCUUGGAAGCAAAUAUGGGAAGUCAAAAAGUCCACUAAAAGUUGUUUGCUUUAGUUGGUUGGUGGUUUUUAGAACUUGUCUUAUCCAUGAAGUGUUACAGGGAAAAGGUUUGGAGAUCUGCUCAAGAUAUUUUUUAUGUGAUCAAGACGUAGAGGUUAAUAGCCAUCUAUACUUACACUGUAGAACAACCGUAAAACCCGUGGAAUAUAUUCUUGUGUAUCUUAGGGGUUUGUUGGGUGAUGCCAAGUUCCACCCUUGAGUUCCUUAACAGCUGGAAAUGAAUUGAUAAGAGAGGAUCUGAUGAAGACCGGUGGAUGAGCAUCCCAACAUGUGUUUGGUGGACUUUAUGGAAAGAGAGGAAUGCAAAGAUGCUUUGAAGGUAGAAGCAACAGUAUGCAAAAGAUAAGAUGUAAUUGCCUGACUUUAUUGUAUUUUUGGUGUAAACAAGAAUUGGGGGAGGAUACAAUAACACUAGUUGAUUUCAUAGGUAACUUGUAAAGUCUUUUAUGUUUUUGCAGUCCCCUCUGAGGAUAUUCCACAUAGUAUGUGGAUUGUAAAGGUCACUCGUCAUUUUUUGGAUGAUGAGCAUUUUGUGAAUAGAAAAGAUACCCUUGAGUAAAAAAAAAAAACAGGUGUCUGGUCCCUAAAUUUUUGUUGUUUGAAUCCGGUGCUUUUACCUCCCCUGAGGUGAUUAAGGUGGAUCAAGUGUUGUAAUCCCUCUAUCCCAUAUCCCAUGUGAUAAAAAUGUUUACCCACUUCAAAAGACCAACUAAGAAAUUCAGUUUACCGUACAAUCUUAGUCAAUUAGUAUGUUGUUUGCUUUAGGUUUCCAUAACUAGGGAAUGGGUCAACAAAUGUUCUUUCACAUUGUGUUGAACGUGGGUUUUGGCAUGGUUGUAUGCAUGGAUAUCGUUGGUGUGAAUAUUGUUUUUUCAAUGAAUACUUACGUUUGUACCGACAUUAUUCUAUGAUGUUACUACUUACUUUGUCUACUAAUAUCCUGAUAAAGAAAAAGAAAAAUAAAUUCCAGUCUCAGUUGUAUGUGGACGAACCUGCCUUAGUGUCAUUAUCGUGGAUUCGUGUCCAUAGUGUUGGGGAGUUUAAUUAGCAAGUUUUAAUCAAUGAAGCGGUGUAUAGAGCCUAUUAAAGAAGUUAGGAACUUUCAAAUGCAUAUGAUGCCUCCAAUAAUUCUUAAAGAGUUGUUUUCUUUUAAUGUGUUAUAUUUUAAUUCUCUUAAAUUUUGUGCUAUGAGCACAAUUACUUUUAUGAUUUACCAGUUUAUUUUAUAGGGUUGUAAUUCAGUGUUUGCUCAGAAUUGGGUAUUCUAGUCGUUUGUCUUGUAGGCUUAUGUAGAUAUAUCUGCUGCAUUGAGAUUUGAAAAAGUUUGAUGAGAUCUUUUUUGUUUGAUGAAAUCUCAUUUUUGGCCUAUUUUUCUGGAAAGUGGUUUGUGAUCACUACAAAUCACAACCCAAAAGAAAGCUGGUUCAUAAUCAGUAUCUUGGCAUAUUCUUACGAGAGAAAAUCAAGAUAUUGAUUGUUAGCCAGCAGUUUUGGCUUUGACUUUUUGUAGCAUUAACUGAAACAUCUGAAUAUAUCUGGUAAUACUUCACCUCAAUAUGUUUAGCAGUAAACAUGUGUAACUUGCCUCAUUGUGUAAUUCUCUCAACUAUCUACUUAUAACCAGACCGGUCAGUUAGGUUAAUUUCACAGUAAAAGGCCAACAACUCACGUAAUUGUAUUCUCUUGAUAAAGUGAGGUGAUGAUACAUGAAAUGGGCAUUAGAUUAAUUGUUUUUAAGUAAACCCAUAACUACUCCAUCAACAUUAGACCAAAGUGUGUCAAAAAUAUGUAUCUAGAAAGUUAAGUGAUUUCGUAGCUCCAUGCAGGCCAAGUUAGCCUAACUAUUUAUAUAUUCUGGUAUUUCUAUUUACACCUAAAGUACCAAUGAAACAAAUAUGAUAUCUUCUUACUUGUUAUAUUACCUAGUAUUUAGCAAAACUCCUAUUUGUCCAGAUUAAUCAAAUAGGCAUAGUAAUGUUAUUGUCCAAGUUGCUUUUUUAUUUUGCUGAUAUUCAUAGGUUUGAACUCUUGACAAUACUCGUGACAGGCCCAGUCACCCUGUUCAACAUCCCUAAGCCAUUUUAAAAAGCGGCAAUGUAACAGUCCAAAUUGACAAAAUAAACUUGCAAUGAUUUAUUCACUUUUAUAAUAAAAUGGUAUAAAAGAUGCGUUUCAGAAGAUCAUAACAAAGAAAGGCUCUUUUUCCCCAUAUAGUAAUAGUGUAAAAUGCGAUAGAUAGAGUAUAUAUCAUGGUGCUUUGCUCCUUAUAUACAUUCUACAUCAGCAUUUUAUCACAUGGAUAAAUUUGUGUUGCAAGAUCUUACCUGUAGAUGACUUCUAAUUUGUUGAUCUCCGUGUCCAUACCGUGCCCUUCUCAUCCUCUAUUGAGCAAUUAUGUUAUUCUGGUUAAGUAAACUUUAAUUCCUCACCUCUCUAAUUAUAGAUUGCCCAUUCCGAAGGUUUAUAAAUUCCAAGUAAUCCAGUUGACAAGUGGACACCUCUCCCUGGAUAGUCAACCACUUCUGCGUUUCAGUCAUUCACCAUGCGAUACACCUGUGUAAAUUCCUCUUUUUAAAUCUGUUCCUUUAUGCACAUGUCCAACAUACUCUUGCCAUUUCCAACUUUGGAUUUGGAACAUAAACUUCAUCCUGUCUGUUCUCUAUCCAUGUACUCAGCGUGUAAGAAUGCAAAACCUCCACUAAGACCAUCACUUGUGGUAUUCUACUGGCUAUGUUCAAUGUUGUUGUUUGGAAGAUGUGCAAACAAACUUUUUUUUUCUGAAAAUGGAAGUAAAAUUUUAUCAUACAAUUGUUGUGUCUUCUUUCUUUUCCUCUAUUCUUUCUGCCUUGCUAACCUCUGUCUCCUUAGAAGCUCAUAAUAUCAGGGUUCUUUUAGUUUGUACCAAAGGCUUGCCACAUCAGUCUUUUUGUCUAUAGCUAAAGUCAUUCUCUUAGGCAUGCUAUUGUCUCAUUCAUUUGUGAUGAUUUAUCUUUUUUUUUUUGUAUGAUUCUUUUUCUUUCCUAGAUUAUCUUUGGAGCAACUGAAGGUUCAGAUCGAUCAAAUGGCAGAUCAACUGAAACAAAGGAGUUUCGGUCAAUCUAGUGUGGACUUGUAUGAAAUGAUUGGGAAAAUGGAGGACGCAAAGUCAUAUUUGCUUGCCAAAGGUAAAAGAUAGUACUACCUCUGUCCCAUUUUAAGUAUCGCCAUUUGACCGGACACUGAGUUUGAGAAAUAAAUGAUGACUUUGUAAAGUUUACAAAAUUGUCCCUCUUAAUGUUUACUUUUUAGUUGUUUUUUCUUAAUAAGUGGGACCCACUAAGGAUAAAAUGGGAAUGAUGCCAUUAAAUAAUUACCAAAUAAGGAAAGGUGACAUUCUUUUUGGGUCGGACCAAAAAGUAAAUGACGACACAUAAAAUGAGACGGAGGGAGUAUUCAGUUUUAAGUAUUUUUAUUUGUUAUCUAUUAAUAUCUUAUGUUGUUUUAAUAGCUAUACGUGGUGGGCUACAACAACCACCCUUGAUGGGUAUGGCUUCACUCCACGAGUACUUUCCAUGCUCAUUCAAUGGGGUUUCAAUAGCAACCCCUAAGGCUACUUCAACUAUGAGAUUUUCAAUACUACAACCAUCCUCUAUGCGUACUUGAGAUGUUUCAAAUGCUUUUUCUAUAGGGUUUCAACUACCACCACUCCAUGUGACCGAUCAACGAUUACCCCAAUGGUUACUUCCCAUGCUCUUUCUAAAGGGGUUUCAAAGACCUCCUCAAUUUAUGAAACAGCCAAUUCUGGAGGCUGCUUUUAACUCAGUUUAUAUAGGAGAAAACCGAUGAAUGACCUUUUGUUCCUGUGAACUCUCUCACGUAUUGGUUUACCACAAUAGUGGCUGAUUUAGAAGUUAUAAUAAUUGAUGAGGCACAUUAUACCAACUUAAAGAACACUAAUACCGCAUAUAACUUCAUCAACUAAAUGUACUUAAGUGACAUUAACGUUCCUGUGAUACUAAGGAGCACAAAAUUACUUAAAAGAAGUCAAUCCGACUAGUUGCCCGGGUUGUUAUCUCGCAUAUCCCCAUUUAUAGUGAAAAUGUUUUGGCCAUCACUUGGGAAAUUUUUUUUAUGAGAAUAAUGAUUCACCUAUCUUAUCAUGGAAGGUGUUUGGAUCGAAAUACAUGCUUGUCAUUAUCAUUGAUAGUGAAAGUAUCUAGUUUUUAUAUAUGUUUUUUAAGUUUACGAAUUAACAUGUUUUUCACGAUUUCACUUAAAUUAUUUUUUAUCUACAUUUUGUAGUGUCAGAUGAAGCGGGUCCAUCUAAUUGAGCGUCCGGCCUUGGGUAAUGUGAUAGUGCUCCAUCUUAUAGAAUCAAUGAAGUAAGAAUGACAAGUGGUCAUCAUAAGCUCUUCUUUUUGAUGGAAUAAGAUGAUUAAUGCUAUUAAUCAACAUCGCAUACAUAGAAAUAAGUCAGCUUCUAAUUUACUUUAUCCUCAUUGAUGCUAUAGGAUGGAGCACUAUCACAUUACCCGAGGCCGAACGGCUUGAUUAGAAGGACCCUCUUUGUCUGGCACUACAAAAUGUAGAUAAAAUGUAACUAGAGUGAAAUCGUGAAAAAAAUGUUAAUUCGUAAACUAAAGAAACAUGUAUAAAAAAUAGAUACUUUCCUUAUCGAUGAUAAUGACAAGCAUGUAUUUUGAUCCAAACACCUUCCAUUGAUAAGAUAGGCGAAUCAUCAUUCCCGUAGAAAAAAAUUGCUCAAGUGAUGGCCAAAACAUUCACUCUAAAUGGAGAUAUGCGAGAUAACAACCCGUUUAAGUUAUCACAGGAAUGACAAUGUCUCUGAAGUACAUUGAAUUGAUAAAGCUAUAAGCGGGACUACUGUUCUUUAAGUUAUCACAGGAAUGACAAUGUCUCUGAAGUACAUUGAAUUGAUAAAGCUAUAAGUUGAUAAAACUAUAAGCGGGACUAUUGUUCUUUAAGUUGGUAUAAUGUGCCUCAUCAAUUAGUAUAGCUUCUAAAUUAUCCACCAUUAUGGUAAACCAAUAGAUGAGAGUGUUCACUGGAACAAAAGGCCAUUCAUCGGUUGAUUCCCAUGUAUAAACCCAAAACCAACCUCUUGAAUUGAUUGUUCCAUUAAUUGAGGAGAUCUUUUAAACCCCUUAGAAAGAGCAUGGGAAGUAACCAUAGAGGGGUAAUUAUUGAUUGAUCAUAUGAGAUGGUGGUAGUUGAACCUCAUAGAAAGAAUAUUUGAAGUACGCAUAGGGGUGGUAGUGGUUGAAACCCCAUAGAAGGAACACUUGAAGUAUGCAUAGAAGGUGGUAAUAGUAUUGGAAACCUUAUAUUUGAAGUAUCCAUUGGAGGAUAGAGGGUGGUAGUAGUAUUGAAAACCUUAUAUUUGAAGUAGCCAUAGGAGGUUGUUGUUGAAACCCCAUAGAAUGAACAUGGAAAGUACUCGUGGGAGUGGAGUCAUACCCAUCAAGGGUGGUUAUUGCAACCCACCACGCAUAGCUAUUAAAACAAUAUAAGAUAUUAAUAAAUACUAGUUCUGAGAAAUAAAAAUACUUAAAAUUGAGAACUAUCUCUUACCUUUAGCAAGCAAAUAUGACUUUGCUUGCUCCAAUUUCCCCAUCAUUUCAUACAGGUCCACACUAGAUUGACCGAGGCUCCUUUGUUUCAGCUGAUCAACCAUUUGAUCAAUCUGAACCUUCAGUUUCUCUUUAGAUAAUGUGGGAAAGAAUCAUUCAGGAAAAAAAGAUAAAUCAUCACAAAUUAAUGAAACAAUAGCGUGGAUAAGAGAAUAACUUUAGUUAUAAACAAAGAGACUGAUGUGGCAAGCCUUUGGUACAAACUGAAAGAACCGUGAUAUUAUGAACUUCUAAGGAGACAUAGUUUAGCAAGGCAGAAAGAGGAAAAGAAAGAAGACAAUGAUUGCAUGACAAAAUUUUUGCUUGCAUUUUUCGAAAAAAAAGAAGUUUGCCUGCACAUUUUCUCAACAACAUUGAUACAUCAUAUUGAGUUUUACAGAAGAUGAGGGAACAGGUGAUACAAAUUUUACCGGUAAAAUCAUUCCUCUAACAAGUGAUAUGAAUUUUAAAGCAUUUCUAAACAUGUGAUACAUCAUAUCAAAUUUUACAGAAGAUGAAGGAACGGAGGUAGCGUAGGUGAUGGUUCUGGACAUGGUGGAGGAUUUGGAGCCGGAGGUAGCGUAGGUGGUGCUGCAGGAUGAGGUGGUGGUGGUGGUCUUGGAGUAGGGUCAGUCCAUGAUGGUGGAGUUGGAAGUGAAGCGGAGUAGGAGGCAGAUUUGGAGGCAGUGGUGGAGGUGGAGUAGGAGAAAGAUUAGGUCAUGGUGAUGGUUUUGGUAUAGGUGGAGACGUAGGUGGGGAGGGGGGUAAGGGGAGGAUUAGGAGGAGGAAAAGGAGUAGGAGGGGGAUUAGGAGGUGGAUAUAGCGAAUGAAUUGGAGUUGGAAUUGAAAUCGAUAUAGGAGUUGGUGUUGGAGCUAGAGCUGGCUAGGGUGUUGAAGUAGGGAGCGGGUCUGAUAGUGGGUUCGAUAGAAGUGGUGGUGGUAAUGGCCGAUGAUAAAUCUCUCGUGGCCUUAUAGCUACACUUCAAUAGUGCCAAGAUACGUAUGUUGCUUUCGAUGUUAAAGUUGUUAAGCUACAACUACUAAUUAAACAAAAAUUGUAUAAUUUUGCUUUUGUUUGCAUUGUAUUUUCCCUAAUUUUCUAUGUAUCAUCCUAAGAUUAUGAAAAGAAGAAUCUAUUAAGUUAUUCAUUUUGCACCCAAAUUCAUGGCAUGUUUCUUCUGGAUGCUUUAAUGAACAAUAAUCAACACUUGGUGUUGUCAAUUCAAUAACAAGCGUUCCCGUAAAUGAGUAUUUUUCCCCCUCAAAAUCAAUUACCCGAAGCAACUUUAAAUAUGCUCGAGUUAAUUAUUCUGUUCUUUGAAAUUCGAAAUGUAGCUAUAUUCACAAUGCAAGUAACUAAAGACGUAUUUUCAGAAUGAAGCAUCAGUGACCCAUCAAAAAUUUUUACUAAGAGAAUUCUAAAUAUAAAAAAAAUAAAUUUAAAAAGAAAUUAAAGGAAUUUAAUAUCCAUAGUAUAUAUAAAAAUGAAUUGACAUUUUAAUCCCUGGGUAUGUAGAAAAUGAUUUCAUCGUGAUGUGGAAAAAUUGGAGGUGACAAGUGAGGCUAGUGCAAGCUAUUUUUGGAGGUGCACGUACCUCCAAAAAUACUUAACUAAUUUGAUCUGGAGACCAAAAUCUUGGUGGAAAAAUUGGUUAAAGGGAAACAUAAGCGUGGAGUAAUUGCGUCUUGUAGGAGGGCCGCAUGACGACGCCCCCACAUCAUUGUUCUUCUUAGUAAAAACUACACGGAGCUGUUGUAAGAUGUGUAUAAUUUUAAGACAAAGUAGUGUAUAUUUUGUCUAUUUCAUUAGUAAAUGUAAUUAUUUUGAUCGGCUUCCUUGUUUAAUUACUUUUUCGUCUUUUGGCUAUAAAAUAUAUAAUUAGUAUGAACAAAGAGUAGUUUGAUGACCACAUGUUUUUCAAACAAAAUCAAAAGUUACUCAAAGUGAGAUGUUUUUACAAAUUUAGUGAUUAUAGUGUUCAGAAAAAUUUCAAAAUCAAUUACUUUCAUCAGAUAUUUCUACAAAUUUAAUGACUAUUUGAGGAAUAAAUUAUAAAUAUUUUUUCAGAAAAAUUUCCAAAAUAAUUACUUUAAUGGGAUAUCUUUAUAAAUUUAAUGACUAUUUGAGGAAUAAAUUUUCAAUAUUUUUUCAGAAAAAAUUCCAAAGUAAUUACUUUAAUGGGAUAUCUCGAGAAGUUUAAUGACUAUUUGAGAAAUUAACUUUAAAUAUUUUUUCAGAAAUAUUUCAAAAUAAAUCACUUUAAUGGAAUAUCUCUACAAAUUUAAUGACUAUUUACAGAAUUAACUUUAAAUAUAUUUUCCGACUCCAGUAAUGAUUGAUUUGCUUCACUUCAUAUCCAAUACUCAUACUCCUAUUGAUUUAGCCCAAUAAUUUUGGUUCACAAUAUCCGAAUCCAAAUAAUAUGAUAAUGCACUAUUUUAGUACCGAAAUGAGUGUUAAUAGGGAAUUUGGUUUUGCACCUUCUAACAUCUCUUCUUCAUGCUUUUUCAUCAUGAUUUAAUUUCUUCGAGAAUGCUCACCUCAUCAACUCUUCCCCUUAACAAUGAGCAUUGAUAUGGAAUGGAUGCAAAAAGAGGAGUCUAGAGCCAAUAGGACAACUUUUUUCAACAAAAAUUUCAAAAAGGCAAUAAAAUUUGAAAGAGACCAAGGGGGUAAAACCUUCUUGCAUUUGUUAAUGGAUGUCGUUUGGUACCUUUUUUUUUUUAUUUAGCAAGGCAUGUGAAUUCACACGACUUGAUGGUUUAUUCCCUCCAAUAAGUUGUAUGAUCCUUUACUACUAGGUAGAAGGUGGAAUAACACCUGAAAGUCAAAUAGCACCUGUUGAGCAUAUAUCUCCCAAUCUAGUUGCUCAACAGGUGUUGUUCCACCUUCUACCUCGUCUUGAAGAGAUACAACUUAUUAAAGAGGAUAAAACAUUAAUUCGUGUGACUUCACACACCUUAAAUCAAAUUCUUUUGAUCCAAGGCAUCUGAAGCCGCACAAUUUGCUAAAGAAAAAAAAAGCUACCAAACGACAUCCAUUAACAGAUGCAAUAAGAAGACUUUUCCCCUUUGAUAUCUUUUAAAUGUUAGUAGACUUUUGGAUCUUUUAUUGAAAACAGUUAUCUUUUUGGUUCUGAACUCCAGAAAGAGAGGCCAUACCUUCUCUUCUCAAGGAGGAAGUGGAAAAGAAAGGGUUGGUUGCAUAUUUUUCGAGAGUAAUGCCUUCUUUCUCUAUUUCUGAGGACUCAGGUUUGAAAGUGAGGAGUGCUUCUAAUUCGAACAACUCCCCCUCCCUCUAUGUAUGCAUGCAUGUAUGUAUGUAUGUAUGCAUGGAUGUAUGUAUGUAUGCAUAUAUGUAUGUAUGCAUGGAUGUAUGUAUGUGUGUAUAUAUGUAUUGGGUGACCCCUGAUGUGGCAUGCCACAUUAGAUUAUAGUGAAAAACCUGAAGAAUUCAGUCUAAUUCAUUUAUGAGUUAAUAUAGUUGGAUGCGUUAAAUUUCAACACAUAUCACAAAGCCAAAUACAUAAAAAGGUUAAACAGGAAUAUACCUUCAACAAUCAUUGUCCAAGUAUCAGAAAAAAUAAUUUGAGAGAGAAUUUAUAACAAGCAUAGGGGUCUUUCGUUUUAUCUAAUUUAGGUGUGAUCCAUUUUAAUUAAUCAAAAGGAGGAAAAUAUGUACAAAAGGUCUUAAGUGAGCCCAAAACAAAAAUGAAAUAGAAAAAAAAAUUACCCAAUCAACCAACGAACCUUGUCAAAAUAUAAACCUCGUUCUAAGAUAGGGUUUUCAAAUUAUGCUCUCAGCCGCUUCUUCUUCUAAUGGCGCCGCUGAAAGCAUUCUUCAACCGUGAUUUUCAUUUGCUUGUUCUUAGGGUCAUUAAUCUUAUUUGAGAUGAAAAUAAUGAAGAGCUUAGUAUAUUCAACUAGCAAAGGUACCUUUUUGUCAAAUAUCCAAUGUCUCGUGUUGUGAGCCUUAUAUCUAACCGUUUUUCAAAUGUAACUGUAGAUGUGUUAUCUAGUGGAGUAAAAGGAUCCUUGGUGGAUUUGAUAGAGGUGUUGUGUCUUGUUUGUCGAUUCUGGAAAACUUAUAUGUAGAAUGGCCUCUUGUUAUCCUCUUUUUGCUUUGUUAGGUUAGUACCCUGUUCCUCCCCAGCUCAAGCAGUAGAGGGGAUAAACAUUAUGCCCCAGAGCUCUUUUAUUGUGUUUUCCAUAGAUCUAUCUUAUUUGACUCCAAAGCCCUCGAUUUUUGCUCGUAACUUUUUUUGUAAACUGAUGUAGCUUAGGCUAUGUAGCUUAGUACUCACAGUUGUAAUGCCCUAUGGAUGGCGAAAACUUCUUCUGUAUAUAACUUAACUAUGAGAUCUCGAUGUGUGUACUUUAGCUCUGUUCAUGUUGGAUGAUGUUUAUCUAACUUUCUUUAUAUUGGAUGAUUUUUAUCUUUCUUGGGUUGAUUCUCAGUAAUGAUAUUUGCUUAUUCGUGUUUAGAAUUUUCUUGCAUUCUACUAGUAACUGUUGAAACUCAUAUGCCUGAGAGAACUCUCCAUUCCCUAUUGUUAUGUUUGCUAUCCUGUCUGUUAACUAAUUUGCUUCUUUACAGAUGUGUAUGAUGGUCACUUGCAUGUCACUUUUUAAUCACUGCACUUUCUCAAUUUACUCCACGAUCUACCAAGGUAUCCUCUAAUUCUUCAUUAUCAUUUCCUUAGGCUGAAGAAAUCAGUCUCCAAGAUUAUAUGAUGAAGGUUGCUCUGCUUACACUGUCUUAAAGCCCUUAACAUUGUCAUUGUUUUUGCUUCCAUAUUGAUAAUGAUUCCUAGAAUUUGCCUCUGUGUAUAUCAAAUUCCCUCUAUAAUCUCUAGUGUAAAAAACAUAGGAUAUUUCACCACAAUUGCCUCUAUUAGCCCCAACUGUAUUAUGCUCGACACAACAUGUAUCUAGAAAUGUCUGCUUAACCGGGUAAUAGUGUAAUUUGGGCUUGUACCUAUGCAACAUUCUUACCACCACCACCACAACCACCCUAAAAUUUAGGCACCUCUAUCCAUAAAAAGUUGAACUUUAUGAAAUAAAAUAUAGUUACUUGACUUUGAUGAAUAAGUCUUUCACAACUAUAUGCUUUAUCAUGUUUUCUAGAGUUCCACCUUUUCCACAUCUUCGACAUAAGUUUUGGUGGUAUGACCUUGUAAACGAGCUUUAGCUUCGAGGGGACUGAGGCAUUCCACUACCUUAUAAUCAAUUGUUGUAGAUGUGCAUUUUCAACUCCUAUCCCUGAACAUUAAACAAAAUGCUUCCAUAACCUUUGGGAUAUAGAAGCUAUUAGAAAAAAGGUGAGACAUUAUCUCCUGGUCAAAUACAUCACAAUAAUAACAUCUAGAGGCUAGGUUUAUCCUCAUCCUUCUGAGAUUAUCCUUGAUUGUAAUACUUCUUUUCCACAGCCUCCAGUGGAAGAAAUUAAUCUAAAAUGGCAAGCCGUUAAUCCAUAUAUUAUUUAACCAUUCCUAUUUUUCCCUCCUUGCUCUUAUGAUUUUGUAGACUAAUCUCACUAAAAACUAACCACUAUUAUCAACUAUUCACCAAGGUUUAUCAUUAACAUCCUCCACUAGAUUAGGGCUUAUGUUUAUAGUGAUAUGAUUUGUCAUUUCUUCUCGCGAAUGGAACCCUGAUGAAUUAACAAAGUACACUAAAUACAAAGUUAUUCUAGAGCGGCGUUCUUGCAUGUAUUGAAACUUUCUUUGUUUGAUUGCUUUCUCAAUAGUUGUAAAUAUUAAGAACUCGCCUGUAUUCAAUACUUUCUUGAGAGAGAGGUGGAUAUUAGGUAAAAGAUAUUACAACAAUAAUUUAAAGCUAUCAACCUUAAUCCAAUUAACUUGAGACCGAGUAGAGAUAGUUAAUCUGUGAUCAUAAAACAAGGGUUAGUGAUGUGGCGCUCUGAGACCUAGAGAAGAUGAGUAAAAUUUACUCAAACCAAAGUCAAGAGACGGUUAGGUGAUACAUAACUUGUUAGAUUUUACACAAGGCACCAAGAUAGUUUGAUAAACACGAACAAUAUGUGAAGUCAUAAAGUCAAGGUAAACACAAUCCUAGUGAAUGUCUUAUACUGAUAACAACCCUAAUUACCGAACAUUUUUAUUGUUACACUAUUAUUAUAAAACCCUUAUUUUACUUUACACAUUUUCCAACCGUAUCAGCAAGCUCUUGAUAGAUUUUUGACCUAUUUCUUAUGAGAUCGAGCAUAACCUAGUUGGGUUAUAUAUUUAAUUAACGACUGUUUUAUACUUUCUUGGAGGUAUAAUUUGGGAAACAUCAUUCGUACCCAUCGAUGAUUAUGUGUCUUGGUACGUUUAUAUUGGUUGUUGUGUUCCUUAGUGUAGGGUUCAUAAUUAUAUGACUACCCCGUAGAUGAUUUCUUUUUGUAGUGGAUAGAGUGGAUCAAUAUUGAUAUUUUUCUUAGGAGUGUAGUAUUUGGGUUUGAGUCCCAUUUACCUUGGCAUAUUGGCCUCGUUAUGGCCUUAGGGUGGUACUUGUUAAUGAUUUUUAUUUUUGGUACCAUAUACACUUUACACUAAUGGUUAUAUUGUUGUUGUUAUUAUUUUCAUUGUUUGAUGUUGACCGAUCCUCACUUUGUAGAUGGCUAGACUAGCAUUAUCUAGUUAGAAUUUCCCUUCCUCGAUCUUCCUAUUUGUUGAUGUAGGCGUCUAGCUCGAUUGGAUGGUUUUUCUCUUCUAGAGGGGCGAGAUUGGCCAUUCGCCUAUUUUGUUGGCGAUGCUAUAUCGAUAGUUGAGUGAGCUAUGGCAGUGAAGGUAAGUUGGCCUUCUAUGGUUUUGUUGUUGAUCUAGAGUUGGCAAUUUGGUUUUAUCUCCCAUUCUCAGAUUGAGAUUAUAGGGCCUGCCUUUUGGUUUUCUGAGAUCCUAGUAUUAGUUUUUCUUAUUUAUAGCCCAUUUCUGAAGUUGACCAGUUUGGGAUCCAUUCUUUCGAUUUGGUUGUUUCAUCACAUAGUAGUAGUAUUGGUGUUGAUUCUAAGAGGUCUUGGCUUGGAUUUCAAGUUUGUUAGGUUUGCCUUAUGGUGAUAGCUUGGAUUUUGGUGAUGUGUGGAGUAUAAUCUCAUGUUGGGGAAAGGUGUCAUACUCUUUCCAAGGAGUAUAACUUAAUCUAAGUAAUCAUAUCUAUAACUGUCAUCCAUAUAGAAAUGGAAAUAAUUUGAAUAAUAUGUACCUACAUUGGCUCGUAGUUCUGGGGCAUGUAAACAUACUCAACUAGAUGUUAAAUACUACUCCCUUUAAAUCUGUAUGCUCAUUCUAUUGGAAAUCCACUUUAAAACUAGCAUAAGGGUUUACAAUGAAAACCAGUUACACAUCUAUUUACUUUUAAUUGUAAUCAAAACUGAAUUCAAAACCGUGAAGUGGAUUUCAUAUCUUAACUGAGGAUCAAAAGACCAAAUCUUUUCUAAAAAAUCUGAAUGUAAACUAAUCAUGGGAUGCUUAAAGGAAUCGUCUUCUUGAAAUAUCAAUACUCAUAGUUAGGGCUUAAGACCCAUGAUCAAACUUUCUCCAUGGCUUCAAACACCAUGUUUGGACCAAUCAAAGCGGGCUCACCCACUUCAAACCAACCGAUGGGUGACCUAUAGCUUCGCCUAUAAAGAGCUUCAAACGGGGCCAUCUGAAUGUUAGAAUGGUAACUGUUGUUGUAGGCAAACUCAAUCAACGACAAGUGGUCAUCCCAACUGCCUUUGAAAUCAAGAACAUAUGCCCUCAACAUGUCCUCCAAUUUGACAUAAGUUUGAUCAUGGGUUUUAAGCCCUAAGCAUGAGUAUUGAUAUUUUAAGAAGAUGAUGCCUUUAAGUAUCCCAUGAUUAGUUUACAUUCAGAUUUUUUAGAAAAGAUUUGAUCUUUUGAUCCUUAGCUAAAAUAUGGAAUACACUUCACAGUUUUAAAUUCAGUUUUGAUUAUAGUUUAAAGUAAAUAGAUGCAUAACUGGUUUUUAUAGUAAAACCUUAUACUGGUUUUAAAGUGGAUUUCCUACAUAAUGGGCAUACAGAUUUAAAGGGAGUAGUAUUUAGCACCGAGUUAGGUAUGUUUACAUACCCCAGAAUUACGAGCCAAUGUAGGUACAGAUUAUUCUCAUUUCUAUAUGGAUGACAGUUACAGAUGUGAUCACUUAGAUUAGGUUAUACUCAUUGGCAAGAGUAUGACACCUCUCUCCAACAUGGAGUUUUUCCAUAAGAGAACUAGACGUUGGACACUAUGAUAGCUCACAUAGUGUAUGUCAGUUAGAAGAACCUCCCUAAUAGUAAAGCUUUACAGAAUAGUUUUUAAAAGAAUUUCCUACAGAACAGAGUAAUUGUAAUUGGAAAGAACAACAAAAAAUAUCUUACAAAAUAAGUGUAAAGGCUCAUGAUUUUAAUCAGAUAUUGUUUUGCAUAAGUCAUUAGAUAUGAGAUUUCAGUUUUUAGUUUACAGAUACAAAGGUGAGUCCCUUUACACUUAGCUUAAAUGAUUUGAAAAUGGACUUGACUUUAGUCCUACUUUUUUCACUAGCAGAUAGAGUAAAAGUACAGUUUUCAGAACUAAAUAUUAUGACUCACUAGAUUUAUGCAGUAUGUUUUGAUAUUCAUGGUUAUGAUUUCUUUCAGUUUUCAGAUAUUCCAGCUUAUGUGAGUCAUCUACAUUUAGCAUGCAUAUUUUAUAAAUUUUGAUGACAUUGAGAUAUUAUUUCUACUUAUGCAUUCACCCCACAUGCUCAGUACAUUCCAAAAUUAUUGAUCCACAUAUAUGUAUAUGUGCUACAUUGUCUCAUAAUGUAGGUUCAGUUGCUCAGUUCCAGCAGUGUGAUUGACCGUGAGCAUCUCUAUCUAUAUCUCGAUGGAGGUGAGUCCUCAUAGUUUGGGGACCCAAUUAUUCAAAUUUCCAGCUUUCCAGAUUAGUUUAUUCAGUUAAGCCAAACAGUUCGAGUUAGCUACGGGGGUCUGUCCCAACGACUCUCUAGUAGUAGCAUUAGAGGCUUGUCCGUCUAUUAGAUACAUUUUAGCUUUUCAGUGUUAGUUCUUCAGAUUUUCUUAGUUAAGUAUUUUCAGACAUCAUCUGCAGAUAAACUUAGAUUAAUUCAGACAAUAUUUCAGUAUUUUCUCAUACCGCAUGCUUAUAUAACCUUAUUUGAGUCAUCAGAAUGAGUAACAGGCUUUCAGGGUUAGCUCGGGACUACUUAUAGUUUGGAGCACCGUGUGGCAUCUCGGGACUCAUUUUUGGGGCAUUACACUACUUUAGUGUGUUGACAAGAUUGAGAAGCUCAGAUAUUGAAGAAGUUAUGGCAUUAUUUCGCUGGAGUUGGUAGGUGUUGAACCCUAGCUUUUGAAAGUGAAGAUCGAUUCACCACAAGUUUAAUGAUUUAUGACAUUCUAAAGAAGAAGCUAGGUGUUCUCGAAUCCAAAAUCGGGUGAGGAUUUGGAGGUAGGCCAACUAGACAUUAAUAUUAUUGAGAUUUGGAUUUGAGGAGUUAUGUAUUUGCACUCUUUCGGAGACCUUAGGAGAGCGUCUUUAAAUGGUUACAGAAAAAUUAUCAUAGUUUGAAUAUCGAAAAAUUAUUCUGAAAUAGUGAAGAGACUGAACCCUAAUACAGGGUUGCCUAUGUAUCUUAUCAGGACAAGAAUCAGGUUAAAAUGUAGUUCAAACAACUUAUGAGUUUGUAUAUAGCAUGAUCUGUUUCUAGAAUAGAAAUUUUCCUAAAUGCUUGAGAGUAGGACUGAAUAAUUUUGAGAAGACAUGCUAACCUAAAUGCACCAACUUUGAAACUAUGAAAUUCAAAAAAGGAUUGGAGGAGUGUGAGACACCCCCCCACCCCCCACGUGAACCAUAGUGUGUGAAGUGUAUAAGUAAAGAGUUAAUGGAAUCAUGAUUAUGAUUAAAUGAAGUGAAAAUGAUGUGUAGCUGUUUUCACAAUAUACAUAUAUAAUGUAUUAAACAAGUAAUCAAUAAAAUAAUUAAGAUCGCAAAACUAAUUUAAUGUAAAGAAUUUAUGAGAGAAUACACGCAAUUUGCAGUGUGAAACAGGUAAAUAAUUUAAUAAUUUACAUAUGAAAAAAAAGUAAAGAUACCUCCUUCAAUUGAAAAAUUGAGUUUAUCAUGGUUGGAACCUACUGUUAAUCCCCAGUAGAGUCGUCAUUCUGUCAUGCCUUAUUUUUACCAAAGUUAAACAAAAUAUGACUUAUGAACUCUAAAAGAAUUGAAUUUUUAUACAAAGUCGCCACCUAAUUUUUAAAGGAUAAUAGAAAAACCUAUUUAUUUAUUAACAUGUAUGACUAAUGUUUUUUAGUCUGGAAAAAACCAAUUGAGAUUCUAGGUAAGGGUUUAAAUUAUUCUGAAGGGAAGGGGUUAGACACCCUUCAAAAUCCAUAAAUGUAGUACUCGGCUAGACUAAAUUUAUCAAAGAGGAAGGAGGUAUAAAUAUUUAAAAGACGUAUAUGUAUUAAGUAUAAAUAAAACUUAUUGUUAUGAAAAUAUGUAAAAGGUAUGAAUGAAAAUGUACAAAUUACAUGUGAAAAGGAAAAGUACUUUGUGACAUAUGAAAAGAAAAGUAUCUUUCAUGUACUAUAAAAGGAAAAAGUAUUUUGAAAAUAAUAUUACCAAUUUGACUAAAAUUACGGAGAGAAAAGUAAAGGUUUUACUUGAAAAAAAAAGACUACACAAUGUUCAUGAUGUAAAUGUGUGAAUUAGUUGAUUAAUUUAACUCGUUUUAUGUAAGCGGUAUAAGUUUACCUAAACAUGCAUUAAUGAAUAUGUAAGUAAACAAUGUCCACACCUGACACCCCAAAAGCAAAGUUUUCACUAUAUUUUUUUUAUCUUUAUGUACAAUUAUACAAAUGAGAAAUAAAAGAUAAGCAUAAAGCUUGGGACUCCCUUUUCAAGUAGCACCUCAAAAUGUGUUACCGAGAACAUGUACAUUUACUUGAUGGAAGUAUUAAAAAUAAAUAAAUUAUUAUUAAAUAAAAUGAAUCAUGUGUACAAGUACGUAUAUGUAUGUAUAGAUAAAAAAGAAUUUUGUUAUAAAAUGGGAUCGAAUUGAGUUUUAGAUGCAUCAUGGCUACGAAAUGGUUGCUCGAUUUAUCGGUCAUCCUAAAUCGUCUUGCCAAGAUACGAAUCGUAAAACCCUUUGUGUUGUCGUGAUAUUGUAAAGACUUCAUUGUAUUUAUAUACGUAAUGUCCGUCUUUUAUUAGUGGAGGCCUCGAAAACCGACAGGAGUUUCUUCAUUAACUAUGUAUUUAUUUUUGUCACGUAUUUGUAUACGUAAUAUCCAUCUUUUGUUAUGAGUUGGCCUCAAAAAUCCGAUGGAGAGAUAUUGUCAUUGGACAAAAUAGUAUAGUAUUGUUCGUUAUCAGUGUAAUAAAAUGUAAAGGAGAAAAAGAUCCAAAAAUUAGUUCCAGAAAGAACAAAACAAUAGCGAAUCAAUUGAAACUAGAAGAUCAUGAAUCAAUUUGCCGGAGUAAAAUUUUUACAUCAAAGAUAAAUAUGAAAUUAACAAACUAAUGUAACAUGACAAUCCAAGAAGUAGCAAAACAGUCAGCAAAAUCAACCAAAAUUAAAGUUAAAAUAUUUAUCAGAGAAGAUAAAGAUCUCGUUUCUAAAUUCAAUCCCAUUGAAAGAUAUCAAAUAAUUGUAAAAGGAAUCAAGAAGGUUGCUUCCACGGCGAGCAUGUCGAAGAAACACGUGAGACAUGAAGAAUACAAUCAAAAUUGACCAUUUUUGGCGAGUUGUGGCUGUGUAGUGUCUUGGAGCUCACUGGUGAUCAAUUUCGUCUAGGUAGCGAUGAGGAAAAAGAAAGAGUACUUGAUCGGGGGGUGUUGUUCGUCGAUCGUCUGGUGGUCAAAUCCGGUGAUGGCAGUGAAGGUGGGGGUGGCGCAUGGUGGUGCAGCUAGUGGCUGGAACUUUCUGGCCAUCAACUCCAGCGAGCCAGCAACGGUAAAGGAGCAGCGAAGAUAGGAAAGAAAGAGAAGUAGUAAUGGCUGGAGCUCGUUCGUCGGAGCUCUGAUAGUUGGUUGUUCUUGUGUGUAUGCAUGUGAUUGUGUGUUUUUGACAUAAAGUGAGGGGUGACUAAUUUUUAAGUGUGUGUAUAUUCUGUGUAGUCCAUUAGAGCUCUGAUGGUGGAGGGACAGCAAUGAGAGUAGCCAUAGAAGUUAAAAUGGUGAAAAUGAGAGGAAAUGAGGCAUGUGAAUGAGAGAAAAGAAAAAAAAAGAAUAAGAUUUUGUGUGUAUUUGUGAAUGUACAAAAUUCACCCCUCCUACUUAUUUAUAAUAAAGAUUGGCACUUUUUAUUACCCAAAAGAUAAAAAGAUGUUCUCUAAAAAGAUGUCCCCUCUUUUUCUUUUUGGACACCCUUUGAUCCUUAAGCUACUGACCAGAGGAUUUUCAUCCUUUUAAUCCACGGGCAAAGUUAUGAUUCAAAGGAUAGUAUCAUUUUAUAGUCAUUGUCAGAUAUGACAAAACAUUAUUGUAUAGUCGUCGUCGGAUGUGAUAAGACAUUAUCGUGAAGUCUUGUCAGAUAUGAUAAGACACUAAAUUGUUAUGCUGUGUAUUAUAAUAAUUGAUUGGCUUAGCAUUUGUGAAUCAUGUUAAAUAAUGUACAAAAAUAUAAGAAUUGAUAUGUAAUUACAAAAAAUUGUAAAGAAUAUUGAACAUGUAAUUAACUUGAAAAAGUUUAAAAAAUGUGAUGUCAUGUUGUGUACGUGUGUGCAGAUGAUUGUGAAAAUAUUAAAAACGAUAAUGAAUUGGUAAAAAUCAUAAUAUAAAAAAAUUAUCAAUAAAUUAUAAAAAGUAGAAAACAUGACGAUAAAUUGAUAAAAUCCUAAAGUAUGAUUAUCAAAAAUUUGUUAACAAUUGAAAAAAAUAUGUAAAAAUUAUACUCCGUGCUCUUUAAUGAUCAGGAAGUGUGAAGAUGUUAAUUUUAAGCACGGAGAGUCAAAAUUGGGUAUCAACACCUGUGGAGACUAUUGGUAGUCCUAGAGUGUAAAAGUUACCUAUUAGAUCCAGUCGAGGUUCUCUGCUGAAAUAUGUUAUUUUUUUUGCAGAUACGUUGCAGUUAUGAAUUCAAUUUCUUCAGCUCAAUCUUCACUGGUAUAUAGAGGAUUUAGUAACUCUUAAUUUUUAAUUUUGUAAUUUUUCUUCAUAAAUGCAAAAAUUAUAAAGUUAGGGAUCCACACUUAGAUUGUUAUAUUUUGAUUCUACUCUAUUAAACACAAUGCAAUUGCAGGUACCUAUUGAUUCAUGUGUAAUAGGAUCUUAGCUUUCUGUUUUUUUCAGCAGGUAGCAUUUCUAUACCUGCAAGCUUUGGUUUUAAUUCUGUUAUUUCCUAGCACAAGUUAUAUUUUUGGCUCAUCGAUGUAAUGAUGCAUAUCUUGAGACAGGUUUCUUAUGCAACUGGUGGUAUAUAUCUCUGUAAGUGUGAUUCAUAUUGCUAAUACUAAGUUAUCUCUGGUGUAUAUUUUAACUUGUCAAUAGCUUGUAUCCUACACUGAACAUCUAUGAUUGUAUCCAAUGUUGUCUUUAAACAUUAGUUUCAAUCUUAUUUGGAAGCAUGUUGAACAAGUCACUAUACUUUGAUUUGUUUAUCAUAUGUAAGUUUUUAUUUCUGAGGAGCUUACACUAAAAAGGACCUUCCAAAAGUUUCCCUAUUUAAAUUUGAUUUCAAAAUUUUGAUAUGUACUUCUAUCUAUUGUGGUUAAAUAUACAUUGAUCAACCAAGUUAGGGCGAUUUUAAUUCAUGCAAUUAAACGGAUAUGAUUGUUAAGUGAAUAAAUAUUCAUCACAAUUUUUAUUACGUCUGUUGUUAAUAAGUGAAGAUAGUUUUUCCACCACAUAUGCCAACAAAGUAUAUGUGACCUUGAUAUAGAUUACAUAAGAUAUUUGAGGCAAAAGUUUUUCACCAUGUCCAUGGGAGUACAACUUAUUGAAAGAUCUAAUAUUAAUAGCAUUUCAAUAGAGGAAGAGAUGUUUAUGAACCAGAUGAACUUUAAGAAUUUGUUGGAGUCUGAUUAGAUUGUUGACAUACAGUUUAUCUUUUUCUUCUUAGAUUUUGAUUUGCCAUUUCAACACUUAAACAAGAUAGAUAAUUGUAAAUUUCUUUUGAGAAUUCUAGGAAUACGUUGUUACUAUGAGGAAUAAACUUACAAAGAUAGUAAACUAUUUUAGAUGGUACUACAUUUCAUACAAUGUAUGCUCAAAGAAGAUUACACUUGCAAAUGGUGUUUAUUCAUACCACAACUGCAAAAAAGAUUGCAACUUUUCUCUAGUGAAGUAAGGAUCCUGGAAGAACUAUGAAUUUACUUUGUAUUAUGAAUUAAUGUUAACUUAUUUUUACAAACAUAGAUACAGGAUACAGAUACAAAUGGAAAACAAAAUCAAAAAAACUACUUUUGUCUCAUUCAAUGAUAUAGCUGAGAAACUCCUUGAUACAUCAGUUCAUAAGUUGUUCAACAAGCUAUCCUCGUCGUUUAACAAAGAUAUUCUUGUCCUCAUUCAAAGCCUUUAUGGGAAAGAUUUUAUUUUUAAACUUAAAUUGAAUACCUACAAUUUGAAAGAGUGGCUUGAAAAUUUUACUGUAUCAAAGCUUUGAAUUCCAGAUGAAAAUUUUGAGUUAGAGUACAAGCUAAGGGAAGAGAGAAAGAUAUUGCAUUAUAGACUAUUGAAAUUUGCAGUGAACAAUUUCAUAUACUUUGUAAAUCAUCUUUUUUCUUGUUGGUUUUACAUGUGUAGAAUUUGAUAGAGGAUGAAAGUGAGCUAAAAGAUCACGUUUCCAAAGAAUUUCCCACAGAAAAGGUAUCCAGAUUUACUGUUUUAGUUACGGGGCUUCUACGUCUUCGUAAGAUUGUCAUGCUUAAUUCACAUGUUGACAAUUUUGUUUUAUAAAAUAAAUAGAUAUCUCUUGACAUCUUAUUGGAUAAGUUGGAAGAUCUUGAGUAAGCAUUGCAUGUCAUUGAUGGGACAAACUUUAGGAAAAAACAAACCUAAUCAUAGAUGAAGAUGACUUAAUUGAUGAAGACACAAAUAAAUGCAAGAAGUAGAGUGUUUAUUAUUUGUUCUGACUUUUAAUUUUUUUUAAGAUUAGACAAAAUAGUUUGGUCCCUUUUCCCUUUUAUUGACUCUUACCACAAGCAAUAAGAAGAUCAUCAUUAGCAACAACAGCAGCAAGAUUUUCAUUAACGCCUUCUUUAUUUUGUCAUCUUAUUUCUCUCUUAUGCUUGUAAUAAUAUUUCAUGAUAUGCCCCUUUUUGUUGAAGUAGUCACAUGUAACAUUCUUGAAUUUGGACUUCAACUUGCUUCCACUUAUAUCUCUAUCAUUCAGACCUUUGUACUUAUUUCUUCUACUCUCUUCAGUAACCAAAACAUUAGAGUAUGAAGAUGAAGAAGAUAAGGCUUGAGAUUUUCUUCUCAUCUCUUCAUUUAAGACACCACUCUUAGCAUAUUCCAAAGUCGCAAUACCACUAGGAGAAGAAUUAGUCAAAGAAACUCAAAGAAUUUCCCAAGAGUCUGGUAGAGUAUUAAGAAGCCAAAGUCCUUGAAUUUGUUCAUCGAACUUUACACCUAUUUUGUAUAGCUGGUCAAGGACACCCUGAAAAUCCUUUAUAUGAUCAAAAAUAGGACAACCCUUUUAUACCUGAUAUUUAUCAAUUUCUUAAGCAGGAAUAACUUAUUAUUGCCAGUUUUUUAAGCAUAAAAUAUCUCAAGCUUGUCCCACAAACUUCUGGCAUGUGCCUUAUUCACAAUAUGAUUUCUAACAUUAUCUUUAACCCAUUAUUUGAUUUAGCCACAAACCUGCUGGUACUCAAAUUCUCAAUCUUCAUAUGUUAGGGACUGAGGUUUAGUAGACGCAAACACAUGCAAAUGUAUUUUCUUGACAAAUAGAAGAUCUUUCCAAGUAUGAUAUUUACUACCAUUCAAACAUUCUAUUUUGCCCAUAUUUGCCUACAUAAUUCAAAUCGACAAUCAUCAACAACCUAUGCCCCGAUACCACUUUUCUUGGAAAGACAAGGGCAUUAUCAAAGUGCACGACAGGGUAACAGCGGAAGAAUACCCAAGUCUAAACUUUUCCUUUCAAUUUGAACCAAGAAAAAUUAAACUCAUGCACAAUGAUAAUAAGGUAGAAAAUAAAUUAACCAAAUAAAUACGACAAGACAAGAAUAAAACCAAUCACACGAGAUAUCAAAUUUAUGUAGAAAACCUUCAAUGUGAAGAGUAAAAAUCCAUGCGACUAAAACCUUCACUACAAUCACCAAGAGUUACCAUAAUGUCCUCUAAAAUGGCCAUCACAAAAGUUCCAAAUAAUGAGCAACAAUAUAUAAAACACUACACCAAAAACUAGAGAAAUGAAGGAGUAAAAUCACCAAAAAUGCAGCUACUGUUAACAAACUAAAAAUAAGAGCUACAAGUCACCAAAUCCAAAUCCGUCAAUUUAUAAUCAAAGAUUGAGAUGAAAGGAACACGUUGUUUAAAAAUCAGCUCAAAUUGGACAAAAAAUGAAGAAAAAUCACAAUUUGAAGUUCGUUUCUAUGUCUGAAAUUUUAAAAGAAAACCUGCUCUAUUUUUCUCUCUAUGGCUGCUGAAAACUCUUUUGUGGAUGGUGACAUAAGACCUAAAAAGGGUUUAUAUAUAUGCCCGAUAGUAAUGUGUCUGUGGCUAAAAGUGGGUUGGUCUAAAUUGGGCUUUAUUCAUUCACAUAGGAAUGGAAAAAGGCCCAUAACUCAAUAGUGGGAGAAAAGCAGAGUUGACUUUCGUUGAUUGAUAGUCCGGCAAUACACAUUAAACUACUUGAACAUUAUUUUAUAUUUUUGCAACAUUCAACAUUAAUGCCUCACUCCCCAAUAACCUAUGGAGCAAUAGAACCAAUGACAUCAUAGUCAAAUCCUAGUAGAACCCUAAAAAUGCUACUGCUAAAUGUAGUUUUGCUGAUGAGAAACUAAUUGUAAAGGACCAUAUCCUUGGAAGUUAAUGGUACAGUACAGUUGGCACGCGUGACUACACAAUUUUAUCCUCUUGUGUAACAGACUUGCAGGUGCUGCUUGUGCUGAUUAGGACAGCUGGUCUAAUGAUAUUUCAACCUCAAUCAUCACUCAUCUAUAAAAGAAAAGUGACGUUUUUUUAUCAAGUGAUUUUUGGCAAAUUAGAAAGAAUGAAGAGAGGCAGCAAAAACCUCAUUUCAACACUGCUCAAGUUCUUAGCUAAUUAUGUGUGCUUAAAUAGAAAUUGUUCUUGAGUGAGUACUGAUUUGUAACUGAACUACUCAUGCUAUAAAAGUAGUGUUUUCGUUUGUUGAGAGAAGUGCUUAGUUAAAGUUGCCUAAGUUUGAUACUGAUUAGAGUUAAUCAGUGAAGAGAGUCCUUAGCAGAGUUGCCAAGAUGAGCUUGUAGUAGAGUUAUUACAUACGAAAGGAACCUAGAGUUAGUUUUAUUGAAGGUUGUAAUCAAGAGUUUGAUUAUAGUGGAUUUGGAGGUUCUUGUGAGGGCAAGUCAUGGUUUUUCCUUUCCUUAAGCAAGGGGGUUUUCACGUUAAAUUUUGUGUGUUGUUACCUUCUUAUACUGCCUUAAAUUUUUAGCACCUCAUAGUUGAUUUACUAUUAUAUCGCUUGUGAUUGACUUUGAGGGACCUGGUCCCUCACUGUGUGGUGCAACCCUCAAGGGUUCUAACAAUUGGUAUCAGAGCAGGUUCACACUAAAAGGUUCAUACCUAGAGUAUUCUGGUCAUCAUGGCUGUUAUAAUUGAACUAUAGGUGGAAACAAAGAAAGCAAAAAGAGAGAUAUUUCUGACCUUAAAGGCUUUAGAGACUGAUCCAGGUGAAGAAGAUGUUGAUGUUGCACUUUUGGCAACAAGAAUUAUUAGAGAUAUAAAAAGGGGUGGUCAUCUUAGCAAAAGAAAUAAUAAUAUUGAAUGUUGUCACAAAGAUGGUAGCUCUGAGGCAUUCAUAAGAAACAACCAAAUGCAAAAGAAUGAUCAAAAUUCUGAAAAAUCAAGAAGAAAGGAUGCAGCUAGCUGUAUAAUAAAGAAGGCAUUAGCUGAAUGGGAAAACUCCUCAAACAAAUCUGAGAAAGACAAAGAGGAUGGAGAUAGUUUUAUGCUGAAAUAUGGUGAGAAGAAAAUAAUCUCAGGAUCCUGUAGCUCUCUAAUGGCCACUGCUGAAGAUAGAGAAGAAAAUAUGGCAGAAAAGAGGGAUGACAACCAAAAAUAUUUUAUGGAUAGUGGUUGUUCUAGAUAUAUGAUUGGGAGGGUUGAUUGUUUUCUCUCUCUCUCAAGGCACUUCAAUAGGGAGUUGUGUCUUUUGGAAAUAGCAAAAAGGGUUACAUCCAAGGUGUUUGAAAGAUUGGGAAAAUCACUUCAUCAUGUAAUAAAAGAUUUGUAUUAUGUGAAUUGGCUGAAGUACAGUCUUCUAAGUGUAUCUCAAAUCCAUGACAAAGAAAAUGAGGUAAAAUUCUCAUCUGAUGGGUGCACUGUAUUAACCAUGAAAUUUGAAAAGAUUAUUCUCAAAGUCAAAAGGAUCAAGAAUAUGUAUAUAGUUGAUCUGGAGUCUGUGGCUGAUGGGAAAUUAAUUUGUUUAAGUGAACACGGUGAAGAUGCUAAUUUGUGGCAUGAAAGAUUAGGGCAUGUAAGUUUCUCCUUGUUAAACAAGAUGAUUUAAAGGGACCUAGUUCAUAAUUUUCCAGACAAUAAAGUCUGUAAUGCUUGUGUUAAAGGUAAACAGACAAGAUCCUCCUUCAAAUUAAAGAAAUAAGUAAGUACUUCCAGACCUCUUGAAAUACUACAUAUAGAUUUAUGUGGACCUAUGAAAGUAAAAAGUAGAGGAGGGAAGAAAUAUGUGUUGGUUAUUGUAGAUGACUACUCCAAAUUCAACUGGACAAUGUUUAUAAGAACUAAGAAUGAAACAUAUGGGGUUCUUGUGGCUUUUGCUAAGAAAAUCUAAGUGAAAUUAAAUUGCAAAAUUGCUGAAUUUAGGUUUGACCAUGGUACUGAAUUUGAGAAUUCUCAAGUGCAUCAAUUCUGUACUAAGCAUAGAAUAAGUCACAACUUUUCUACUCCUAAAACUCCACAACAAAAUGGAGUUAUUGAAAGGAAAAAUAGAAUAUUGAUAGAUACUACUAGGACUAUGCUAACUGAUAGUGGACUUCCAAAGAGUUUCUGGACCAAAGCAGUAAAUACUGCUUGUUAUAUGACUGACAGGUGUGUGAUAAGAUCACUUCUGAAUAAGGCUCCAUAUGAGCUGGUAUCAAUAGAAAUCUUAAGCUAGACUAUUUCAGACCAUUUGGAUGCAAAUACUUUAUGCUAAACAAUGAGAAGAGAGAGUUGGAAAAAUUUGAUUCCAAGAGUGAUGAAGCAGUAUUUGUAGGCUACUCUUCAACAAUCAAGGUUUACAAAUCUUCAAUAAAAGAACUCUAUGUGUUGAAGAAAGUAUUUAUGUGAUCUUUGAUGAUUCUAGAAAUAAAAUGAACCCAGGUGAUGGUGAAGAUUCAGAAGUUGAAGAACUCAUUUCUAUUCAAAGGGAUAAUACUGCAGAAGAUGAUAAUUAAGGGAUAAAUGAUGCAGAUGAGAGUGAUGAAAUUAAUGGUAAUCUAGAAACUCAAGCACAGACCCCAGCUCCAGUGGAAGAACAACUAGAAGAAGCUAGUCAAAAUUUAUAAUGACCUGGUCCUAGUGGUAUCAAUCUCAAAAGGCAAAAUUUGAGACACAAGUCCUCUCAUUCCCUUAAGAAUAUGACUACACCCUUGCAAACAGGAUUCUAAACAAGAGCUCAAGCCAGGAAUGCUAUGGCAUUUUCUAGCCUUUUUAUCCCAAAUUGAGCCUAAAAAUGUAAAAGAGGCCCUUAAAGAUGUUGAUUGGAUUAAUGUAAUGCAAGAAGAACUUCAUCAAUUUGAAAGAAGCAAAGUCUGGAAUUUGGUCCCCAGGCCUCUUGACAGAAUAAAUUAUAGGGACCAAAUGGGUGUACAGAAAUAAGUAAGAUGAAAAUGGAACUAUCAACGGGAAUAAGGCAAGGCUAGUUAUUCAAGGUUAUAACCAGGAAGAAAGAAUUGACUAUGAUGAGACUUUUUUCCCCUAUAGCAAGAAUAGAGGCAAUCAAAAUUCUUGUUGCAUUGGUUGCAUACAUGGAAUUCAAACUGCUUUAAAUAGAUAUCAAAAGUGCCUUCCUAAAUGGAAACCUUAAAGAAGAAGUCUAUGUCAAACAGCCUCCAAGUUUUGAACAUCAAAAUUUUCCUCAACAUGCGAUUAAAUUGGAUAAAGCUCUUUAUGGUUUAAAGCAAGAACCAAGGGCCUGGUAUGCAAGACUCUUAAAGUUUCCCUAGAAAAUGGCUUCAAAAUAGGGAAAAUAGAUAAUACUCUAUUCUUAAAGACCAUAGGUAGCGACCUAUUAAUUGUCCAGAUAUAUGUUGAUGACAUAAUCUUUAGAGCUACUUCUGAAUCCCCAUGUAAAGAAUUUUCUAAGCUAAUGGGGAGUGAAUUUGAGAUGAUUAUGAUAGGUGAAUUAUGCUUAUUCUUAGGCCUGCAGAUCAAGCAAACUUCUCAACGGAUAAUGAUUUGUCAAGAUUAGUACAUCAAGGAGCUACUAAAGAAAUAUAAUAUGGGAGAUGCCAAGACAAUUGAUACUCCAAUUGGAACCAGCUAAAAAAAGGACAAUAAUGAUUUAGGUCCUUUAGUGAAUGUAAUACCCCGUAUAUUUCUAAGCUAAAAAAUGAACCAUUGUUCGUACACAUGAAACCUCCUAUCCUGUGAUCCAUAUUGGAGUAAAUGAAUUAGGAUGAGUAUCCUAGUGGUAAUAGAGCUUAUUAUAUGUUAAGCAUGUUCAUAAGAGUCACUUAGAGUAAUCCAAGCUAAGAACUUUUGAAUCCACCAAGUUUUCGUGUGUGAUUUCAUAUAGGUCAUCUUUGAAUGAGCAUAACUUGGUUUAUAGAUGGUAUUUUGGUAGAUUUACACCCUCAAAAUUGUAAAUAAUUGAAUAAGCUUUCCAUCGAUACCAAAUUCACCUAAAACAAACAUCCGGUGAAGAGGUUAUGGCGAUUUAAAGUUUCAGCAGCGUCAUUUCAGUCAGUGGCGCGUCGCACCAUAAGCAAAAAUGACGUUUGUCAAUUUCCAGUGUCUCUCCGUGAUUCCACCGUGUUGCAGUGAGUUUUCAGGUCACAAACGGGAGGCAACGCGAUAACUCCUCAUCGCACCGGGGGCCCAAAUCGGGUAAUUUUCACAAAAAUUAAAUGAUGCAUCUAGAGGGGUAUUUGGGUUAUCUUUCCACCCCUAUAUAUAUUCUAUAAAUACGGAAUUCAGCCCUUAUUUCACCAAAACAUACUCUUUCUCUCAAAAAUCCUCCCAAGAAUACAUUAGGAUUUUCAAUUGAGGAUUCAAGUUCAAGCAAAUUUCUCCAUCAAUCAUCAAGAAUCUUCCAUCUAAGGUAUGCGUAGUGUUCAUCUAUGGAUCCAUUUCAUUUAUAGAGCUCAAGAACCAUCUUUUAAAUAUUGUAUUAUGAUUGUCUUGUUGUGAUAUGACCAUGUACAUGUUGAUGAUUGUUGUUUAAGUUUCAAGAUGAUAUCUAAAGGUGUUUUCAUAAAGUAUAUGUGUUCAUUAGUUGAAAUCCAUGAACUUUAUGUGGUUUAAAAUGGGGAAAUUCAUGAAAACACACCUAAGCUAAAAGAAUUCUUGCAAAGUGUUUGAUAAAAGUCCUAUGAUGAUAGAAUUCAUGUCCCAUGAUUUAAUAGUGCUUAAAUGACAAGUGCAUGCUCUAUGUUUUAUGAUUUCACAUAAAUUCCACGUGAUUGAUAUGCAUCAUUGUUGUGAUAUGGAUUGAGCAUGAUAUUGAAGCUAUGCAAGUAUACACAUGUUGUAUGAAUUUCCCUUCCAUAGGUAAGAUGUUGAGAACUAUGCUUAGUGUGAAAUCCCCUACUUAUGAUAUGGUGAAUUGUGGACUCCAUUUUUAUGAUCAAGUCAGUUAUGUACGUCAGUUUCCUUCCAUUGAGUCCUGGGGGCACUAGUACCCAAAAAAUAUAGUUGUGUGCCUAGAUCCAUGUCACGUUAUCAUGAUAUUCUCAGUCAAGCCAUGAUCUAUAUAACUCAAUCAGUCAUGUGGCUCAAGAAAUCUCAGAAAUCUCAUGAUCUCAAUAAAUUCUUAGAUAGUAUUACUAUUCCAUCAGUCAACAGAAGUUAGUUACUUAGUCCAUGUAUAGCCAGUUAAAUCAAGUUCAGUCUCUUCAGAUGGGAGUAGUAGUUAGCACCGAGUGAACCCAAGGAUCAAAACUCACCUGCCAGUUUCGGGUGUAACUCUUAGUAGUCAUCCUUGUGUUCUAGAACUACGCAGCCAGCGUAGGUUGAGACAUCUUAACCUACCAAAUUAAGGUUGAUGAGGUGUCUUAAUCUAUCAGUUUAGGGUUCCCACCAUUCUGAUUCAAGUACCUGCCAGCUAAGGGUCACUCACAGCUGUCCUUACCAGUGGCACGGUAUUGACACCCUUCCAGUCGGGGCAGAGAUUGGACCCCAAUCUAGCUAUAUACAUUAUUGGGGUAUGUCGGUUAAGAAACUACCUCCCAAAGUUUCAGUCCCAGUCUCAGUAAAAACACUUAGAUAGUUCUUCAGAUUUUAGUAUACCAGGACUGUCAGUUAUAGUGAAUUUAGUUACAGUAUGAAACUCAGGUAGUUCCAUCAGAUUCAAGACUGUCAAACACAGUCAUCCAUGUUAUCAAAAUUUUAGUAUCAGUCAUGUUAGAUAACAGUAACUAUGUAUUAGCGUACAUAUCCAGAUAUCAUGUAUUCAUGACUUUAGUUACUAUGUAUGCAUGUUUGUACUCUUACAUUCAUAUCAGUCAAUCAGUUAGCAUUGUUCAUGUAAGUAAACCCUUUUGCAUUUAGCCUACCUCACUCGUCUACUCAGUACUCCCAGUCGUACUGACGCAUUUACGCUAUGGUACUUUAUUUCAUGUUACACCAUAGGUUCAGAGACACGAGUUCCAGAUCAGUAGUAGCAUUCCUAUCGCAGAGUUGCAGUGAGUCCUCAUCCAUUCGAGGAUGAUAUUAUUUUAUUUCAUUCAUUAUUUCAGUUUAGUUUUGCUAGAUGGAGUUAGUUGGAGACAUGUUCCUUCAACUUCUUAUUCAGACAGUAUUUAGAGGCUUUCAGAUUUAGUUCAGAUUUUAGAUUAAGCUUUCAGUUGUUUUUGGGUAUUUGUUACCUUAUAUGGAUGUUAUUAUUUAUCAGAUAUUCUAUUCAGUUGAACCUUAUGGCCUAUUGUUCAUGUUUUCCAUAUUCUACAAGUAUAUUAUGUAGUGUACAGGUACAGAUAUCAGUCAUGGGUUAGCUUGUGGUCCCUCAUGGUCAUAAGCACUAUGUAGCGUUCCCGUUCAGCAAAUCGGGGCAUUACAAACUUGGCAUCAGAGCCUAAGGUUCAAUAGAGUCCUAGGAAGUCUGAAAACCGCAUCUAGUAGAGUCUUGUGUAUGGGUGUGUUACGCGCCACAUUUAUGUGAAAGAGGCUAUGAGAUGUCUUAGGAACAGUUUCCCCUCUUUCAGUAUUCAUGUCGUGCUAGUGAGCAUAAUCUCAAGUUAAACUCUCAGUCUAAUCCAUUCUUCUCUUAUUUCAAAAUAUGCCUCCAACGAGAAGAAACCAGUUCGCUCCUCAUCCCGGAGAUCCUUUGGGAGAACGUGUUUCUCAUGCGAAGUUUAGGGCCGCAUUCUCCACACUUGCUCAGUCUAUGGCUACCCAAAAUAAAUGACCACAAGUUAUUCCAGCCAAUCCAGUGGCCAACUCAGCCGCAGCUAGGAUUCGGGACUUCACCCGAAUGAACCCUCCAUCUUUCUUUGGGUCUAAGUCUGAUGAAGACCCUCAAGAAUUCCUUAACCAAGUCCAGAAGGUCAUAGACAUCAUGGGAGUUACUUAUUGUUAGAGUACUGAUUUAGCCACAUACCAAUUACCGGAUGCUGCUCACACUUGGUACAAAAGUGGAAGUCUGAGAGGGUAGAUGGUGCAGGUCCUAUAGAGUGGGAGAAAUUUGUCACGGCUUUCUUACAUAGAUUCUUUCCCCAAGAGCUGAGGGAGGAAAAAGUUCUUGAGUUCAUCAACCUCAGGCAGGAAAAUAUGAUGGUUAAAGAGUAUUCUCUUAGAUUUACUCAGCUAUCCAGAUAUGCCCCUCAUAUGGUUGUAGACAGCAGGGCUAAGAUGAGCAAGUUCGUGUCAGGAGUGAAUGAUAGGGUGGUAAAUAAGUAUAGGUCUGCUGAACAGUGAUAUGAAUUUAGCCAGGCUCAUGACCCAUGCUCAGCAAAUAGAGGUGUAAAAGAUUAGGACAAGGGAGAGGCAGAAUAAGAGAGCAAGAUCAGGCAGUUUUAGUUUUACUCAACCCAAAUCAGAAGGAGGAAACCGUUCACAGUUUUAUCCCAAGCUAGCAGUUCCAGCUCCUUCCUCCUCCAGUGCCCCAUUGCCAAAAUUCAAAGAUGGUAACAGAGAUCGAGCACCAGGCUCUAAGUCUCAGGGCAGUGUCAGAAGUGCCCAAACUAAUCCCCUAUGUCAGACUUGUGGUAAGAACCACAAGGGUACCUAUAGAGCUGGUAGCGAUAUUUGUUUUGGUUGUGGAAAGCCAAGCCACAGGAUUAGAGAGUGUCCGCAGUCAGGUCUAUAGGGUCAGCAGAAUCAUUUCACAGCCCAGUCCGGUCGCCUAAAUCAGCAGGGUGCCUCUUCCAGUGCUGCUGGUGGGCAAUGCCCAAAUAGACUCUAUGCUCUUCAGACCCGACAGGAUCAGGAAAAUUCUCCUAAUGUCGUUACUGGUACAUUACAGAUUUUCCAUGUUCAUGUUUACGCUUUGCUAGAUCCAGGUGCAUCCUUGUCUUUUGUUACUCCUUAUAUACCAAGCAAUUUCGAAAUUAGUACCAAAAUUUUAGAAGAGCCCUUUUCAGUCUUUACCCCAGUGGGUAAACUAUCAUAGCUCAGUGAGUAUAUAGGAACUACCCAGUUAUAAUAUUUUAGAGAUCCACAUCAGCAGAUUUCGUCGAAUUAGAGAUGACUAAUUUUUAUUUCAUAACUGAUUUUUAUUUCAUUCUCGGCAUGGAUUAGCUUCAUUCCUGCAAAAAAAGUCGAUUGCAGAAAUAGGAUAGUUCAGUUUCAGUUCCUGAAUGAACUCGUCCUAGAGUGGAAGGGUAGUACUUCAUCUUUCAGGGGUCAGCUUGUUUCCUACCUUCGGGCAAGGAAAAUAAUUUCUAAGGGAUGUGUUUAUCAUCUCAUUCAUGUUAAGGAUUCCAGUUCUAAAUCUCCUAGCUUGGAAUCAGUCCCAGUGGUUAAUGAAUAUUCAGAUGUAUUUCCUGAAGACCUUCCAGGCAUUCCUCCUGAAAGGGAAAUAGACUUCGGCAUUGAUCUUCUUCCAGACACUUAGCCUAUUUCUAUUUUGCCAUACAAAAUGGCACCAGCAGAACUCAAGGAACUAAAAGAUCAGUUGAAUGAUCUCUUAGAUAAGGGAUUCAUCAGGCCCAGUGUAUCCCCAUGGGGUGCACUAUUUUUAUUCGUGCACAAGAAAGAUGGGUCUCUUAGGAUGUGUAUUGAUUACCGCCAGCUCAACAAAGUUACGGUCAAGAAUAAGUAUCCACUUCCCAGAAUAGAUAACCUAUUUGACCAACUUUAGGGUGCCAGUUAUUUUUCCAAGAUAGACCUCAGAUCAGGCUACCAUCAGCUAAGAUUUAGAGAAUGUGACAUCCCAAAGACAGUUUUUCGUACUCGGUAUGGUCACUUUGAAUUUCAAGUCAUGUCCUUUGGUCUUACUAAUGCUCCAGCCAUUUUCAUGGACUUGAUGAACCGUGUGUUCAAGCAGUAUUUGGACAUAUUCAUCAUAGUCUUCAUACAUGAUAUCCUAGUUUAUUCUCGCAUAGAGCGUAAUCAUUCAGACCAUCUCAGAAUUAUUCUUCAGACUCUCAGAGAUCAUUAGUUAUUCGCCAAUUUCAGUAAGUGUGAGUUUUGGCUAAGAUCAAUAGCAUUCCUUGGACAUAUUAUUUUCGGUGAUGACAUUAGGGUCGAUCCUCAUAAAACCAAAGCGGUAAGAAACUGGCCUCGCCCAUUAUCUCUAUCAGAUAUUAGGAGUUUCUUGGGUUUGGCUGGCUAUUACAGAUGGUUUGUCAUGGGAUUUUAUUCUAUUGUGUCUCCCAUAUCUAGAUUGACUCAGAAGAAGGUCAAGUUUCAGUGGUCAAAUUCAUGCAAGAAGAGUUUUCAGGAAUUGAAGACUUGACUCACCUCAGCUCCAGUCUUAGCUCUUCUAGAUGGUUCAGAUGGGUUUGUAGUAUAUUGUGAUGCAUCCAGAGUAGGUUUAGGUUGUGUCCUCAUGCAGAAUGGUAAGGUCAUAGCCUACGUCUCUAGACAGUUAAAGCCCCAUGAGAAGAAUUAUCCUAUUCAUGAUCUUGAGUUAGUAGCUGUGGUAUUUGCCUUAAAUAUUUGGAGGCAUUAUUUAUAUGGAGUUCAUGUUGAUGUCUUCACAGAUCACAAGAGUCUCUAGUAUGUCUUUUCUCAGAAAGAUCUUAAUCUUCAUCAGAGAAGGUAGUUAAAGCUUUUGAAAGAUUAUAACAUGAGUUUUCUUUACCAUCCGGACAAGGACAACGUUAUGGCCGACACUUUCAGUAGACUCUCCAUGGGUAUUAUUUCUCAUGUUGAGGAUAGCAAGAAGAAGAUAGCUCAAGAGAUCCAUCAGCUUUCCAAACUAGGCGUUCACUUAGUCGACUCUUUAGAGAGUGGUGUAUGUGUUUAGAGUAGUUCAAAGUCAUCUCUCGUUUCUGAGGUGAAAGAGAAGUAAGACAGGGAUCCUAGACUUUUCAAGCUAAAAUAGUCAAUUUAGAAUCAGAAAGUAGAGGUUUUCUCCUAAGGGGGAGAUGGUGUUCUUCGUUGUUAGGGUCGUCUGUGUAUUCCAGGUGUAGAUGACUUGAGGCAGCGAAUUCUUACAGAAGCGCAUGGUGCGUGAUACUCUAUUCAUCCAGGGUCCACUAAGAUGUACCACCACUUGCAAUAGAUCUAUUAGUGGAGUAGGAUGAAGAGAGAUGUUGCGGAAUUUAUGGCUAAGUGCUCUACAUGUUAGCAAGUUAAGAUAGAGCAUUAGAAACCUAGUGGUUCCAUGUAGGAGUUCACCAUUCCUACUUGGAAGUGGGAAGAAGAGAAAAUGGACUUCGUGAUGGGUUUGCCUCGCACUCGUCAUCAGCAUGAUUCAGUUUGGGUCAUUGUAGAUAGAAUAACCAAGUCAGCUCACUUUCUUCCAGUUCGUACUUCUUAUUCAGCCGAGGAUUAUGCCAAACUCUAUAUCAGGGAGUUGGUCAGAUUACAUGGUGUUCUAUUAUCUAUCAUCUCAGACAGAGGUACCCAGUUCACCUCUAACUUCUGGAAAGCACUCCAAAAAGAUCUUGGUACCCAAGUUUAUCUCAGUACAGCAUUUCAUCCUUAGAUAGAUGGUCAAGCAGAAAGGACCAUUCAGACUCUUGAAGAUAUGCUAAGAGCGUGUGCAAUUGAUUUCAAGGGUAGUUGGGGUGACCACUUGCCUUUGAUUGAAUUUGUAUACAAUAAUAGCAGUCAUUCCAGUAUUCAAAUGGCUCCAUUCGAAGCUCUCUAUGGUAGGAGAUGUAGAUCUCUAAUUGGUUGGUUUGAAGUUAGUGAAGCCUCAGUCAUAGGUCCUGACUUGGUAUUUGAUGCCUUAGAGAAGGUUCAGUUAACAGAGAAAGACUCCGGGCUACUUAGAGCUGACAGAAGUCCUAUGCUGAUAUUCGUAGAAAGGAUCUCAAAUUCGAGGUCAAUGAUUACGUCUAUCUUAAGACCUCUCCCAUGAUGGGAGUGAAGAGGUUCGGUAAGAAAGGGAACCUCAGUCCCCGAUACGUCGAUCCCUUCAGGAUUCUCAGUCUCUUCAGCAAGGUAGCGUAUGAGCUCGAAUUACCUUCAGAUCUAGCCUCAAUUCAUCCAGUCUUCCAUGUCUCUUUUCUCAAGAAGUGCAUAGAUGACCCAACAAUUGUAGUCCCUAUUCAGAGCAUUGACAUUUAGAACAGCCUCUCUUAUGAAAGAUUCUAGUCAAAAUCUUAGACUAUCAGACUCAUAGAUUGAGGAACAAAGAAGUCCCUCUAAUCAAGGCUCUUUGGCGAAAUCAGUCUCAUGAGGGAGCUACUUGGGAAGCAGAAGUAGAUAUGCGUACCAAGUAUCCUUACCUCUUCUCCGUCAAUUCAGAUCAAGCUUAAGGUAAUAGUUCUCCUUAAGCUUAUUUAGUUUCAUGUUCAUGUUCCCAUCAUAAAACUUGGUACCUAUUACCAUUGCAUACUCAGUCAUGAAUUCAUGUAUCAGUUCAACUAUAAGAUCUUGCAUCAGCUAUGCAUUCUCAUCUUGAGAAAUUCAGUUUACUAGAUUAUUCAGUUAUGCAUUCAUGUAUCAGUUAUCCUUGCAUCAGAUAUGCAUAAGUUUAGUAUAUUUAUCAUGUUAGUCAUGAAAUUAGAUUUUAGUUAUUCAGGUUCAGUCAUGUUUAGUUUGUCUUUUAUCCCCUGUCAGUUGAUUCUCAUUCGAGGACGAAUGUUCCCAAGGGGGAGAUAUUGUAAUACCCCAAAAGUUCAGAUAUUUUUAGGAUCAUGUUUUGAACUCAUGAGUAAUAAAUUUUAGUACUUUGGUAGUUCUACGAUCAAGGUUGAUGCAUAUUAAGGCCUCAAAAGUGUCCUAGCUAAUAGACGAAUCAAAAUAAUUCCUUACUGAUUGAAUUCUUGAGAAGGAUAUUGGUAUAGUCAACUUCAAACUAGCAUAUCUCUCGUUAUGCUAUGAAUCUAUGAUCUCAUGACCCACCAACAGAUAUAUAAUUGGAUUAGCUUUCCAACAAUACCAAUUUCGUCUAAAUCUGAUAUCGGAGAAAGGGGUUAUGUCCAUUUUACUCUGGCAUGUCAGGCUGGGAAACUAAGUGACAAUAUUUGUGACAAGCCAUCACGCCCGUGAUGGCAUAUCACCAAUUUCGUCAGCCCUGGUUAGAUUUUCACCCCCAGUGACAAUAUUUUGUGACAAGCCAUCACACCUGUGACGGCCUAUCACCAAUGUCAUCAACCUUAACCAAAAAACUAAGAUUUCACCUUUUUGUGACGACAAUUCAUGACGACCUAUCACCAGUAUGACGGCUUGUCACGAAUGUCAUCAGCUAUUUUUUCCAGCAAUUGAGGGACGUUUUAGUAAGGGUAUUUUGGUUUUUUCCCUUUACUUCUCACGAUUUAUAACCCUCAAGGAGCGUAUUAUCUCCCAUCUCUUUAGUUAAACAUCUCAAAAAGCUCUCUCAUACACUCUCAACCACAAAAUUAGGGUUUUAUCUCAAGAUCAUCUCCUCAAGAGCAAGCCUAAGGAAUUCUUCAAGAACCUUUAGAAACAUUAGAUCUCUUUCAAGACUCAAUCACUAAGGUAUGCGUAGUGUUCAUCCAUGGGUCCCUUUAAUUCAUGGAGCUUAAGAAAUCAUGUUUUAAAUUAUAAAUUAUGAUUUUCUUGUCGUAUUAUGACUAUAUUCAUGUUGAUGAUAGUUGUUUGGAUUCAAGGUUGUAUCUUGACGUGUUUUCAUGAAGCAUGUGAAUAGGUUAGUUGAAACCCAUAAAUUUUGGAUGGAUUAAGAUGGUCGAAUUGAUAAAUAUACCUAUGCCUUAAAAAAGUGCAUGCAAGGUGUUUGAUAAAAUGCCUAAGGAACUAGAAAUCAUACAAUAUAGCUAAAUUGUGACUAAGUGAAGGAUUCAUGAUAUGCCCCUAUGUUCCAAUGAUUUUCAUAUUGAUAUUGUGUCUUGUAAAUGUUGUUGGGAUGUUCAUGAACUAGUCUUAUGAGAUUAUGCCAUGCUUACUUACAAAUCCUACUUAUGUACAAAAUAUAUGAUAUCCAUGCACUUCAUGGAAUUCCCCAAGUUUUGAUAUUAUGGAUUGUUGAUGUUGGUCACGUACUCAAGUCAGUUAUGUGCAUCAUUUUCCUUCCAUCGAGUCCUGGGGGUACUUAUACCCGAAAAACAUAGUUGUAUGCCUAGAGCCUUGUUAUGUUUCACGAUCUCCAAAAUCAAGCCAUGAAUCAAUAGAAAUCAGUCAGUCAUAUGACUCAGGAAAACCUCAUGAUCUCAGUCAGUUAACAGUUAUUAGAUAUCAGAAGUAUUCUAUCAGUUAAUGGAAUUCAGUAAGUUUAGUCCAUGUACAGUCAGUUACUCAUUUUCAGUCUCUUCAGAUGGGAGUGAAAGUUAGCACCGAGCGAACCCAAGGAUGGGAAUGCACCUGUUAUAUGAGGGUGUGAUUCUUAGCAGUCAUCCUUGAAUUCCAAAACUAUGUAGCUAUCAUAGGUUGAGACAUCGCAGCUUGUUAUAUAAGGGUAGAUGAGGUGGUUUAACCUGUUAUAUGAAGGUUCCCACCAUUCUCACUAGAGUUACCUUUUAUAUGAGGGUUGCUCACACAUUGUCCUUAUCAGUGGCGCGGUAUUGACACCCUUCCAGUCAAGGAAGAGAUUGAACCCUGGCUUAGCCAUAAUGGCACAUAUGGGGCAUGUCAGUUAAACAACUACCUCCCAUAGUUUCAGCAUCAGUCUCAGUAAAAGAACUUAGAUAGUUCUUCAGAUUUCAGCAUAUCAGGACUGUUAGAUACAGUCAAUUUAAUUACAGUAUGGAACUCAGAUAGUUCCAUCAGAUUCAGGACUGUCUGAUAGAGUCACCCAUGUUAUCAGAACUACAGUAUCAGUCAUGAUUAGUUAUCAGUAAACUAUGUAUUAGCGUACAGAUUUAGCUAUCAUGCAUUCACAAUCUCAGUUAUUAUGCAUGCAUGUUUGCACUCUUAUGUUCAUAUCAGUCAGUCAGUUAGCAUUGCUCAUGCAUGUAAACCCUUUUGCAUUUACCCUACCUCACUCGUAUACUUAGUAUAUCCCCAUGUACUAAUGCAUUUGCACUAUACUGCUUUCUUUUCAUGUUACACCAUUGGUCCAGAGACACAAGCUCCAGAUCCGCAGUAGCAGUAGCAUUCCAGUAUACAGAGUUGCAAUGAGUCCUCUUCAUUCGAGGACAAUAUGAUUUGAUUUAUUUAUUAUCUCAGUUAACUUUCAGUUUUAUAGAGUUAGUUAGAGACAUAUUCAUCCAUCUCCUUAUUCAGACAGUACUUAGAGGCUUUCAGAUUUAGUUCAGAUUUGUAUUCAGUUUUGAUUUAGAUUUAGUUGUUUUGGGUAUUCGUUACCCCACAUGGAUGUUAUUUUUUGAUAGAUUCUUUAUUCAGUUGAACCUUAUGGCCUAUUGUUUAUGUUUUUCAUAUUCUUUAUGUAUAUUAUGCAGUGUAAAGGUGCAGAUAUCAAUCAUAGGUUAGCUUGUGGUCCUUCGGGGUCAUAGGCACCGUGUAGCAUUCCAGUUUAGAAAAUUGGAGUGUUACAUUUGAUUAGGAGCAGACAAAGUUGAAUUUGGUGACCUGUAGCUCCUAUUUUUCAUCCAUGAACAGUAGCUACAUUUCUAGUAGUUUUGCUCCUUUAUUUCUCUAGUUUUUUUGUGUUGUGGUUUAUGUAUUGUUGCUCGUUGUUUGGUACUUGUUUGGUGUCUAUUUUUUAGGACAUUAUUGUAACUCCUGGUAAUUAUAGUGGAGGUUUUGGUCCCGUAGUUUUUUACUCUUUACUUCGAAGGGUUCUUUACGUAAAUUUGGUGUCCCGUGUGAUUGGUUUUAUUAUUGUCUUAUCGUAAUUAUUUGGUUGAUUUAUUUGCUGCGUUAUUACCAUUGUGCUUGGGUUUGGUUGUUUCCUCUUAAUUCAAAUUGAAAGGAAAAAUUUAGACUUGGGUAUUCUUUUACAGCUAUCGUGUCAUGCACUUUAACAGUGCCUUGUCUUUUCUAACACCCACCUCGCUACCCUCCAAAAAAAUGUAAGUCCUAUUCCUAUAUUGGGGUCAUUGAUGCAUAAAGUUUCUUUUUGUAUGUAGAGAGGGUGGUAAUUUCCUACUGCAGGUUAAAUUAUUGUUUCAUUCUGCAUCCCCACCUUAAUUUUUUUUCAAAUUGCAUCUUGGCUUAGCUUUGUCAGCCAAUACCAGGACAACAUAUUUUUUAGGCUGCCUAUAGCUCAAUUUUUAGACUUCCUUUUUCUUUCUAGUUCAUAUGGUUAUUGCUUUGCUAAUUCUAUGCCUUUUAUUAAAUAAUAACCUUGUUAGCUAGUGCACUUUCAUGUGUUAUUUUUGAUUUAUUUGUGAGUGUGUUCAGAUACUUGAUUUACUUACCUAAAGUUCUUCUGGUUACCAAAUCUUACUUCCAACUCCAAUCCAGUUUCAACCUUAUGAAUGUAUCUUGACUUGAGAAUUUAGUCCCUUGUAUGAACUAGUGUUGUGGUCUCAAGGCUGUAAAUCCAUCCCAAUAUUCUCGGUAUGCUAUAAAACUAACAUAUUUAGGGUUGUAAAUUUUAAGUUUGCAAGGGAAAUAAUGAAUGAGGAUGAUCUAAUUUGUGUUUCUAUUUGUUGAUACUUUAGAUGCAUGUUCAACUUUCAGCUUCCAGACUAAUGGAGGAAAUAGAACCGGAGGGUAAGAACAACAUUUUUCUAACAUCAAACCAGCCAAUAAGAUUGAAAAUUCUUUUUAAUAUUGCAAAUGGUGGGUUGAACCUCUUAUCUUCUUAAAUUAUUUCAUUCUGCCUAACCUAAUGUAGGUCCUACUAGCUGAGUUUGAGUUUUAGAUUUUUACUAAAAUAUUUAAUCCUGAGUGGCCACUUGUUUCUCUCUGUCUAUAUGACUAAUUAAGUGACGUAUAUUUUUUAAUUGUAAUCAAUUUGUGAAUCUGAACUGUUUUUUCAACACCCUUAUAGUCAUACAAUUAUCUAAAAAUAGAGGAGAUGUUAAAAAUUUUAUUGCAUUUAAUAGUGUGAUUUCCUUGUAUUUCAAUUCUCCUUUGACAGGUAUGUUCACACUCGCAGCAUCUUAUAUUUCUCUCCUAUUUUCUAUUCCCCUAUCCUAGUUUAUAAAGGUUAUAGUCAUUCCUAUUUGAAUUUACCAAAAUUGUACUAGGCACACGUGUCAUAUGCCCCCUUAGCUAGUUUCUCUAAGAUUUAAACUUAAAUUUGCUUGAUGUUGGCCUAACAGAUCUUCAUGUUACAUAAGAACAGAUGAUACUAAGACCAAAGUUCAAGAAGUGCAUAAUUAGUUCCAUUUUCUAGAAAUCUAGAAGUUAUGAUGCCAGAGUUAUGGUAUAAAAUGUUUUUAUUCUUUAUUUCCUCUAGUACUUUUUUUCUUCUGAGAACAAUACUAUGAUUUGUUGAAACGCGUGAUUUAUUACAAGUUACAGAUAUUUAUGUGACUAUAAAUAAUUAAUCAUUUCACUAAUGGUUAUCUAGACAUUGAUUUUAAUUUCAAGAUAAAACUCAAGGAAGGGGGAUUGUACUUCCAAGUAUCUUUGAUUGUUGGCUGGAAUUCUUUAAUUACUGAGGCAAGGUUCUGUUCAUGACAUAGUUCCUUAUCUGUUGAAUUAAUCUAUAUAAACUCAGAUGAUGCAUCCUUUUAUCAAUGAAUAAAGUAGGGUCAUGCUUAAAUUCUUUUAUGUUUUCCGCGCGUAGUUUAUUUGACCUUUUCAUUGCUCCUUUUUGGGCCUAAAUUUUUGAAAUUUAAGCAUGUUUGUUGCUUAAAUUUUUGGAUGUUUUUUUCAUGUAGUUUGUUUUACCUUUUCAUUGUUCCUUCAUGGACUUCUGGUUCUGAUCACAUUCUUGCUUUUAUCUUUCUUGUUUUGCAAUGCUAGAGUUUGGUUGAGGUAAAGGAUAAGAAAGUGAAGGAGUUGUUGCAGUCAAUUUUACUCCACAAAGCAAAAUGGGAAAGAUGCUAAUGGCUAAAUAUAAGACAUUGUUUGAGGAAAAUGAAGAGAUUGAAACCAGGCUAAUGAAGGAAAGGUAUUAAAUGAUUUUCUUCAUCAGUGAUGUGUAAAAUAUAAAAUUCUUUAGUUCAAAACUGUCAAUUAAAAAGAAAUUCUUUUUAGCUACAACUGAAUGUAGAGAUGGAAGAGACUAGUCUAUUCUUGGUUACCUAAUUGCCUGUCUAGCUUGUUUUUUUAGGUUUAUUAAAUUUAUUAUGGUUUCUCUAAAGGUGAUGAAUAUGAGAUAUUACAGAAGUUUCGUUUCUUUCUUCAUUUGCAGAUGCAUGAAUUAUCAAUGAAACUAGGUCUGGCUUUGCAGAUAUCUCAGAAUGCUCAACUCAAAAGUCAAUUUGAAGGUUAAUCUUCUCUCCCGUUGCUUUAUUAAAUACACCUCUAUUUUCUUUUUAACUUGUCUAGGAAUUUUUUGUUGCUGCUAGUUUUAUUGUGCUCGUCUGUAAUACCAUUAUUUUAUGAGAAAAUAUUCUCCAUAAUUUUUUUGGGGGUCAUUAACUAAUGUUUUUCCAUGGUAAAUGUAUUGCCUCAAAAGAUCAUUUUCAUUAUGAGUUUUUUAGUAUUUGGUUGGAUACGGAGAUAGCAGAGAAAAUUGAAGGAAAGGUGUCUUUUAAGUCUUCAAUGAAGGAUUGGUGACAUUAAUCAACUUAAAGGGUCAAACAUCAUUAGAAACUUGAUUAAGUUAAUUGUAGAUUUGAUUAAUAUUUUCAAAACUUUCUAAUCUUUUCAAAAAUACAAAUCAACCCAACCCACACCCCUCUUCAAUCCAAAUCAACCAGUCUCUCUCCUCUCUCUCUACAGCUUCUCUUAACUCUCUCCCAACCAACAGUUUGCAAAUUCUCCUUUCAAUCCUCAGUGAUUUCAACCUCCGAUGAUAAAUAGUUAGCUUCGAGUUCUUUUUCAACUUAAUUCAACCUUUAAUCGACGUGACAGCCUUGCUCUCCAGCCACAACAACUUUAAAUUUUUCAUCGUUCCUUUUCUUCUUUCACAGGUUAAAAUUUAUGGCCUUUUUAGUUUUGAAGAAAAUGAGGAACUUGAGCCAACUUCUCUUACAGUAUUGGUUAACAAUUUCAAUAUUUAUUGCUUUAAUUUGAAAUGCGAUCUGAAUAAAAUCCUAAUUUCUGGUAUUCUUCUCUUAUCUUUUCAAAGUGAAUUAUGAUUUUUUGUUGUUUGUUGAAUUUUUUUGAAGUUUAAUUUUCGUUGUUUAUGUUUAUACAAUUAAAACAAUGAUUUGGGUCAAUUUGUUCUGUUCUUAUUCAUGGUAAAAAUGGUGAUAUUCUUGUUUUCUGUUGAACAAAAUAAUGCUACUAUUUUUUUUCAACAGAUUAUUCAUCUGGUGCAACAUAUUAACCAUCUGAUGCAAUAGAUUUUUCAUAUGAUGCAACAGAUCAAUCAUCUGAUGCAACAGAGGAAUCAUAAGAUUAAAAUUCUGAUGCAACAGAGGAACCAUCAAAUAAAAAAUCUAAUGCAAUAGGUUUAUCAUAUGAUACAAUAGUUUAAUUAUUUGAUGCAAUAGAUUAACCAUAUGUUGCAACAGAUUAACCAUCUGAUGCAAUAAAUUUACUAUCGAAUGCAACAGAGGAACUAUCAGAUAAAAAAUUUGAUUCAAUGAUUAACUAUCUGAUGUAAUGGAGGAACCAUCGAAUUACAGAUCUGAUGCAACAGAUGAAUCUCCUGUUGGAUAAAAUCCUAUCAACUCUUCCAACAAGACAAGCCCAAUAAUUAAUUUUUUUCAACUGAUCAUUCAUCUGCCACGAUAGACGACCCUUCUGUUGGAAGAAAUAUAAACAAUAUUGACCAUUGAUAACUGUUCUAACAUAUCACUCAUAUGUUGCAACAUAUGUACGACCUAUUGUAUAGACCAUUCAUCUUUCUCUACAGAUGAGUGAUAUGUUUUAUAUUAUCACAACAGAUUACUCAAUUAUUGUUGCAGGUUAGUUAACUGUUUUGACAGAUCACUCAUAUGUUACAACAGAUAUGUGAUCUGUUGCACAAACCAUUCAUCCUUCUCAACAGAUGAGUGAUAUAUUUUUGUAUUGUCGUAAUAGAUUACUCAGCCAUUGCUACAGGCUAUUUAAUUAUUCUAACAGAACACUCAUAUAUUGUAAUAGAUGAUAUUGCAACAGAUGUGUGACCUGCUGCACAGACCAUUUAUUUUUCUCAAUAAAUGAGUGAUAUAUUUUCUAUUAUUGCAACAGAUUACUCAUCCAUUGCAACAAGUUAUUUAACUGCUCCAACAGAUCACUCAUAUAUUGCAAUAAUAUGUGAUCUGUUGCACAGACCAUUCAUCUGUCUUAAAAGAUGAGUGUUACAUUUUGUAUUAUUACAACAGAUUACUCAUCCGCUGCAACAGGUUAGUUAUAUAUUGCAACAGAUAUACUACCUGGUGCAACAGAUUAGUGAUCUAUUGGAACUGUUAUUUUACUAUUUUGCGUGUUAGAUUUACUAUUAUCUUUUUUUUAAUGAUGCAUUAAUCAACUAUAAUAUAUUUUUUUAUGUUCUUUUUAAUUUUAGAUAAUAUGGCUCCCAAAAGAACAAAAACUGAAUCAAAUUCAAGUAAAGGAACAAGUGAAGCAGCUAGGCUACAUCUACCACUCUAUGAGCUUGCUUUACAAGCAUUAUCUUUAUCAGGAGCAGAAUAUGAUGAACAUGGGGGGGGGGGAGUAAUGUUUCAAAAGAGAUGAUCCAAAUGCUAAUAGCUCUUCUACCGAAGAGUUGGUCAAAAUUUUCAGCAUUGAUCAUUACUCUGUGAGAAUGCAGUAUGAUGGUGCAACAGAUUUAACGAGUGAUUUCAUGGUUAAAUCAGUCAUGGAAAAAUCUUUCGACGUCUUCACAAAAAUACUUUGAGAACAAAAAUUGAAUGCUUAUUUCAGGGACAACAAUGCUCAUUUUCAAAUAAAAAUGGUAUAUGAACUUCUCAAGCAUAGGUUUAUGUAUGAAAACAAAGAUAAGAUGGAUGAGGUAUGGAAAAAUUACUGUGGCAUGCCUGUUUGUUUUGGUUGGAAGGAGUUUGUCAUAGUUACUGGAUUAAAAUAUUAUCCUCUUUCUCAAGUUAUACCUAUUCUAACCCAAAAAAGUACCCCACACACCCAAAAAAGGCAAAGGCAAGUCGUGUAAUCGUGAUGACCUGGUGUCCAUUGUUGGUCCAAGAUUCAAAAACAAAAAUUUGAUAAAAGUGUUAAAAGAUAAAGGACUUUCAAAGAAGCACAAGCAGUCAUUAUGCUUGGUUUGGUUUGUAUAUAAUAUUCUUGGGAGAGAGAUAUUAACAACAACAUAAGCGUCGAUUUAAUAAAGCUCUACGAGGAUCUUGAGACAUUUAACAGCUAUCCUUGGGGUUAUGAAAGCUUCAAAAUGAUUGUCAAAUAUUUGUUGACUCUGUUAGCUCCAAAAACAGUCAACUUAUAUGGCUUUCAAUGGGUUUUCCAUGGACUUUCAUGGUAAAUGUUUUUUUUUUUUAAUUAUGAUAUCAUUUAUUUUUUUACUCAUAAUGGCUUUGAUUAUUGACGUUAUUUUAUAGGCUUGGGCAUUUGAAGCCAUUUCUUAUUUGAGACAACAAGUGAACUACCAGGAAGAAGUUUCCUGUCCAAGAAUCUUGAGAUGUUUAUCGGCCAAAACUGAUAAAAAUGUAAAAUUUCUUGAUCUCUUCAUCCCCUCAAAGGAUGCAGUAAGUAUACUUAUAAUUAAGUUUUUUUUUAAUUAAUGAUUUUUUUGAAUGAUCUAAUCAUCAUUCUAAUAUAUGUAAUGAUUUAUGUUAGAUUGUGCAUCCGUCACUAGUUCCGACCAAUCGAGAGUUGAAGAUGUCAUUUUUUCUUAUUUUAAGGUCUGUGAAAACUUUAUCGGACCCUAAGUUCAUUGACAAAAUAAAAAUGGAAUUGUUUGGAGUGAAAACCAUUACAAGAAAAAUCAUUUUGGAGGGUGGGCUUGUUGUUUUUUAUGGUCUUAGUGGUGAUGGAGCUGUUGGUGGUGGUAGUGGUGCUGCUGUUGGUACUAAAGAUACUCCCCUUACAAUAUUUAAAAUAAAUCAUUAUGAGUAUGAUCAUGCUAGUUAUACAGAUUUUGCCCCUCCCAGUGAAUAUUCUGCAUGCAAAUGUCAAGACUGCAGGGUUAAACAUGAUGUAGUGAUUAAUGCUAUUAAUGUAUUAACUGCUUCUGUAAAGAAUUGAUAUCUAAGAGGGAUGUCAUUCCAUCAAAGAGGAUUUAAUAUCCAUCCACUCCAUUAGAGAUUAAGGCUAAGAGGAGAAGGAAAGUGAUUUUCAAUGCAUUAUCAAGUAUCCAAAAAAAGAAAAAUGCAACUCCUCUGUUCGUGUGUUGCACUAAGCAAUGUACAAUGUCCAAAGAAGAGCAGCACGAGCUAAAGAAGGUGAAUGUAUAUGUCUAUUCCAAUUAACAAACAGACACAUAUCUCUUUCAACAGAUGACACAUCUGCUGAAAAUUAUCAAACAGAUAUAUAUAUAUUUAUUGCAACAGUUGACUAACUUGUUGCACCAAAUAAAGUAUUUAUUGCGAAACAUGUCUCAUCUAUUUUAGAAAAUCAAAUAGCUCUUCGUACUUCUUUUAUUUGUACUAACAGAUGAUCUAUCUGCUGUAACAGAUGAGUCAUAUAUUACAACAGAUGGUUCAUCCGUUGAAAAUUAUCAUACAGGUCUUUCUCAUGUAGAAAUUUGUUCCAAUAGUUAAUUCAUUGUUGCAACAGAAAUAUAAUCUAUUUGGGACAAUUUAAAAUAGGAGAAAGACAUGUUUGAUUUGCUAGAACAGCUGAGUUAUUCUUUUCUAUUUUGUUGUAUCUUCAUGAUUAGUAUUGAUCAAUUCUGGCUUUCGAGGUGGAUGUAGAAGCUACUGCUGAACAGCAUUGAUAAUAUACUACUCUUUUUAUGGAAAUACAGAGAACAAAAAAUGCAGAAACCAUACAUAAGAGACAAUAAAGAUCCACGAAGACCAAAGCCGAAUUCCAUAGCACUUGAUGAAGAACAACGUGUCUAUAUUGAGUAGAUCUUUAUAGCUUGAGUCUGUCAAAGUAAUAACCUGACCCCUCUUUAGGAAUCCUUGGCACCAAUACUUAAAUUAUUUAUGUAUUUGUUUAGAUCUGUACCCAUAAUAAUUUUUUUUUUUUGCAUUUCAUUUAUUCGUUGAUUUAUUUCAGCUAAUUUUUGAACUCUUCAAUUUAUUUUAUUUUGUCUAUGAAUUUUAUUUUUUCCUUAGAUUUGAACUUAUUAAUUGAAAUGAAAUACUAAAUUCAAAUAUUGCAACAGAUAAUGUAUCUGUUGUAACAAACGACACAUCUGUUAGAAAAUAUCAAAUAGAUUUAGAUAUAUAAUGCAACAGGUAGUUAAUCUAUUGGAAUUUAUCAAACAGGCCUUUCCAUUGUUGCAACAGAUAGACUUAGACAGAAAUAUCGACAUAAUACAAAAGAUGACCAACCUAUUGCAACAGAUAAACUAUAUGUCAGAACAGGUAGAAUAUCUGUUACAACGGAUGGAAAAUCUGUUGUAUUAUAAAAUUCAACUUUCAUUGGACAUAAAUAAUUGCCACUAGAUGUAAAAAAGUGAAAGUGAAUUGAAAUAAAAAAGGCGGAACCCAUCAACAGUGUUCAGUUCAAAACACCUAAAAUAAAAUAGGUAUCAAGUAGACAGUAUUUAUUUUAAACACGUAAAAUAAAAUAGACAUCAAAUGUGUCAGUUUGGUACUUUUUACCCUAGUGGCUGCUUGCAUGUAAUUCACGUAGCCAAGGCUCGUUGAACCCCCAUUUUUGCUGACUUGGCGUCUGAUUUGGACCCCAACGGUCAUUUUUUUUUCCCAUUGUCUUAUAUAUUCAUCUUCUUCCUAAAAUUUAACUCUAAAUUCCCAAAUCCUAUUCUUCGUCAUUAUCUUUUUUUAUCUAUCCAAAUUCUUUAAGUUAUUUGUAUUUGGUCUUUAUUUUCAUCUUUUUUUUUAUUUUUUCCAACCGAGCUUCACAAUGUCGAGUGCAUCUUCCACUAUUUUUUUUGAAAAAGAUUUUAACUAUUGUAAGUCCGGUCAUGAAGCUCUAUUAAAGACUUCUUGGACUCAACAAAAUCCAGGUCGUAGGUUUUUACUAGUAAAAUUUCAACGGUAUAUUUUUUUAUUUAAUUAGUUGAUUAAUUAUUGAUUUGUAAUUAUUUUGUAAUUGUGCUCUUAUUUUUAUAGACAUUGGGUGGAUGCAAUUACUUUGAUUGGUAAGAAGAACGACACCCUUCACAAGAAAAUUGUGUAAUCAGGAGUUUGUUGAACAAAGUCAAGGCUUCUGAAGAGAAAAAAAAUCAAGAAGAAGAUGGUACAUUGUUGUCGUUACUGCUACUUGUUUGGUGUUGUUAGGAACAUAGAUAUUCAAACCUAAUUACUGGAAUUUUCAUGGUGGUGUAUUUGUUACUGGUUUGGUGUUGUCGAGCACAUGGAUAUUCAAGCGUAAUUUUUGGAAAAUAUCAAACAGAUUUAGGCAUAUGUUGUAAAAUUUAGGUCAUUUUUUGAAAGUUAUCAAAUACGUCUUCCCACUGUUGCAAUAGAUUAGAUAGAAAUAACAUCCGCAUAAUCCAAUAUAUGACCAACCUGUUACAACAGAUAAACUAUCUACCAGAAUAGAUAGAAUAUAUUUUACAACAGAUUGACAAUCUAUUGGAUUAUAAAAAACGCAACUUUCAUCAGAAAAAAAUUAUCACUACAUGUACAUGUAAUUUAAAGUAAAAAGUGAAGUGUGACUUGAAAUAAAAAUUGUUAUUUCACAGGCUCUUCUAUAUACACAGGCUCCAAGCGUCCAGUUAGUACCCCAUAAUCCCAGACCUCUUGCAGGUUUGCCACAGCAUUGUCGCACAGAAAGGUCGUUGGCUCGGCCAUUUCUAUGUCGGUCAGCAAAUAUUCGGUGUGUGCAAGAGCAUGCGAUCCUAACGCAUAAUCGAUAUCAUUUUUAGAAGGUUUAUACCCUUGUUUCGACCUUCAAAAUACCAUAAUUUCUUCAUUAACACUUCCUUUGGAAAAUGAUUCAUCAGUUUAAUAUCCCUCAAUAAGAUGGGGAACAGCUCCAUCAGUGGCUGCACAUGGAAAAAAAGACGGACCUCGUCGAUGGCAGGUAGGUUGCAAUCAUAAACUUUGACCUUUCCCUCCUCGAGUAGUAUCUUAAUAGCUCGAUAAUGUAUGUCGUCCAUGCUAAUGACUGCAAUAAUCCUCUUUGCCUCGGUCCAUCUCUUGCUGUGUGGAUUUGGCCUCUCCCCUAUAACAUAUUUUAUUAUUUCUUCUUCAUCCCAGUCCAACGUAGAAACUAAGAAAUCAAAUCCCGUGCCACAGUCUAACACAGCAUUAUUGAGUUGAUCGUACUUAUCCGUGAGCUUAUUGCAGAAGUCAAGGUCUAUUAUCCUAUCGGCAGCGUCAUAAGCUUUCGGGUACUUUAAUUGUCUUUUCCUCAUGAGGCAGAAAAUUUUAUCAACAUGCUGUGAUAUAAGAAGUCAAUUUUUAAAUAGGUUAGUAAUUGUAAAGAUGCAACAUAUGGUCCAUCUGUUCCAUAGGGUUCUCUGAAUCAAUAAUCCAACUCAAGUUACGCAAUAGAUGGAUAAUAAGUUGUAAUAAAACCACUACCAGUUGCACUAAAAUACCCAGCUGUUGCAACAGAUUUCACAUCUGUUGUGUAGCUUCUUCUUUAUGGGGUAGAUUAGAAGCCUAGGUUAGGAAAAGUAAACUUGCCUUGUCCUCCUACCGCAUACACAUAUCUGUCAUAAUCUGGAAGUCCUGGGGUGAAAAGGGAGGCCUGGGGUAAUCUGGUGCGCGUGGCUUAGCAUUCUUGGCCUGUCACAGAUACCUAUUCUCUUUGGUGCCAAUUUCCAUGUAUAUAUCCACCUUCUUGAAUAUCCCCUGAACUUCAACAGCUUUUGGAGAGGGAGGAGUUGCAAUUUUUUUUAUUUUCGAUCGAAGAGUACGUCGCUAAUUGCUCUUUUCUUCCUUCUAACCGCCGUUGUAGGAGUGUAUGGCUCCCUCACCUUAUUAGAUGGUAUGACACCCCUCUUGGAUUUGAAUUCCUCAACAACUUUAGAGAUAACCUCUACUUUUUCAUAGAGUUUAUCCUGGUUGUCCUUGUAAUCUUUGCAUUCGCAACGAGAACACGAGGGUGAAGAGGGGUAAGAGGGACCUGUGUAAGGGUGAAAAGGGGUGUUUUCAAAUAUAUUUAUUUUUUCUUAAGCAUUAACAUGCUCAUCAUCAUGAGUGGUAGCAUCAUCAUCAUGCCUGCCACCAACACCAACAACUCCACCAAAAAAAGUACCCGAAUCUGCCUUAGUAGGUUGGUCAUGAAGAGCCUCAACAUUAGGCUGACCUUGCCUAACUAUUUUUCUUAUGAUUGUUGCUCUAGCCAAUUCUUUCUUUAUUAAAUCCACCGUUGGGUCUACUAUAGUAUCAACAUGAGCUAGAGUAAUAUAAGAAGUCAUCACCGACUCCCGCUCAGUAGACACGAUCCAUGGAUGCACAACCUAUAAAAAAGGACAAAUACAUUUAACUCAUAUAAUAUAAUAAUUUUCACGGUUUGGUUAUACACAGUCAACUUCUGCAACAGAUUAAUAAUAUGUUGCAUCAAAUUACCCAUUGUUGCAUAGUUUGCAUUAGAUGGUUAAAAUUUGUUUGAGUCGGGUUCAAAAAACCAGAGAACUACAUGGAUAAUCUGAUGCAAAAUAUCAACCAUCUGUCGAAAUAGAUUACCAAUCUGUUGCACCAGUUGCACAAGAUGGGUAAUCUAUUGGGUUACAUAUUAUGUAACAGAUGAUCUGUAUGUCACAACAGAUUAAUAAUAUGUUACAUCAGAUUAUACAUCAGUUGUAUAAUUUGUAGUAGAUGGUUAAUCUGUUAGGAGUCGGGUUCAGAGAACCAAAGCAAUAGAUAGGUAAUCAAAUACAAGAUAUCAAUUGUAUGUCACAAUAAAUUAUCCAUCUGUUACACCAGUCGGCACAGGAUGGGUAAUCUUUCACAACAGAUGUCCCAUCUAGUACAUCAGAUAUAACAUCUGUUGUACCAGAUAUAACAUUUGUUUACUAUCUUUCAUUGAGUAAAAUUAUUUUACUUGAAGAAAAUGUACUGUAUCAUCCAGAGGGUUAAAAAGAUCAGCCUCCUUAAUUUUGGUGUUGUUCUUUGCAGCCAACCACCUAAACAUUCUUGGAUGAGAAACCUCAUCCGGGUAAUCUAUUACCUGCUUUCGGAGGGGAGGAAUGGCUUCAAAUGCCCAAGCCUAAAAAAUAUAAACAGGAAGCAAGCAAAAACAAGUCAUAAUAACUAUAUUCAAUAUAAAUUAAUGGAUUAGUAAAAAUAGUGAUUAAUUUUACCAUGAAAGCCCAAGGAAAGCCAUAUAAUGUGGCUGUCCCUAAGGAUAGAUUUGUCAAUAAAUAUUGGAUAGUCAAGUAGAAGUUGUCAUAUCCUCAGGGAUAAUUGUUGAAUUUAUCAAAAUCCUUAGCACGCGCCAACAAAUCAUCUUCUAUGAUCUUGUUUACGUCUCUUGCCAAUAUAACCAAAUGGGAAAACCAAAGUAAGCACAAUUUCUCCCUGUACUGCUUUGGUAUGGUUUUAUCCAUGAGAUCUGUCGAUAAAUCCGAUGCUUUAUAGCCACGUCGAGCAAUGUCAAAUAACCCAUCUAUAUUUUUCUUGCAUUUUCUUGCCUUGAAUCUUUUAUGGGGUGUUCCCUUGGUGAUAGGUGGUUCUUCUGGAUGAUGGGAUCUCAAACCCAUCACUACGGCAAACUCUUGCAAGCCAAAACAAAUCGGCAUGCCACAGUAGUUGAUCCAUAUUUUAUCCAUCUUUUUGCCUAUCUUCUUUGAAUCUUUAUCAACCCUCCACGUACUUGAUACUGCGCUUGAGAAGACCAUAUACCAUUCUCAUAUGGAAACGGGCAGAGGGGUCCUCAGGCAGCUCAAGAAAGCAUCCAAAGCAGCUCUUAUUAAAAAGUCCAUCUAUGUUUUCUUUCUUCAUAAUUUUCCUAAAUUAAAUAAAAUUUCUCCCUAUCUGAUAUUUAAGUACAAGUUCACCAGUUAGUUCUUCUUCUGCUUUUGGGUUAUUUAUCGGUAUCGCAACUUGAAACCUGUCAAAACUAAAAGUUUAGACAGGAUCAUGCUGGGAUGUCGAUAUUAAUUCACGCCCCAUUGGUGAUCCAUUAUCAUCAUGUUGAUGAUCAUCCUCUUUCUCUUUAUCACUCUCUAAUUCUUGCUCUUUCUCACUUUCAUUUUCUUCAACACCAUUUACAGACCCUUGUCCACCUCCCUCAAUGUUAUUUUUAUAUCUCUCCUCAGCUUCACUUUUUCCUGACUGAGAUUGUUAGGAAGCUCCUCCGAAUCCCUCUGUGCCUUUUUUUGGGUGGUCAGACGUUGAUCCACUUUCCCUUUCUUUUCUUUUGGUAGACAUGUUUUACCUACAAACAACAGAAAAACAAAAAUUAUAUCACAAUUGAUGUAUGCAUAAAUUUUAAAAAAUACAUAACAAACACCACCAAUAUCGACACACCAACAGCCAUCACCACCACAAACACCACAAACCAAUGCCACAAACAUCAUGAAUACUAACACUACCUACAGCCACCACAAAGACCACCAACUAAUGCCACCACAAAACCACCAACCAAUGCCACCAACAGCCACCAACAGUACCACCACGAUGACUACCAACACUACCACCACCAACAAGAACACCACAAAUACCAUCCAAUAAUACCACGACAGUCAACGGAAUACUACGAUAGAAACCAGGGUUUUCUCAAUUUCUUCCUACAAUUUUACCACCAACACUCAAAAUUGUAAAUCCAUUCUCAAAGAUAAUACAACUAAAACUUUUGUUUUUCAUCAUUAACUUAAAAUCCCUUAUUUUUUAGAAAAAAAUAAAAAAUAUAGAACUCUUCUUGAACUCUGCUACCUAUGAAGACAGAGAAAACGACUGAUACAAAAAAGAAUGAAGUCAAAAACAACACGUAUGUGGUCGAAAAUGUGAAGAAAAUUGAUCUGUUGUGAAGGGUAAAGUAAUUUGUUGAGUAGUUAUUGUCUGUACUGUAUAAUUGAGUGAGAAAGAGAAAAUAGAGAGAACUCGAGAUUUGAAAUGAUGAAAUAUUUUUCUCGCAAAUGGAUGAUUUGUAUAGGUUGAUUUGUAUUUUGAAAAAGAAUGACAAGUUUUGAAAAUAUUAAUUUGGUACGAAUUGAUCUUAAUUAUUUUUUAAAAUUAUAAAAGAUAUGCAUAAUUUUUAACCCUCUCAUCAUGCAAUUGCCAAAAGACUCGAUUGAAGUUGUAGUUGACCCUAUGAACUCACACCUGGUCCUAGAUUAAUCAAUUAGGUAUUAGACUCUAACAUAUUAACUCAAUUGAAAUUUUAUAAAAACAAAUGUUCAACUUGUUGAAUCAGAUUACGCAUCUGUUGUAAAUUAUCAAUUAGAUUAAGUUAUUUGUUGCAACAGAUUAUGCAUCUAUUAUAAGUAAUCAAACAGAUUAAGUAAUCUAUUGCGACAUAUUAUCCAUCUAUUGUAAAUUAUCAAAUGGAUUGUAAUAUGUUACAACAGAUUACCCAUCUGUUGUAAAUUAUCAAAUAGGCGCUGCCAUCUAUUGUAGUUGACCCUAUGAUAACUUAUCCAUAGUCCUAGAUUAAUCAAUUAUGGUAUUAGUUGAACAUAUAAGGUAGUAAGAAUUGAUUUAGCUCAGAGUGAUCGAUCGACGACUCUAGUCGGGAGGAACACAAUACCGUCUCAUCAUGCAAUUGCUAAAAGACUCAAUUGAAGUUGUAGUUGACCCUAUGAGAACUCACCCCUGGUCCUAGAUUAAAGAAUUAAGGUAUUAGUCUAACAUAUAAAAUCAAUUAAAAUUGUAUUAAAAAUAAUGUUCUACCUAUUGUAACAGAUUAAUCAUUGGUUGUAAAUUAUCAAACAGAUUAAGUCCUUUGUUGCAACAGAUUACGUAUCUGUUGUAAAUUAUCAAACAAAUUAAGUCAUCUGUUGUGACAGAUUACCCAUCUGUUAUAAAUUAUCAAAUAAAUUAAGUCAUAUAUCACAAUAGAUUACCCAUCUGUUGUAAAUUAUCAAAUAGGAGCUGCCAUCUAUUAUAGUUGACCCUAUAAGAACUCACCCCUAGUCCUAGAUUAAUAAAUUAAGGUAUUAGUCUAACAUAUGAGGUAGUAACAAUUGGUUCAUCUCAGAGUGAUCGAUCGAUGACUCUGGUUGGGAGGAAUGCAAUAUCGUCUCAUCGUGCGAUUUCCAAAAGACUCAAUUGAAGUUAUAGUUAACCCUAUGAGAACUUACCCUGGUCCUAGAUUAAUAAAUUAAGGUAUCAGUUAAAUAUAUGAGGUAUUAAGAAUAGUCUCAGUUUAGAGUGAUCGAUCGAUGACUUUGGACGGGAGGAACGCAAUACUAUCUCAUCAUGUCAUUACGAAAAGACUUAAUUAAAUUUAUAGUUGACCCUAUGAGAACUUACCCCUAGUCCUAGAUUAAUCAAUUAAGGUAUUAGUAUAACAUAUAAGGUAAUAAGAAUUGGUUCAUCUCAGAGUGAUCGAUCGACGACUCUGGUCAGGAGGAACACAAUACUCUCUCAUCAUACAAUUGCCAAAAGAUUCAAUUAAAGUUGUAGUUGACCCUAUGAGAACUCAUCCCUGGUCCUAGAUUAAUCAAUUAAGGUAUUAGUCUAAUAUAUAAAAUCAUUUGAAAUUGUAUAAAAAUAAAUGUUCAACCUGUUGCAACAGAUUAACCAUCUGUUGUAAAUUAUCAAACAGAUUAAGUCAUUUAUUAUAAUAGAUUACGCAUCUGUUGUAAAUACUCAAACAAAAUAAGUCAUCUGUUGCGACAGAUUACCCAUAUAUUGUAAAUUAUCAAAUGGAUUAAGUCAUUUGUCACAAUAGAUUACCCAUCUAUUGUAAACUAUCAAAUAGGCACUGUCAUCUGUUGUAGUUGACCCUAUGAGAACUCAACCCUGGUCCUAGAUUAAUCAAUUAAGGUAUAAUUCUAACAUAUGAGGUAGUAAGAAUUUGUUCAGCUCAGAGUGAUCGAUCGACAACUCUGGUUGGGAGGAACGCAAUAUCGUCUCAUCAUGCAAUUUUUGAAAGACUCAAUUAAAGUUUUAGUUAACCCUAUGAGAAUGCACCCCUAGUCCUAGAUUAAUCAAUUAAGAUAUUAGUUAAACAUAUAAGGUAGUAAGAAUCGGUUCAGCUCAGAGUGAUCGAUCGAUGACUCUGAUCAGGAGAAACACAAUACCGUCUCAUAAUGCAAUUUCCAAAAGACUUAAUUGAAGUUGUAGUUGACCCUAUAAGUGUAACAACCCAAGACAACCCCCUAAUCGUUACACAGUGCUUACAGUCCCGAGGGACCACAAACUAACCCAUGAGCUGGUACCUGCUGUGAGCACUGAAUAACAUGAUCAUAAAUGCGAAAUAAUACUGACAUGCCAUAAGGUUUUAAUAACUGAAUUUAAAACUGAAAUAUGAGUCUAUAUAAAUAAUUGACAGAAGUUGGUAAAAUAAAUAUAAACAGUAUCACUAACUGUAAUAUCUAAAUACUGAAUAACUGACUCUAAUGUCUGAAAAAGCCACUAUAACAGACUGACUGAAUAUGAGUUGAUGGGACAGGUCCUAACUAACUCCAACUAACUACUAACUAAGACAUGAAAUAAAGUAAGCCUGUCCUCAAAAUAUGAGGACUCACCACUACUACUGCUGAGAAUCUGAUAAGUCUACUCAUGAGUUAGGAACUGAACGUCAGAACCUAUGAUAUAAUACAUCAUAGCCAAAAAGAAAAGGUAUGCAAUCAGUACUUUGAAUGUACUAGUAUGCUAAAUGAGGUAGGCUGAUAUGCAUGGUUUUAUGAACACAACUAAUGAUUAACUGGAUAUCCAUGUAAAGCAUAGAGUACUAAGUAGAGAACAUGGAAUCUGCAGAUAUUGAUAAUGCAUGGAAAUCUAUAAAUACUGAGGAUGCAUGACCAAGCAUAUAACAUAACUGAGUAAGAUCUGUAAACUAAAAUACUGAGAAAACUAAAAUUUAUAUGCUUCAAUCAAGCAACACUAAGAUUGAAUAACUGAACUGGGACUGUAACUGAGACUAUAUCUGAGACUGUAGAAGGUAUUAUCUAACCCACAUUCCCCAAUUUGAGCUAAUCGGUGUCCAACCUGUAACCCCGGCUGAAAGGGUGUUAAUACCAUGCCACGGGUACUAACAAAGGUUGUGUGGAUCCACUAAAAUAAUAUAAUGUUCAAAGGACUAAGGGGUCAAACCUGAACUGACGGGUGACCCCUGCGAGAUAGUCAAGCCUAAUUUGAUGGGUGACUACUCAUAUUCUAUAUUUCUACGUAGUUCUGGAGUAUAGGGACUGCUACUAACGACUCUGCCUAUCUGAAGGGAAAGCUGCCAUCCCUACAGUCGCUCGGUGAUAAAUCCUACUCCCAACUAAAAGACACUGGGGUACUAGACUGUUUUGAGUUGAAUAACUAAUAGCUGACUAUUCUGAUAAUGCUCAUAAUUUAAUUUGAAGACUAUUUUGUAAUAUACUGAGGCUAGACUAAAUAAAUAACUAUGGUUUUUGGGUAUUCAAUACCCCUAAGACUCAAAGCAACAAUAAUGAAAGGAUACUAAAGCUUGAAGGUCAAAACAUGAAGGCUCUUAAUAAAUAAAUCUCUCUUGCAGGUAUUUUAUCAAACACUUGUAGUUCAUGGUUUUAAAAAAAAUCAUAAGAAUGUCAUGGAACUUGUAGAAAUAGCAUGAAUUCAUCAUAAUAGCAUAAAUCAUGGUUUAAUUUAGUAAAUCAUAAUAUUAAAAGAUUGAAGAUUGAAUAAUAACAACAAUUUCAUGGUAACAUGAUAUAGAAUCAUAGUUCAUGGAGAUUUGUAGAUGAAAUCAUAAUUUAAAACAUGGUAACUUGAAAAGAUCAUAAUUUUAUAAUUUGAAAAGGUUGCUUGGACUCCAUGGAUGAAAGGGAUCCAUCGAUGAACAUUUAACAUACCUGGGUUAAUAAAUUUGAAGAGAUGAAUGGAGAGUUCUUGAGAAAUUGCCUUGAAUUUGAGAGCUAGGGUUUCUUGUUCUUGGAAGAGGGAUUUUUUAUUAUGAGAGAAAUUGAAAUAAUAAUGACUACUUAGGGUGUUUAGGGUUAAAUUUCAUGUUUUAGGUUAAUUAGGGCCGUGGAAAAAGACCCAAAUACCCUUAAACGAAUUUAGAAAUAGAAGCUGAAAACUACCCAUCCUGAUUUUUGGCCUUAGCGCAAUGCGCCACUAUCGCGCCAAGCCACUGGAAAAGGGAUAAUUGGGACCUGGACAGACGGCGCGAGGUGCCACCAUCGCGGUAAUCCUGUGGAUGCCAUUUUGGUCACCUCUGUGACGCACCAUGAUCACGGAGGCCUACUGAAAAUUGACAAACGAGAAAUUGGCUUGCUCCGUAAUGCGCCGUGAUCAUAAAGUCACACUGGAAAUUGACAAUUUUCAUUUGGACUAUCUACGCGAUGUGCUGAGGAUUAAAAUGAUGGUGUUUAAUGACUGAAACUUAAAAUUGCCAUAACUUCUUACCCGGUUAUCAAAUUUGGGCAAAUUUUAUAUCGUUAGAAAGCUAACUGAAUUUCCUAUACAACGGAAUGCUCUAAACUGAAAAAUAUUGAGUGUUUAAAAAAUCUUAUGUACGAAUACUCAUGUAUUGGGACUUAGAUUAUGCUAGGGAAAUACGAGGUAUUAUAAUGAGCUUCAAAUGUGGAAGUGUAUCCAAAUAUAAAAAUCCGUCAGUCGUUGAAGAAAAAUAAGAAUGGUCAAGAGGACUGGAGCUGGUCACUUUUCUAGAGACUGAAACUAGCGAGCAUGGCCUCAUUGAAGAUCCACAAUCUAUAGGACCAGAACUCUAAGGAAAUAGCUUCACGAGCACAGAAGGUGGUUAGAUUGUAGGUUAGAAUUGAAACCUGAACCAACUACUCCUGAAUUAAAAAUACGGGAUCAAGCCAAGGUGGCAAUUUCUCAAGUUAAACUUGCAUCUCAUGCCUCCUAUUUAUGGCUCUGGUCAGUUCAAAGGUAGUGGAUACAACAAGGCAAGGGAUUUCUGCCCAACUUCAGACCUUUUUGUUGCUACUUUCAUUGACCUGAUCAUAGCCACAAAAAGAAGGCAUGGAAUGGAAGUUAGACUUCAGAAAUUAAUACCUUGGCUUCCCUUAUUUUUAAUUCAGGAGUUGUUGGUUCAGGUUCAAUUCUGACCGACAAUCAUACCAAUUUUCUGUGCUCUCGAAGCUUCUUCCUUAGAGUUUUAGUCCUGCACUUUGUGAGAUUCUUCAUUGAGGCGACACUUGCUAGUUGCAUUCUUGACCAAAGUGUUCAGCUCCAGUCCUAUUGACCAUUCUUCUUUUUCUUUAACAACUGACGAAUUUUUAUAUUUGGAUACACUUCCACAUUUUUAGCUCAUCCAGUUUUUUCAUUUCUCAUGUCAAUUUCAUUGGCCAGAUUCGCUAGAAGUUCUUUACUUGCUUUCCUAUAUUUCCUCUUAAAUAAGGUUUGAAAUGAUAUAUGGCCUUCUCCACCUCCUCCUUCCCGCACAGGUAUUCUCCCAAGCACCUUCUGCUGUAUAAAAGUCUCCUCCAGCAAUCCAUCCAUAUAAAUUUGGACUAGGAAAAUUUCUAUUGGUUCCAUCGUUGUUUGCUAUAGUUCAAGGUUUCAGAGCCCUUUCAAGAAGUCCAUUGCGCCAUUAAAACCGGUCUAAUCACUAUUGGAUAUUUAUACUGCCACCAAAAGCUUGAACCCUUUCCCAAACUUGACACAAAAACAUGAGCAUAGACCAUCAUUAAAUUGUAAUAGGGUAUCGACACCACCAUCUUAGAACCCUUCGACCUUAUCAAUUUGUACCUAUCAAACUAAACUGUACAAUGCAGGAUCUUGUUUGAAGGAUCAGUGUCUAAUCGGUAAAAAACUGCAUUUAUAAAAUCAUUGUACUUUAUGUCUGUCUCUCACAGUAGCCUGAUCAAUAAUACAUAAAUCCCACGUAUGAAAGUGGAUCCAUUACACACACCUUAUUCUUUCUACCCCAUCAAGACAUGUCAGAUAAUGUUGUUUAUUUAUCUGCACGCAUGUGAUGACUAUUAAAAAAGAGGUGUGAAGAGUCAUGACUUUUUAUCUUAACACAUUCAAAAUAGUUGAUGAAUCAAAAUCUUCAUCUAUUGUGACUGAUGAAUCAGUUGUUGGAAGAAAUCAAAAUAUCUCCUCCAACGUAUGGUCCAUCUGUCGCAAUAGAUAAUCCGUAUGUUGCAACAGAUAUUAAAUCUGUUGCGAUAGACCAGACAUUGUUUAUUCAUCUGCAGGUAUGUGAUGACUAUUAAAAGAGAGGUAAAGAGUCAUGACUUUUUAUCUAACACAUUCAAAACAGAUGAUGAACUAAAUUCUCCAUCUAUUGCAACUAAUGAAUUAGCUGUUAGCAGAAAUCAAAACAUCCCUUCCAAUAUAUGGUCCAUCUGUCGCAAUAGAUAAUCUAUAUAUUGCAACAGAUGUUGCAACAGAUGGUAAAUCUGUUGUGAUAGACCAGACAGUGUUUAUUAUUUUACACGUAUGUGAUGACUAUUAAAAAAGAGGUAGUCAUGACUUUUUAUCCAACACAUUCAAAAUAGCUGAUGAAUCAAAUUCUCUAUCUGUUGUAACUAAUGAAUCAUUUGUUAGAAGAAAUCAAAACAUCUCCAAAAGAUGGUCUAUCUAUCACAACAGAUAAUACAUAUGUUGCAACAGAUGUCUCACCUAUUGCACAUACAAACCAUCUAUUGCAAUAGAUGGUAAAUCUAUUUUGACAGACCAUCUAUUACACAUACAGAUAAUCUAUUGCAACAGAUGGUAAAUCUGUUGUGACAGAUGGUUGAUCUGCUGCAACAGCUUAAUAAUAACUGAUGUUAUCAAGUCUCAAAACCAUUUUGAAAAGGUGAAAAGUAUUAAUGUAAAAGAAAAAGUCGUGACUCUUUCCAGAAAACAAAAUGCCACCAGUUUGAAUGGAAUUAAUACAAUGGAGCUUUAAAGUCGUGCCUUUUGUUCUGACACAUCCAGAUUCAAUCCUUUAUAAAUAGGUCCCUCCUUAAUCUUCAUUCUACUAAACUUUAUUUAUUUAUUGCAUUAUUUCUUUUCAUGUGACAUUUUCAACCAUUUUUUUUCAAAGAGCAUAUUUCUUUCUCGUUGAGGUAAGUUUUUUUUGGUAUAAAUCUACCAGUUGGUAGUAUACAUUGUAUUAUAUUUAGACUCUUUUUCUUUAUAUUUGUCAAUUCAUGUGUAUUCUAGAUAUGGUUGAUCCUAUUUGGGACAUUGCUAUUUUGCGCGACACAAUGCAGGAACUUCAGAUACAGGUCAAUGACCUACAGAGGAAUUUGGUCGCCGUGAGAGCGAUGAUGUUCAAAGAGAUCCAGAGACUGAUGAGGGCCCUGCUGCCACGAGUUGAUUGGUCGACUAUCAUUAAUGAUGAUGAUGAUAAUAAUAAUAAUUAAAAUUAUUUUUUCUUUUUUCUUUUAGCAUAUAUACUUUAAUUUUUCCAUAUCGGAUCUAUACCUAAUGUAUUUUAUUUUUUGUUUAAUUAAAAUUUUAUUUUUAGUCGACUUGAGCUUUUUAAUUCUUAUUCAAUUUUCAUUCUAUCUACUUCUUUUAAACAUACAUAUUAAUGUAAACAUAUCGACGGUUGGAGGUAAGGAGCAAUUUUGAAUCCAAUAGCAAUAGCAAUUUUGGCUUUUAAGUUCUUUCAACAGAUGGACCAUAUGUUGGAACAGAUUGGUCAUCUGUUGGGUUUCUAUCAACAGAUUAUCCAUCUAUUGCAACAGAUUUGUCAUCUUUUGGAGAAAAUAUUCUAAUUUGAUGGAACUACAUUGUGUUCUUCCAGCUAAUGUCUAUCUGUUGCCACAGAUGGUUAAUCUAUUGAGAAUAAUUGUGAUCUGCUAUAUUAUUUAGUUCAUGUUUUUCCUUUUUUAUUGAUGCAAAAGUUAUUAAAAAAGAUAUUUUAUAUAUAAUAAAUAAUAACAUUACAUUCACAACAAUGAGUUAAAUAUAUAAAAGUCCACAACAAACAACAACACAAGUUUCUGCAAUUACAACGAUCAUGGUGGAUUACGAUCAAGGCAUGUAGUUCUAUUGUGGCCAGUGCACUUACAUACGGAGCACUUGUUUCUUCUUGAUGAAAAUGAUUCUCCGACUCCACGCCUCCUCUUAUAUGGAUUUCUUCUUGGUUUGAUAGUGCUUGGAUCAAUAUAUGGAGGAGAUAUUAAUCUCCCUAAAAUCUCUGCAGGAACAACCCAAGAUUCUUCGGGAGGCCCCAGAGUAAUAUGCACACUAUAUGCCAUUUCAUAUUCUUCUAUCGAAUAAUAUUGAGAGGAGUGCUCAUAAACUUUAGGUCCAUAUAUUAGACCAUAUUGAGCUCGAAGCGCUGCCAUGGCAAGUGGACAGGGUAUUUUAUCCAAGUCAAAAACUCUGCACGUAUAAGAUCUUGUUUGAAGAUCGACUGUGGCAACAUCACCAUGAUCGGUGAUACUGAAUUUGUAAUCUGCUAUUUUAUGAUAUAAUAACCUAUUGCCCAAACUGAUAUUCAUUGAUAUUAUUUUUUCGAUUUUAAGAACAAAUCGGAUUCAUUUUGAGCCCUUGACUGCACACGCCUUUCAUUAAAAAAUUGGCCAUACUUCUUGUUUAUUACUUUAAACAUAGCCUUGAUAGAAAAUUCUCUUUCAUCGCCAAACAAUGAAUUCGCUGAUUCGGCUAUGUUUGAUGUCAUAAUAUUGUACCUAUACAAAAGAAUCACUUAGUACGACAUCAUACUAAACUUGUAACUCAAAUAAGACAUUAAAUUCAUAAGAAUGUACCUAUCUGCCAGAUAGAAUGCCCGACUCCAUCUCUCGAAACUGACACAUACGAUAAGUUCUGCUACCUUGGGAUUUACAUCCAUUAUUUGAUUAAAAUGGUCCAAAAACUCCUCUCUACUAUAUGCUUUAGUUGCUCUAUAAAAAAGGGCACGACUCUUUCGUUGUGAUAGUUGGUCCGAAUAUUCUCUCCAAGAUGUCUGAUGCAACAACUAAAGUAAGCUCAAGUGAAGAAAAUUGAACCCAUCUUUGGAAUACUUGGAUGCCUAUCCAAAACAAAACAUAACUCUUCGGUAUCUUCGACGCAGCUCUGUAGUUGUUCAAAAAAAAUCCAUAAGAGGCAUCGCAUUCCUUGUUCGCUACACAAAAAGUGACAGGAAAGAUGUGAUUCUCCGCAUCCUGCGCCACCACCGCUAGAAGAACUCCAUUAUACCUACUCCUCAAGAAGGUACUAUCGACUGCUAUGCCUUUUCUCAAAUAUCAAAAACCUUGAAUCCAAGAACCAUAUGAUACAAAAAAGUACUUGAACCUUCCAUUUUCAUCAGCAUGCAAUGUCGUCUUACUUCUGGGAUUUGUGGACUCAAUCAUAUAAUGGUAGGCCUCAUGGACUGCAUACCCAUGCUCGUGUGUCCCCCUAACCAAGUCCUUAGCAAUCUCCAUGGCAGUAUAUAUCUUCUAAUAACUAACCAAGACACCCAAUUCCGUAAGAAUUUGAUUGGCCAUAACCCUUGUUGAAGGGCCUUUGCUUUCGGGGAAACUACUCUUGAAAUAUUCACCGAGGACUUUUAUCGUGGCAUGAGGAUUUUGGCCUAAGAUGUGCUCUGGACCACAUGUGUAAUUCUUUUCAUGUUUAUGAAUGACGAAUCUGUCAGAACUUACGUACUUCACCGCUCUCAACCACCACUUGCAGUUUGGAUUAGCACAUUUGAAGAAAAAGACACUGCUCGAAUUAAUCACCUUCUUUAUUCUGAAAUAUUUUUUCAAGCAAGAAAUAAACAAAGUGGUAGAUAGUUCAUUCUUGUCCUUGAAUGACAUUCCAAUAAAAAAGCCAGUUCUGUUGUUUUGAAGAUUUUCAGAUUGUGUCGAUUGAGAAGAACUACCCAUCGUAUUGGUCGCAUCAACGGGCAUAGGUGUUUAAUCAUCAUCUGGAAUAUUCAUGUCUAGAUCAUCCGACCUAUCAUCAAAGAUGUCUUGUUGUUUUUCUUCUUCUACAUUCUGGUUCUCAUUCUCUCUCGUCUUUUCAACCACGUAUAGCCUUAACACCGGUCUGGAUGAAUCUCUAAGAUAAGCACGCAACCGACCCUGAUCAGUUAUCUUAAAAGGCAGUACCCUCUGAUUUUCAAAGGAGUUGUGCAUGUAGUUGAUGAUGAGUUCUUCUGAUUAACAAUUCAGUCCAUAAUAACUGACAAUUAAGUUCACAAAAUCAUCAUACGAAACAUCACUUUGGACUAUCAUAGCUAUCAUCUCUAACAUUUCACCCUCAUUCCAACGUCAUACAUAUCGAUUGCUCUUCUCGAUCUAUUGACCAUGACGAUUCACCCCUAUUAUUAUUGAUCCCUCCAUUAGCGGUACAUAAAUAAAGUCAUUUAUUAAAAAAAGUUAAUAGUAAUUUCAUAGUGUCGUAAAUGAAUUCCAACAAAUGUGUAAUCAAUCACAACAGAUUAUUUACCUGUUGGGAUUCAUGUUACGCUCCUGGAGUUGAUUUUAACAGAUGAGUCAUUUGUUGUAAUAGGUGAAUUAUAUGUUGCAACAGACUAUAUAUAUGUUGCAAUAGAUAAAGCGCCUGUUGGGAUUAAUGUUACAGUACUGAGGUGCCUUUGAAGCUGAUUUCAACAGAUGAGUGACAUGUUACAACAGAUAAUUAAUCUAUUACGACAAAUGACUUACCUAUUGCAACAGACGAUGAUUUAUUGGAAUCAAUGUCAGGUCCUAUCACAACAGGUCACUAAUAUGUUGCAAUAGAUAUUUACCGUCUGUUGGAAUCGAGUUCAGGUUUUGUUGCAACAGGUUAAUAAUCUGUUGCAAUAGAUAUUUACCCUGUUGCAACAGAUAACACAUCUAUUGGAAUUGAUUUUAGGUUCUGUUGCAAUAGGUUACUAAUCUGUUGCAACAGAUUUUUAUCAUGUUGCACCAGAUAACUAAUUUGUUGCAACAAAUAGGUCAUAUGUUGCAAUAGAUGACCCGUUUAUUUGAUUCAUGUUACACUAUAGAACCAUAAACAUGAAUCCAACAGAUGAGUCUUUCUUUGAAAUAGAUCUGUUUAAAUAGAUAGCUCUUAUGUUGCAUUUAUGUUCGUGUGCUAUUUAUUGUUGAAAAAACAGCACAAUAGCAGUUACCUAGAUGACAAAUUCAACUAAAAAUCAUAAUUUGACUUACCAAAAUCUCCUAUGAAGUAAUGUCAAAGUGGAAAGUGAUGUAUGAAAUAAAAUUUGACCUAAGAAAUUGGUCAAAUAGCAACAGUAACAGUAACAACAACAACAAUGACAAUGGUCAACAAGAAGAAUAUGAAGAUGAUAAUGAAGCAGAAGAUGAUGAAUAAAGCAGCAGCAACAAUGAACAACAAAAAUCGCUAAGAGAGAGAAAACAACGAUGAAUGAGAAGAGAGAGAAAGGCAUUUUUUUCUCCUCCAUUUCUCGUUAUAUUAGGUAAAUAUUUGGAUCAAAGUGUAAAUUUAAAAACUUUUGGGCUAUUCUCAAACUUACCAAACUUUCUUAAUCCAUAAUAAAGUAAUUGUCACCUCCACUCAAUAAUUAAGACUUGUUUCACCUACACUUCAUUUUAAAACUCUUUUGUCACCUACAUCCCAAAACCCCGAGAUAGCAGAUAUACUGUUUGAGAUAAUUUGGUAAAAUCAUAAUGAACUUGUUAUAUCAUAGAUUUGUGAAAAGGGUUCUUUCCAUUGCAAGAGUAUAACUUAAAUAGAUUGAGUAACUUACAUAAAUAUAAGUAUAUAUAACUUAGAUAGAUUGGGUAACUCACAUAUAUAUCAAACAUUAAGGUGCUAAUAAUUUGUUUUCACAAUUUUUUCUAAUUACUUAAUAUACCACUUUUUACAUUUUUUUAAUACAUAUAUUUGGUCUUGAUACAUAUGCGUUUUGAUACAUUUGAAAAAAAAAUUGUUAGCUAAAUAAGGAAAUAACAAAAUCUUCUUAAAUUAGGAAAGUAAAUCACGUUUCAUCAGUUUUGGAAGCACAAUAAAUGUAACGGUUAACAGAAAAUCAAAAUAUUCAUCUCUUCAAAUAAUGCUCGAUUGAAAACUGCAAUUUUAACACAAAUUCUUCAUCAUUUUUUUUCUUCUUCAUCUCAAUUGCACCUUGAACGUGGUAACAAAACUUUAAAAUUUUCAAUUAAUACAUAUGACAGGUUGCUAAAAUCUGAACAUUUUUAUACUUAUAUUAGUUGAUAAUUUUGAUACAUUGUUGUCCCUAAUUAAGUGCUUUUGAUAAUCUAUUCUUCGUACUAAUAUUUGUUGCAUUUAUUAGAUUUGAUACAUUUCAAGUAUGAUAUGUGAAUUUGAUACAUUUGAGACACUAUGAUAGGAUUUCACUGCCAUGUGUUUAUAUAACAUAAAUUUUUUUAUAUAUGUACUUGAUUCAUUUGUUUUGUAUUAGUGUAUUUGGCCUUAAUACAUAUAAUAUUUUGUGUCGAUUUGGUCAUGACACAUAUAAUAUUUGGCCUUGAUACAUAUAGUAUUUUGCCUUGGUACAUAUCAGAGUAUAGUAUAAUGUAAUGUGUCUGGCCUAAAACCUAACAAUGUUCUUAUCAAUUUGGGUAACAUCCAAACUGAAUGAUGGUAAAUUAUCGAAAUCCAUAAAAAUCAAAAAAUAAAUUAAAAAAAAUCAAAGAAUCAAAAGUACCCAGAAUAAAAUUCACCACUUCACCACUUGAAGAACCAAUAAUGUUCUUAUCAAUGUGGGUAACACACAAACUUAAUGAUGGUAAAUUAUUGGAAUCCAUAAGAAUUAAAAAAAAAAAAAAAGACACAAAAAAUGUGUUUUUAAACUAAAAUAAAGUAAUCUUUCUUAAAAUCAACUUCAGCAUUCCACUCACCUCUCGAAAAAUGAGAAAUUCUUUUCAACAAAUUGACUUGAAUGUCGUUUGCAGUAGAUGGAUGAUGGAGAUAAUUGAUUGAAACUCAAAUUUGGAGAGAAGUUAUCGAUUAAUUUGGGUGAAAAUUUUUAAAAAUGGAAAGGAGAGAUUUGGGGCUAAGAAGUAGGAGUUUGUGCAGUUUUGGGAGUGAAAAUAUAUGUAUCAAGGAUAAAAAUUCAAUAAGUGGUAUAUUAUGAAAUAUUUUAAAAGAUGUGAGAUUUUUAGAAAUAAUGAUGCUUAAGUUUGAUUAUUUAUGUAAUUUAUCCUAGAUUAAAACAAGCAUAAUUGAACCGAAUUUAGGACGUUUGUAAAAGGAAAUUACUUAAUUGCCUUUGCCAAAAAAAAAAAAGGAAAUAACUUCCGCGUCGUACUAAACGUGUCUGAAAAUUAAGUUUGAUUGUGCAUUUAAAUUGUGGCGGAAGGAAAAGGAACUUAUAUAUAAAACAACAUAUAGAAACUUCAAUUAAAAACAAUCCUCUCAAAAUACAAAAAUUAAGUUCCCCUUAACAAGAUCCUCCAAAAAAUCCAAGUGAAAAUAUUAUCCAAAUACAGGCAAGGAAUGGGCCAUUACCAUCAUCCUAAGCUAAAGAAAGAGAUAGCAAUUCAUACAUAUAGAGGCAAAUUAAACAAAUUAAAACAAAUGAUGCUGGAUGAAAAGAGAGUUCUACAUUAGAAAGCAGAGCAAACUCCAUCCUAAGACCAAGCUUUCCACAACCAUUGUUGACAACUUCAGGCCCUCCACUCCACUCUGCAAAUCAAACAUGCUUCCAAAUAUUAAGAAAUGACUAUAACAAAUAAUUUUUUAAAAAAAGAGUUACUAAUUAAAUAGGAUCACUGGCUUAUAAAUGUAAAGCAACAUAGGAAACAAAGAAAAUCAUAAAAGUAAAGGAAUAUAGGAAACAAAGAAAACCCAAACAAACUGCAAUCCUUCUAAACCCACAAGCCUUAAUUUUUUAGUAUACAUCCUCAGAUUUAUAAUGAAGAUUAAGAACUUCUCAAUCAAAGCAUAGUUAGGGGAAAUGCCUUCUUUUUAAUAGAAAAAAAAAAAACUAAACAGUCAUUUGGCUUGAAGGGCCGUUUCGUUUGAUUUGCCGACAAAGUUAUGCGAAAAUUGAAAUACAUAGGAUUAAUUAAUAAACACUUGAUUAUUCCAGUUUAAAAAAAUAAACACUUGAUUAUUAGAGUAUAAUAUAAAAUUUUUAUAAUUUUAUACUUGUUUUUGAAGUAACUGACAAUAGAAAGAUUGUAAAGUCAAUUGUUAUUUGGUCUUCUAGAGGUAUUUAAUGCCUGUAAAGCGAAAUCCACUUAUAAGUUUAUCUCAUGUUGAAUUAGUAUAUAAAUAAUGUAUUAGAUUUGUGAUUUAAGUCCUGUACAGCAAAAUGUUAAUGAAUGCAAUAUAAAACAAUGUCUAAUUUGAUACCCAAAAUUUAUCCUCUCUAAUACUGGUAAUCGAACAAAUUCCGAUAUCCAAGAUCCUCAUCAAACACAUUCAGAUCUGUAGUAUAUCAAUGUGAAUUUAAUCAACAAAUUACAACUGCAGUCAGUGAAAUAAUAAAUCGUGGCACAUAUAUAACGAUCCAAAUCAAUUCAAGGUAGCGCAAUGGGUGUGGGUGUAUAUGAGCUGUUUACUCUAUUAGUAGUACACACAAUAUAUAUUCUUUCUUCCACCAAACAGCUAAUUAUAAUUAACGUUGACAUAGAUCUCAGGACAUCAACCAUGUUGACACCAAAGCUCAUUAAACUGGAUACUAAACUACCAAUACACAAAAAAGAAAAAAAAAACUCUUUAAAAAUUGAUUUACUAACUUAUUAUUACACUGAUGAGGUUUAUUUUUAUUACUUCCUCCGUUUAAAAAAGAAUGAUCUAUUGUCAUUUUUAAUCUGUUUCAAAAAGAAUGACUCCUUUCCUUUUUUGGCAAUACUUUAGUUUCAACUUUCCACAUGGCUUGUUUAUGAUCAUAGGAUUAAAGGGCAUUUUAGUACAUUUGACACUACUUUAAUUUAAGAUCACAAGAUUCAAAAAUUUCUUUAUUUUUUUAAACUUUGUGUCAAGUCAAAGUAGAUAAUUCGUUUUUAAACGGAGGGAGUAGUUGUAUUAGAUUACAUCUACAUCAUAUCUUUAUCUAGGUAUGACUAUCAUUUUUGGUUACAAAUAAUUACUCACUAUACUAAAUUGUCUAAUUUAGAAAUAUAUUUAAUUAGAGCUAGCACAUAUCUAAAAUUAAACGUAUUUAAAGCAUGCAGUCAGACCAUAAAUCCAACAUACAGGAUCCUAACUAACUACUGUCUUAUAUUAUAUGAUCUUUAAUUUUACAUUAUAGAAUCACCUCUAACUUUAAAUGAUUAACAAAGAAAAGUAAAAUUUGCAUGUACCUGAUCAGUAGCUGAAGGAGCUGGAGAUAAAGCUCCAAGACUCGGGGCUAGGGCCGGAGCUCCAUUGGGAGGUAAGGGAGAACUCAAGCCCAAAGGAGAUGGUGCCGGAGAAGUUAAUUUCUUUGCAGGAGCCGGAGCAGGAGUUGAUGCAAGUGGUGCAGGAGAAGGCGCUGCCGGAGGAGGUGGAGGGGUAGCGGGUGGAGGUGGAGAGUUCACUUGCGGAGGAGGAGAAGCAGGAGGAGUGGGAGGUGGUGUAGAUGAAACGACCGGUGGUGGUGAAGCAGUUGGUGGUGGCUGAGCCGGUGGCGUUUGAGUGUUAACUGGAGGAGGAGAACUAUUGGGUGUUGGUGGAGCUUGGUUCGUGGGUGUUGGUGGUGCCUGGGUAGUGGGUGUAGGAGGAGCUUGGUUCGUGGGUGUUGGUGGUGCCUGGGUAGUGGGUGUAGGUGGUGCUUGGGUAGUAGGGGGUGUAGGAGGAGCUUGGUUAGUGGGUGUUGGUGGUGCCUGGUUAGUGGGUGUAGGUGGUGCUUGGGUAGUAGGGGGUGUUGGUGGUGCUUGAGUAGGUGUUGGUGGUCCUGGAGGUGCUUGACCACCAACUCCAGCUAUGAUAAUGCAGAUCAUAAAUCCCAACGAAACAGCAUUAUUCCUAUCCAUCAUUUUGACAAUAUAAUGGAGAGGAGGAAAUUGAA